UUUAAUAAAUAUUUUGGUUUUCCUUCCGAAUCCCAUGGCCACUCCGUUGUGGCACAACUCUGGUGCCUAUCCCGCACCAAGUGUGCCUCAACAGCCGAAGCUGGAGGUGAGGGUCCGCUGGAGCUGCCUCGACAACAGUUGCCGGAGGUUGGAGGUUGCGGUGUACCCAGAAACGUCAAAAGUCAUAGUUGGAGGUUGAAUUUUGGUUUAGAUAUUUUAUCGAUCGCCUGAUGGACGAAGUAGUGCUGAGAAUUUAUGAGAACAAAUAAAGGCUGCCUUGCACAACACAAUAUCCCAAUUGUGCCCGUUUUAGAAUUUCCGCGUCCAACGAAAGACAAGGAAGAGACAUUAUUUAUAAAAAUGGAGCGGGGUCCCAUGGUUCAACGCGAGGCUUGAAUUGAAUAUCUCCACUAUCUGAGAAAAAUCUAAAAAACUUUCAUACAGCAGGUGGCGGCCCAAGGUUCUUACCACCAGUGAAGAUUCGGAGCCGUCGAAAGCGACUACCACUGCAACUGCAUCCAACGGAGGCUACGGGAGCCUCGGUGGCGGUGGGGGCACCUGCGGCAGAUCUUGGCCUAGUAUUCAGUCUAACACGAAGAGUUGUACUUGGUCCGCCGAGACCAAGGGGGAUCGAGAUCAAGUGGCAUGUAGGUCGCAACGCCGCUGCUACGGGAGCCUCGGUGGCGGUGGGGGCACCAGGGCUAGAUCUUGGCCCAGUGUUCAGUCUAAAACGCAGAGUUCUACUUGGUCCGCCGAGAUCAAGGGGGAUCGGGAUCGAGAUCGAUUGGCAUGUAGGUCGCAACGCCGCUGCUACGGGAGCCUAGGUGGCAGUGGAGUUCAACACCGAGACCAAGGGGGAAUCGAGAUGGAGAAGCAUGUUGGUCCGUCGUAGCUGGACUGUUUUAACGACCAUGGAGGCGAUUCUCAUCAGUAGGAUUUUGGUGGAAAUUUUGACAGUUACACGGCGAAAUUUAUGGAGAUUUCCAUUUGUACCCGAAUGUGAGUGAAGGGUCCGGCCCCGUACAUUUAUUGGCGUGGGGCCCGACCAUGUGAGUAGUAGUGUAGUAGGUAAUUUAACAAAUAUUGAGUCAAAAAAAUUGGGCCGAAGGAGGUGACCAAAUUACCCCUAAAAUCGAAUAGCUUCCAAAUAAACGCACAAUUAAUUCAUGACACUUUAAUUUAGUGGGUUAAUGAUAAUUUAAUGAUGAUAAAUUUAAAAUAACGUGUUAAUUAUUGAUGACAUGUCAAAAAUUAAUUAGAUAGACAGCAAAUCUCGACUCUAUUUUCCAAAAAGGUAUAUAGUAUGUCAUUUAUAUAUUUUAUUACAUAGCGUAUAACAACUUAUUUUUUCAUUAUAUUUUUAAAAAAAUAAAAAGUCCCUCACUUCAAAGCAUAGAAACAAAAUAUUUUGACAUAAAUUAUCAUCAAGAACGAAAUGUACUACUUAAUGAAAAGUUGAAAAUAAGAAUUCCAAGAAAAAAAUUAAGAAAAUAAUUACUAUAACGAGCAAAAUAAAAUGUAGUGUAAUUAAUAAAAAUUAUAGUGGCAAUACAACCAUCCUAAAAUAAAACUUGACCUCCCUUUGUGGAGACCAAACAAACCACUGGAGAGGUGAUUCUUUCAUCCUAUUUGAAGCUUUGAAACACUGUUUUUUGCUCGAAUUACAUUGGCUAUGUGCUAACAGAAAUGCUAUACAAAAGAGGCAAAUAUACUACAUCAAAACAUUAUUGUUCUUUCCAAAUUACUAUAUUUAAUUACUAACUCAAAGCUCCAGAUUUGCAUUUGGCCUAAUCUUGCUGAAUUUGUCCCCUCACCAGCGAUUCUAAGUCGGGUUCCUCGUCAAUAUUUAUUGUUGUGGUCAUAUAUAUGUUAAGAACAGGAAUUGAUGGUAGCAGAAUUUGAAAACUCAGCUUAAAACUCCUCCACAUGCUAGAGAUACAUGUAGUGCAUAAGGGAAGCAGCAUAAUUAUGGGGUACAUAAUCCAAAAAAGUCUUGUGGGAAGAAUAGAGAGGCCGAGAAACAAACCAAUAGGGAAACUGAGUAAUUCUUGACUUGAAUGCGCAUGUAUCCCAUAUCAACUUGAGGUGUCAAUGGGAUUUCAAUGGAAAUGAAGGAGAAGAGAAGGAAAAAGCUAGUGAGAAGCCAAAACUUGAUCCAAAUGAAGUUUCCAAUUGCUAUACCAAAUGGAUCCCAUUCCCAAGAUGUGGCUGUAUAUGAUUUCAAUAUGUUUAUAACGAAGAGGGCAGCGUGUCUUAGAUCAAAGUAUAACAUUAUUCUUGGGUGAGAGAAUUUAAGGAGAAGUGAUGAAUUGAAUAUGAAAAAGAUACUGGCGAGAGAAUUUAAGGAGAAGUGAUUAAUUGAAUAUGAAGAAGAUACUUGCCUAGCCAACACAAAAUAUAUAUAUAUAUAUAUAUAUAUAUAAUUCCUGAAACAUGAAAUUUGACUCCUUGUAGGCGCAGUGUACAGGCAGCUCUUGUUCCCUGGCCUGCUGGGCACAUCCUGCGAUUUACAUCCUUCACAAAGCUCUAGGGGCGGGGCGGUGGGGGUCCUCAAGGUUGGGGUUCAACCUUUUUUAUAUAUAGACACUGUGUGUAUGUCCUUUCAGGCCCUAUGAAAGCUUCAGCAGGGAUAGUGCUUUGGAAAUAUUAUGACGUCCAAUUUGUGCUUUUAUAUCUUUGGUUUAACUUUAGUACAUUUGGAUGUUUCUAGGACAUCUCUCUCUCUCUCUCUCUCUCUCUCUCUCUCUCUCUCUCUCUCUCUCUCUCUCUCUCNNNNNNNNNNNNNNNNNNUCUCUCUCUCUCUCUAUAUAUAUAUAUAUACACACACACACACACACACAUGCAAAGUCAAUAAUCCAGUAGUCUGUCUUCUCUUUAAGAAAAAUGCUACUCAAACAGGUGUAGCAUAGGUGUGGAGUCAUAAGCCAAAACUAUUGUCAUCUCUUUGUAGUUAAUUAAUUAAAUCUUCUUUCAUGUUCCAUCAUUGCUAAAGAAAUAUAUUUCCAAAAGCAAUAAUUUUGAAACAUAUCUUAUCUUCCGUCUCUCUAAUUCUCUAUUUGAAGCCAAAGAAAGAAAAUGAUGUCAACUGGUAGAUAGAAAUGGCUAAAAAUUCCCUUCAAACCCCAUCUCCGUGGACCCCGCUCCAAAUUGGGUGGGCAUUACCCUCUUAUUCAGCUAUUCAGGAAGGGAAAUUUCGUCCUGAGGCGGGUUGGGUAACACUCGCUCCCAUGCCAUUUAAUUUAAUUUUUUUUAAAAAAAUUCAAUACUUUAAAUGGAAAAUUUUACGAAAUGUCAUUAUGUAAAACAUGUUUUCAUGCUUUUAACCGAAUUUAAGUUGUGAAACUUACUUGAAAAUCCCAAAAACGAGGUUGAAUUACUUGCCUAUUGAUUGCUUGCCUCCAACACUGCUUUGUACCAGCUUCUUGGUCAAAACUCGAUUACCAAGGAAGAAGUUUGUUGUGCACAAUCCAAGAACCCAAUUAGAGAUGUAAUUUUCCCAAAAAUCAAGCCUCCACCCGCAUCCAAUUUUUACACCUUGAAAGAACCUGAAUUUUGAAUAUCCUUAUUGUUUUUUACUUUUCUGAAUAAUGAAGAAUGGAAGUUGAUAAUUGGAGUUAUGGGUGGUGGAGAGGUUAACUUUCAAAUUCAGCUUUCAACCCCUCCCUCCAAAAUUCAAUUCCAUGCAAAUCGGGUCGGGUCAGGUCAACCCACAUGGACGAUCGUUUUCUUCCAACAUCUCUUACUCACACAUGAUGGGCUUGACCUGAUUCUAAUAUAAUAUCAAUUAUAUUAAGCUCAACAUCUCCAAGUUCAUAUAGGUAAAUGGAUAGUGCGACCAGCGAAUUAAUUUAAGAGCACACAACACUAUACACCUGUAAGGGAUAUAUAACAGCUCAGAAAGAGGAAUUAUAUUUCUCGCUAUACCCCAGACAUAUUUUGUAACACUAGUUUGAGUAUUUCUGACCCCUCAAUUUAUUUUAGAACAUACUCAACUUUCUCAUUUAUGUUGUAUUCACAAUUGUGUCAUGAAACUUAAAUAAUCAACACAAUUAUCGAGUCGGUGAAUACAAGCUGAGGUGUUAGUUAAACAGUCUUCUUUUCCUACUUGAAUCCCUUCAUUUCAAAUCAACUGCUUUCCUAGACAUGUCCCAUCAAACCGAAUCAACCAUAAUUAUUGGCAACAUAUUAAAGUAGCAACACUGAAAUAAAAUUAUGAGAAAUAUUCAAAAGUCAUAAGGGUAUAUAUAAGUGAGGUCAAAUAUGCCUCAGAGACUCACACAAUGAAAAAGCAGGGAUCAAUUCUUUCAUUUCUCAUUGGUCAUUAAAGCACACGUGGUAUAAAAUACGUGUUACGAUAUUUUCUCCCUUCAUUUGGGUGUAUGUCAAAUCUCGCAAAUCAAAUACAUCGUACAGAUCAUAGUUCAGAUAUUUCUCAAUGUCUAAUCUGAGUUCUCCUCAUAUUUAUUCCUCUAGGUAAUCUCAAAUCGAGAACUCGAUCUAGCUGUAAAAACAUGUCUAAUGGAUAAAAAAAUCCAUACCAAUUACUUGUUGUAAUCUCAUCUUCAUAUCACAUCAAGGCGACUGGAUCAUGUACACAAUAUGAUCACUGUGUCUCAUCUCAGCACACCUCAAACUGUUUGAAGCGAUUGUUCAUGUGAGUGAACCAAUCUUAACCUGUUUGACAUACUUUAUGUGUGCAUAUGUAAUGGUAAUCUAAAAAUUAAAAUAAAAGAUUGCUCUUAACAUGUGAACUCAAAACAUUGUUCAUUAAUGGACAUAUAUGAAAAAGUUUACAUAGUAUACAAUUCAAAUUCUACGCAAUCCCAGAGAUUUAACAUGUGUCAUAAAAAAAUCUCUAGGGAUAGAUUUUGUAAGUAGGCCAGCUACCAUUUGGUACGUAGAAAUACACUGCAAACUCACUUCCUUCUUGCCUAUGAUGUCUCUCACAAAAUUAUAUUUUGUACCAAUGUGUUUGGUUCUACUGUGAUACUUGGGAUUCUUAGUAUAUGCAAUAGCAGCCUGACUAUCACAGUAGAUCAAUAUAGGUCCUACAUCACCACUAACGACUCUUAGAUGCUAUAAGAAUCUCCUUAACCAAACAGCUUUUUGUACUACCGAAGCACAUGCUAGGAAUUCUGCUUCCAUUGUGGACAAGGAAAUACAUGUAUGUUUCUUGCUACUCCAAGAGAUAGUGCCAUUAUUAAGCAAGAAUACAUAUCUCGAAUUUGAUUUGCGCUCAUCUAGGUCUCCACCCCAAUCAGCAUCUGUGUAUCCUUUUAAGCACAAAUCAUUUCCUUGAUAGCAUAGUGAGUAAUUAGCAGUACCCUUCAGGUAUCUCAAUAUCCUUUUAACAGCUUUCCAAUGUUCUCUUCCAGGAUUGGAUUGAUACCUGCUGACCAGACCUACGGCAUAACAAAUGUCAGGAUGAGUACACAUCAUAGCAUACAUCAAGCUCCCAACCGCACUGGAAUAUGGAACUCUAGAUGUUUCUUCUUUUUCUCGAGAGUUUUAGGACACAUGCGAAGACUUAGAGUUUCGUCUUUUGAUACAGGAGUGUCAAUGGGAUUGCAAUUCUCCAUUUUGAAACGUUAAAGAAUUUUCUUUAUAUAUGGCUCUUGUGACAGAGCAAGAAGCCUAUUUGAACGAUCUCUAUAGAUUUUAACACCUAAUAUGUAAUCUGCUUCACCCAUGUCCUUCAUUUCAAAAUUUGAAGACAACCAUUUCUUAAUAGUUUAAUAUACUUCUUAUCAUUCCCAGCCAACAAGUUAUCAUCUACGUAAAGAGAUAAAAUUACAAAUUUCUCAUUGGACCUUUUCAAAUAAAUACAGUCAUCUUCAUCCAUCAUGACAAUGUUGUAGGAGAUAAACAUUCAGUCAAAUCUCAAGUAUCAUUGUCUAGAAGACUGCUUUAGGCCAUAGAUUGAUCUAUUCAAUUUACAAACAUUAUUCUCUUAACCUGUUUUAAUGAAACCUACAAGUUGUUGCAUGUAAAUUUCUUCAUCCAAUUCUCCAUUGAGAAAUGCAGUCUUCACGUCCAUUUGAUGUAAUUCUAAAUCUAAACGUGCCACGAUAGCUAAAAGUAGGCGAAUUGAAGUAAAUCUUACUACUGGCGAAAAGGUCUUUUCAUAAUCUAUGCUUUCCUGUUGAGUAUAACCUUUUGCCACCAAGCAAGCCUUGCCUUAUACCUCUCUGUAGUCCCACCAGCUCUUCACUUUAUUUUGAGAACUCAUUUGUUCCCAAUGGCUUUUCGAUCAGAUGGAAGAUCAACCAAGUCCUAGACCUGAUUUGAUUUCAUACACUCCAUCUCUUCUUCCAUUGCAUUUUUCCAUUUUUCCUUUGCAGGACAUGAUAAAGCUUCUUGUACCGAACUUGGUUCUACACUAUCUUCAGAAGAUACUAGGAAAACUUGCCCUUCAAUCUCAAAAUGACAUUUAGGCAUACUUUUUCUAGUACUCUUACGAAGUGAAAGCUCCGAUAUGACCCUGUCACUUGGAGUUAGAGAUAAAUUACUCCCACUUGGAUCGAUGGGUGGAAGUGUUUCCUCUUGCACCUCAGUUGAUCCAUCAAGUACAACUCUAUCAUCUAAUUCAUAUAAAGGUUCUCCCUUUUUAAUUUCUCCCCUACUAGGAAAAUCACUCUCAAGAAAUGUCACAUCGCGUAACUCUAUUUCAGUUAUAGUCCCAUCUUGAUUUUCUCCUAUGAACACAUAUCCUUUAGACUGGUCUGAGUAUCUUAUAAAAAUACACUUCUUACCUCGAGCACCCAAUUUUCCAAACUUAUUUGAGGAAUCAUGGAUAUAGGCAGCUGAUCCCUAGGAUCUAAGAGAACUUAAAUCAGGGGAUCUACCUAUCCAAAGCUGAUAUGAUGUAGUAGGUAUUGAUUUAGAAGGAACUCUAUUCAGAAUGUAGGUCGCAGUUAACAAAGCGUCUCCCCUAUAGGAAAUAGGUAAGUUAGCCUGCGUCAUCACGGACUUCACCAUUUCUAGCAACGUUCUAUUCUUCCUCUCAGUAACACCGUUUUGUUGAGGUGUAUUGGGAAUAGUUAAUUGCCUAAUGAUUCCCUUAUCAUCACAUAGGUUUUUGAACUUUUCGGAUAGAUAUUCACGCCCUCGGUCAGUUCUCAAGGCUUUCACCUUUCUAUCUAUUUGAUUUUCUACCACAUUUAAAUAUCGUCUAAAACAUUCCAAUGCCUCCGACUUAUGAGAAAUCAGAUAGACAUAACUAAACCGUGUAAAAUCAUCUAUAAAAGUAAUGAAAUAAGAGGCUCCAUGUCUUGCCCUCACAUUUAUCGGGCCACAUAUAUCUGAAUGGACUAAUUGCAAUGGAAGUUCGGCUCUUAAAGCUUUACUGAAUGGUUUUCGUGUUAUUUUUCCGAUUAGGUAAUGUUAGAUUGAACCUAACAAGCCUUCUUUUGCCAACCUAUUCAUUCUCUCUUGUCCAAUAUGUCCUAAUCUAGCAUGCUAUACAGAUGUAUUAGCAUUCAAAUCCUUAGAAGAAGAAGAAGAUACGUUCAUAGAAAAACAACGAUCAACAUAAUAGUUAUAAGUGUUUGGAUCACAAUCUAACACUACAAAGCCACCUUCUACAUGUCCAGAUCCAUAAUACAUCACGAUUGUUUAUACGAACAGAAUUACCAUAAAAGUUCAAACUGAAACCUAAUCUUAAAAGAACAACAACGGAAAUUAAGUUCCUUCGUAUCCCCGGUGCAAAUAGGACAUCAUGAAGGAGAAUAGUACGGCCACCACGCAAAUGUAACUUGCAUGUACCGAUUCCUUUCACCUCCACUCUAUUAUCGUUGUCAACAUAUAUUCACUUUGUACCAACUGGAAAUCGACGGAACUCCACAAAUGCUUCUCGAUCCCUGGUUACAUGGUCUGUCGCUCCUGAGUCUACAAUCCACAUAGGAUAAGAUUCAGUUAGCAUAACAGUGCUUGAAACAUAAAUAGCACUAAAAGAAGUAUUUAUAAGAGCUACCUUCUUUGGCUCAAGGCGUUCCCGAGCAAAGUGACCCAGCACCUGACAGUUGAAGCAUUUCAGCUUGCUCUUAUCUUUCUUCUUUCCAAACCAUUUACCUUUCUUAUUGCGCUUGUGUUUGUUUUUUUUAGGUCCUUGUCCAGUUUCUUUUCCCUUCCCUUUCCUGCCUUUGAACCAGUUCUUCUUACGCUUAAAGCCUGAAAAUUUCCCAGAACUAGAAUAAGUUACAAAAGCUUGUCCUAGAGAUUUAGCUGCACCAAGGCGCUUAUCUUCUAGUUCUACAUGGCGAGCAGCAUCAGCAAAUGUUUUGAUACUAUGAUUAUGAGUUAAAUUGACUUUCAAAUGUUCCCAAUUAUCAGGAAGAGAGCAAAUCAAAGCCUGAACUUGUUGCUCAUCAAAGAGUAUAUGACCAGCUGAUUUCAAUUCCCUAAUCAUAGUUGACAUGAUUCUCACAUGUUGUGUGAUAUUGUGAUUAGGAAGUUUCUUGUAAGUGUCAAUUUUAAUAGUCAACUGCCUCAGUCUAGUCACACUAGUACCACCGUAUUUCUCUCUCAAAUAUGUCCAGAUGUCAUGAGCAGUCGGGAACUGCUCACACUCAUGUAUGAGAUCAUCCACCACAGAACUUACCAAAAUUGGACGAGUAGUGGAAUUUUUCUUUUUUCAUGUCUGGUAAGUUUCCUGAUCCCUUCAUUGUUGAGCAGACCACCACUGGGUCUUCCAUCACGUGGUUAAUGCCCUCAAGACAAUCCUGUUCCUCCAGCACGUACCAAAUUUUAUGGCGCCAAGUGUUAUAGUUAUCGCCAUUGAAUUUGUCACCUUUAUUUAGGUCAGCUAUGAUAUUCUUAGAUACCAUGGUCUGUCAAAAUAUUAGAGACAAUCAUAUAAAUGUCCAUUUAUGCACACAUCAUUUUGUGCUCAUGGAAAUUAAGUUUUAUGACAAUUUCACAUUAGACAUGGAGUCAAAAGUUUACUAAGUUCCCAAUCAUCAUCCAUUAUCCUAAUGUUACAUUAUCACAAAAUUAAUUUCAUAGCGUAAAAUCACAAGUUCUAAGUCAGAAUAACUUAAACUCUUUCACCCUUAGAACUCCCACUAAAGUAAAAGAUUAAUCAUGUACAAAAUUAGCAAGGCAUUUUGAAUAAAUCUGACAUAUAUGAAACAUAUACAUUAAUAUCAAAAUGUCAAAUAUGUACAUUCGUUCAUAUUAAACAUCUUUAAACAACUACUAAAAGUGAGAAAUAAAAUUUCACAUUCUUCAAUGAUUUUGAACUAACCAUACAUAUCUAAAUUAAUCACAAAAUUCUAAUUUUCUGAAUUCCAUUUUCUCUUCAAGAUCCUGACCAAAUAACUGUAGCAUAGAGGUGGUGAAUUAUCCAAAACUUCAAUAGUAACAUCAUGCCAAUAUUUAGGAAGCGUCCUCAUUAGAUGAUACAUACUUUCCACCUUACAUAUAUGCCGUCUCAAAUGUACCACUUCUCGAUGCAUCGCUUCGAGAUAUUUAAUGUGUUGUACUAGGUUAUGUCACGGAUCCAUUUCAUAGUUUCUAUAAGCACGUAAUUUUUCAACACGUUCCACAGCCCGUGCUCUACUAGCUGCUCCUCUAAGGAUGCUAAAAACGCAUGUGGAUCCAGUCAUAUCUGAUCAAGCACAAUAAUUGAAAAACUAGUCACAAUGGAUCGCAUAACCUAAUCGAGAUCCACUACUCAUGAAUGUAUAGAAAAUGUGGUACAUCAAAUACUUUCGGAGUAUUUUUUUCAUUUAAAAAAAUGAGAACACAAAAAAAGGGGCUCCCAUAAGGCAAAUACCACUUAACAACACUUAACAAAAAUAUUCUUGAUUUUUUUUUAAAAUUUCAAGAUUUAAUCAAGUCCCAAAAUAUUGUAUAUAAAUAUUUUUUAUUAUUUGAAAAUUAUUUUAAUUGCAUGAAAAAAAAAUUAAGAAUAUUCGAGGGACCAAUUUGUAAUCUUUUAAAUUGAAUUUGGAAUAAUCAAUUUCCAAAAAAAAAAAUAUAUCAUUUUGGGACCAACACACAACUUUUCAAAUUGGCACUGGAAUAAACAUCAUUAAAAAGUGUUGGGAAUAAAAAUUGCAUUUUGUAAGAUUUGAGGGACCAACAUGCAAUUUUUCAAAUAUGUUUAACAUUUAAAAGUGUGGGGACCAACAUGCAAUUUUCCAAAUUACAUUUGGAAUUUUAACAUUCAAAAGUAUGGGGACCAACAUGCAAUUUUUUUAAAAUUGGAUUUUGGAUUUCCCACCCUCUGCUGCAGUUUCAGUUUCAGUUUCAAUUUUUUUUUUCCGGGUUACUGUUCAUCGUCCUUAAAAAAAAACAGUUUUUUUAAGAUUUCUGGUGAAAUUUCGAAGGGCCAUAACUUCCUCAAUUUAAGGCCAAAUUUUAUGUUCUUUAUAUCGUUGGAAAGAUUUCAAGAAGAUCUAUCCAACCAUAUAAAAUAGGUAGUGUGAAACUUAACGUGCAAGAAAUUAUCAUGUGAUGAAGUUUCAAUUUUCUCAAUUAGGGUACGAUUUUUUCCCAAAAUAAAAAUCGAAAUGAAGUGAAAUUUUCUAGAUAUGUUCUCCAUAACAUCAUGAACAUACACAUGAACAUACAAUAUAAAUUUCAUCAAUUUAUAUGAAGUAUAUCAAAAUUCACCAUUAACGACAUUCAAGGUUUCAAAGAAAACGGGAAUUCAUACAUUUCAUUCAUUCUAAAACAUUUACAACAUGUAUUUAAGCAAGAAAACAACCUACUUAGGCUCUGAUACCAAUGUAAAACAUGCUUUCAUGCUUUUAACUGAAUUUAAGUUGUGAAACUUACUUGAAAAUCCUGAAAACAAGGUUGAAUUACUUGUUUAUUGAUUGCUUACCUCCAACACUGCCUUGUACCCGCUUCUUGGUCAAAACUCGAUCACCAAGGAAGAAGUUUGUUGUGCACAGUCCAAGAACCCAAUUAGAGAUGUAAUUUUUCGAAAAAUCAAGCCUCCACCCGCAUCCAAUUUUUACACCUUGAAAGAACCCGAAUUUUGAAUAUCCUUUUUGUUUUUUACUUUUCUAAAUAAUGAAGAAUGGAAGUUGAUGAUGGGAGUUAUGGGUGGUGGGGAGGUUAACUUUCAAAUUCAACUUUCAACCCCUCCCUCCAAAAUUCACUUCCAUGCAAAUCGGGUCGGGUAGGGUCGAGUCAACCCACAUGGGCGACCCGUUUUCUUCCAACAAAUUAAUUCUAAUCGAAUAUAACAAUUAAAAUUAUCUAAGGAAUAUGAUAAAUAAUAAAAAUCUUAGUUUAUCAAAUAUAUUCGAAUAAUUUAACUUUUAAAAUAAAUAAAUUAAUUUAAAAUUUUAAUAACUAUAUUAUUAUCUCACUUUAAUGAAUGGGGACAAUAAAAUGAAUUAUCAAAAACUAAAUAAAAAAAAUAAAAAGGGGUAUGUAAACGGGCCAACACCCUAUCCUGCCCUGCCUUUCAUUAUUAUUUUGUAAAUGAAUCCUAAUAAAUUAUUAAAAGGGUAUUUAACACAAAACAUCCCUAACUUUCAUUAUUAUUUUGCAAAAUGUCCUUACCUUUUAUUUUUUUUAACAUUUUCACCAUUAUUUUUAUAUUUCAUUGCAAAAAUCAUUAUUUUCAUCUAUUUUCUCAAUUAAAAGCUGCAAAAUAACAAAAAUACCCUCCUAUUUAAAUAAACAAAAAUAAAGAACAAAUUGUAACUAUACUCCCAAAUUUUCCAAAAUAAACUGCAAAUAAUUUUCAAAUAAAUAAUUAAAAAACAAAAAUCACUUUUUUAAUUAUUUAUUUGAAAUUUAUUUGAAAAUUUUGGAAAUAUAAUUGCAAUUUGUUCUUUGUCUUUCUUUAUUUUUAUUUUUAUUAAGCUUAUUUAAAGAAGAGUGUAUAUUUGUUAUUUUACAGCUUUUAAUUGAGAAGAUCGAUGCAAUGAAAAAUGAAAUAAGGGUGGAAAUGUCAAAAAAUAAAAGGUAUGAACGUUUUGUAUAAUAAUAAUGAAAGGUAUGGACUUUUUUUGUUAAUUACCCUUUUAAUAAUUUAUUUGAACUCAUUUGCACUUUUUAAAAAAGCUUAGGAGUAUUAUUUUAAUUUAUUCUUUUCUUUUUUAUUGUUUUAUUUAAAUAGGGAGUAUAUUUAUCAUAUUACAUGAGAAAUUUGAUGAAAAUGAUGAUUUACGCAAUAAAAGAUGAAGGUAAGGGUGUACCAAAAAAAUGAAAGGUAAAGACGUUUUACACAAUAACAUUAAAAGGUAAAGAUAUUUUGUGCUAAUUACCAUUCCUAGAAACAUCCAAAUGAACCAAAGAUGGUUGAUGUAAAAGCACAGAGGGAAAAAUUCAUAUAUUCUAGCGUAAGUAUAGGUGAUUUCAAAACUAAGAUGACAAGUUUGAAUUUGCAAAAAUCAGAAAUAUGGUAGUAACAAUCAAUUAGUUUUCUAAAAAUCAGCAUCCACUUACCUUCAAAAGCCGGAUUCCAUAUAUUAUCUCAUAUGGAGGGAGGGAGAUGAUUCGUUACAGUUAGUCGCUAAAAUCAAGCAUCCAAAUCCAACUCCCUAAAAUACUGAAUACAUGUUUAAAUCCCUCAACCACAUAAUUAAUUAAUUAUAUAAUUUAUUAAUUAAAUAUAUUAAGAUCACAUAGCUAUACAAUUUAGUCACAGAUUCAUAAUUUAGUUCGUCACAUAUUAUUUUCUGAUCAUAAAUCGUAAUUUUUAAAUAUUAUAAAUUAUUUUACGGUUACAAUUCAAAAUUUUAUAGGUCACAAUUUGUUCAUCGAUCACAAAUAAAAAAUUAAUAUGUCACAAUUUAUGUAUCGGUCACAGAUCACAAGAUCAUAACUUAUUAGAUGAUCAUAAAUUAAUAUUUUUUAGGUCACAUUGGUCACAAUUUAUCUUCAUCCGUCACAUAUUGUUUAUUGGUCACUGAUUAAUCAAUUCAAUCAAACAAAUAAUCUGUGACCAUCCCAACCUUUAUGAAAACCACUGCCUCCAAUAGUAUCACCAUCCUUAUUGCCUCCAGAACCACCAUGAGCACCAAUAGCAACAUCGUCUCCUCCCUGAUGUACUCCUUGCCCAAUGCUAGAUCAAACCUAGAACUUAGCCAACAUCACCAACAACUCACAUCACAGCCAUCACCAUCACCAACAUCCCGACCACCACAGUCUCACCACCAUCAUGAUUAGCACUAACGUCGUAGCCACACCACCAUAGCAAACCACCACAAAAUAAUAAUAAUAAUAAUAAUAAUAAUAAUAAUAAUAAUAAUAAUAAUAAUAAUAAUAAUAAUAAUAAUAAUAAUAAUCCCGACGAGCAGCAGCACUUUUGGGGAGGAAAAGCCGCGCUGAAACGACAUUUUCCGAAGAGAGAGAGAGAGAGAGACGACGGGUGGAGAGGAGAGAGGAGAAUCGGAGAGGGAAAGCUGUACUGAAAUGGCAUUUUUCAAAGAGAGAGAGGAAAUUGGAGAGAGAAUAUAAUUAAUUGGAGAUGAUGGGUGGGGAGAGAGGCCGGGUGAAGAGAAAGAAUACAAUUAACUGGAUAGGAGAGGAAUUGGAGAGAGAAUAUAAUUAAUUGGAGAGAGAAGACGGGUGAGGGGAGAAAUUGAUUUAUAUAAUUAAUAUUUAAAUAUAAAAAGUUUUAUUUUUGAAAUGUUAAACUGCUCAUCUUAUUUUUGAACCCUAGAUUUUAAUUCUAGGGUUUUUUGUAAUUACCACAAGCACAAAUUGGCAAUGUUGUACCGAUUCGACCAAUAAAAUGGGGAUCGGCCCAAAACAUUGCAAAUUGGACGUCAUAAAUAGUUCCAAAGCACUAUCACCUGCUGACGCUUUCAUAGGUGGGCCUGAAAAUGAUGCACAUGCAAUUAGGAGUGGAUGCGGUUCGAUUUGGCCUGAUUCCAAAGGAAAUUGAACCGAACUGAAUACUAAUGAGAAUUUUAGAAAUGGAAUCGAAUCGGAACCGAACCAAUCGGUUCCGAUUCAGUCCGGUUUGGUUCUUUACAUUGAAAAUGUCAAAAUAAAAUGUUCACUAAUAAAAACUCUAAAAAUGCUACCAAUGUGAUACUUUUAACAAAAUAUAGAAGAACCGAACAUACUAUUCAAAGAUCUAUUUAGGUAUAGAUUUACAAAAUGAAAACAAAAUAAUAAUCAUGUAAUCAAAGUGAAAACAAAAUAAAAAUUUUGUAUCUUAUAAAUGAAAUUAUAUAUUGUAAAUAAAUUUAUUUAGAUAUAGAUUUACCCAAUAUUCUAAUUUGGUUUGAAAAUCAAUUAAUCAAAGAAUUAUAAGAAGGGACAAGGAAAAGAGUCUAAAAUUAAGAAGGAACCCAAUUAUUUUUUGUAAAAGUGUUGGAGAUUGAGUUAUAUAUUUUACCAAAAAAAAGAAGGAAAAAAUCCAAUGAGAAUCGUCUGGUCCCGCAGUUCCCAAUUAUUUUUUAGAAGAUCUAGAACCGAAUCGGCUAGUUCUAAAUGGUUCCGAUCCGAUUCCACCGGUUCUGGAAAAAAGUGUCCACUCCUACAUGCAAUGUCAAUAAUCCAGUAUCCAAAAUGAUGCAGUCAAUUUUGAUUGAAAAUGGUAAAAAUUCAAAAUCAGAGUAAUUUUGGAUUGAGGAUAUGGAUUAAAGAGAGGUUGAGAUAUGUGGAAGACUAUUUCAAGGUGUGGAGUCAUAAGCCAAAACUAUUGAUGGUCGUCUUUUCAUAGUUAAUUAAAUCUUCUUUUGUUUUCCAUCAUUACUAAAGAAAUAUGUUUCCAAUAGCGUUCAUUUUGAAACAUCUUAUCUUCCAUCUCUCUAAUUCUCUAUAUGAAGCCAAAGAGUAGGGAUAGCAAAAAACUCCCUUUAAACCUGAUAUCAGCGGGCCCCGUCCCAAACUAGGUGGGUAUUACCCACUUAAUCAACUAUUCAAGUUGGGUUCGGGUCGGGAAAUUUUGCCCCGAGGCUGGUAUGGUUAACUCCCGCCUCCGUCCCACUUAUAUAUUUAUUUAAGAAUUCAGUACUUUAAAUCAAAAAUCUCACGAAAUUUCAUUAAUUUUACUAAAAGACGACAAUUAAGAUUAUCUAAGGAAUACGAUAAACAAUAAAAACCUUAAUUUAUCAAAUAUAUACUAAUAAUUAACUAUUAAAAUUAAUUAAUUAAUUAAAAAUUUAUUUACUAUAUUAUUAACUCACUUUAAUGAAUGGAGACAAUAAAAUGAAUUAUCAAAAACUAAAAAAAAAAAAAAAAGAGAGAGUACGUAAACGAGACAAGUCCCGCCCUACCUUAAACGGAUAACGGGGGGAGAAAUUACCGGGUGGGGCGGGGUUAUUGCCAUCCCUACUAGUAGAAUAGUUUCUCUUGCAGGCACAGAAAACUAGUAAUAUUAUCCACGUCAGAUUUUUUUUCCUCCUUCAAAAUUUCCUUAUGUUCUCAUUUUUUAGUAAAAUAACAAACUAAAAGCCAUAAAAAUAUUUAAUCGACUCAAUUAUUAAUUCUUUUCUCUAUUUUUUUUAUCUCAUUUAUAUUAAUAUUAGAAGUGGAUCGAAUAAAAUUUAAUUGUAAUCAAGUUUAUUAAUUAAUUUUUAUUUCUAUAUAUAAGUCAUUUUGAAAAAAUAACAUAUUUUGUCAAAAAAAAAAAUAUAAAUACAUAUAGCGGUUCAACCUCGAUUUAAUCUUUCAACCCUUGACCCUUUAACUUUUUCAGAUAUAUGGCCAGGUAUUUUUUUAGAAUAUUGGAUAUUGUAAUUUUUUUUCCCUUCCAUAAUCACCAGUAUUGUCCAACCAACACAUAAUGAACGUUGAUUCGUGGAUGCAAAGAUGCCAUUGAAUGAAAAAGAUGGGGUGGAUAGUAUGUUCUUCCAAUAAACACGGUAUUAUACAAUUCAAAGAUUCUCAUCGACCUGAUAUGAAGGCAAGCACAUGUGGCCAACUUUUUGAACUUAUAUAGGUAAAUUAACAAUCAUGCUACUUGUACAAUGAAUUUGACAAUAAAUUUGACAAUGUGAGAGUUGACAAGCAUCAUGUUCAUUGAUUUGAAAAAUUGUUUCUAAAUUCAAUUGCUGGGAUCUUUACACUUUACACAUUUUCAAACUCAUUGUAAAUAUUUAUUAUACAAAUAGAUUCAUUCGUAUACGAAUGACUACGUGGAAAUAAAACGAAAGGAAGAAACCAAGAGAAGUACCUUCAUUUUCUUGAGCAAAUCAUAACCAGCAUUCCUUUCACACGAUAAUUUGUAGAGGAGUGCUUCAGAACCCGGGAUUAAAUCCCAGGUUUCAAUCCCAGGCCGAGGUGGACCUCGGCUCUUGAUCUUCAAUCACGCGAGGCUCGCAUGAUUUCGCAUUGGGGGCCAAGGUUUUGCCACCUUGGCCCUAACUCCAAACCCGGGAUUUUAUCCCUGUUUGAGCAGCAAUUUCCUAAUUUGUAAUACAAGAUUUCUGAUUUGUAACAAAUUUAAUUGACUGAUGAUGAUUUGUCAGUAAAUAAUGUAAUUAAAACUGUAUAUUAAAGGAAGAAAAUUAUAUAAGUAAUCAAACUAAAAUUUUAAAAUAAUGUUUUAUAUUGGUUAUGUUAUAAAUAAUUUAAAUUAUAAAACGAUUUAUUGAGCAAUAGAUGAAAAAUAAAAGAAGUAAUAAAGAAUAAUUUUUUUGUCAACAAUAAACUACCAAAGUAAUGUCGAUGAUUGCCAGAGACAUCAUGAUCAAUAACUGCUUACCGAAGUGGGUUGGUGAAUUAGGAAUCACUUACGGUAUUGAUGAUAUUUUAUCUCGAAUUCUCCAUAAGUGAUCAUUAAUAUUUGACAAACUAAAUUUUUUUAUGAUAGUUUCGUCAAUAAAUAAAGUAGUUAAAAUUUAAUAUUAACAAAUAAAUAUUAUGUUGUUAAUACAAUUAAAACUUGAAAAUAACAUAAAAUUAAAAAACCAAAGAUUUCAUAAGUUACUUCAAAAUAAUAAAAGAUGUAAAAAGAUGCUUCCCUACCGCAUAAUUAAUGACCAAAGCACUGUCGAUGAUUGCCACUUACAUAAUUAUCAUCGAUAAAUAUGGACGGAAAUAGAGAUGUGCCGACAAUCAUCAAUGGUAUCGCUGUCAAAAGUUCCAUCCACAUUAUGUACGAAGUUUUUGUUGGUGAUUGUAAUUUUAUUAUUAUCAUCACGGUAAUUAUAUGUCUUUUCUUUUUUCGAAUUAUUAAAGUAGUAGAUUUGUUAUUGGGUGCUUUUAAACUUCAGUUAGCUUUUACUGUAAAAUGCGAUAUAGUGGAUGUUAUGUUAUCUGCUUGAAUUUGUAAUAAUCACAUUUGGUUUCCUUAAAGGUGAUGAAGCUGAAGUAAUUUCCCAAUGACCAUUCAAUGGUAUAUUACAUUAAAUUCCAUUAUUACGAUAUCUGGUAAACCUGUUUGUUUCUCAUUUUUUCCUCAUUAAAAUGAAAAAUAUGAUUAUUAUCCGUCACAUCAAGCCACCAAAUUUGAAUUUCUAUAUCUUGUGUGGAGUCCAUAACGACUAUAUUUUUCAUUCUCAUUCUUACAAAAAUGAGAAACAAAAGGGGCUAGAUGUCUGUUUUGCAUUGAAGUCCAGGAUUGGAUAUGAGAACACCCCCACCCCACAACAAAAACAAAAAAAAAAUAAAAACAAAAACAAAAACAAAAAAAAAACUGUUACAAAUGAAGUGGAUGUUGAGAAUUAAAAAUUCUUAUUUUAUUCUACCAAGAGCAAUCAAUUGAAGAAAUAAAAAUAAACACUCAAAAGCAAGCAAAAUUUAUAGAGUUUCGCCUCAACGUGAAACUACGUCUUCUCUUGUCGGUACAGUAACUCGCUAUGAUAAAAAAAGGUUUACAAAAGCACUCCUAUUCUCUCUCUCUCUCUCUCUCUCUCUCUCUCUCUCUCUUUAUAAUAAUUAUAAAGUCGAACCACGGCUCCCUAUUUAUAAAGCAUAUAAAGGCAAAAUCGAAUUUUACAAUAACUCCAAUUCCUUAAUAAAAUUUUACAAGAAUACAAAUAUCUAAACAAUUCUUAGAUUAAAUUUUGGUUAGGGUAUCUCCACCCCACCCCUGGGGCCUCCUGCUCCCUUCCAACUCCCACAGCAACCUCACCACAGAGAUUGAUCAAUGCCAACUUCGUGAAAUAACAAUAAUUAUAAUCGAUAAUAAUUAAACUCCCUAACUUAACAGUGAAUGAUUACUCGAAUUCGGCAAGUGAUGUGGUAAUGGUACAUGCAAGUACACUUCUACAACGAAUUUUGGUGGUGAUAUGCAAGCGGAGGUAUGUUUUUAGAUGAAUUAUAAGAAACGGAUCGAAUAUUCGAAUUUUUGUGUUGCACUGUCUUAUUCAUUAAAGCAUGUAUUUAUAGACCAAAAAAGCAGAGCGAAUUCCAUUUCAUAUUUGAUUAACUCAAUAGGUAAUGAAAUUCAUUAAUUUGAUUUUCAAAAUUAGUCCUUUGUUUAGACAAGUUGAUUCACAAAGUAACGUGUGUCAAGUACUUCUAUCAUGUGUUCAUACAUGGACCAUUGAAGGGGCGAACAAGGCAGUGGAAUGAGGGGGACCGCCAUAACAGAGGAGAAUUUGAUUUCAUAAUUUGAAAAAAAAGGGGCCGAAGUAUAAAAAAAGGUGGGCAUGAGUAAAAAUGCUUAAACGAGAAACUUAGCCACAACUGCUUUAUAUACUAGAAAAAGAUGUUACAGUUUAAAUAACAAGCUUUACAAACUACGAUAACGAGUAAAAAGUCUAUCCACCAUUUGUGCAACACAAGUAAAAUACAUUGAUAUAUCAAUAUCCAAUUAUACGAAUAGCGAAAGCUAGAACAGAGUUUGGGUUAUCUACUCUAGCUUACAUUUGGCAAUGGAUCCUUUUUGCCACACAUUGCCAAGAAAAACUUAGAGACCGACCCAGUGUGAGCGAACAUUAGAGUUGUGCAUAGAAGACGCACUGGGAGAUGUCACACGCCAUUCGUACCAAACCAGUGAUAAUUAAAUUAAAUGCAAUUAAUAUCAGGUGAGACAUAAAGAGUUAAGUAAUUCCAAACCUAUAUUCUCUGUUUCUUGCCCAGUGUUUUUAUGCAUGUCCUAGGACAAAAAGGACAUUUCAAAAUUAGAUGGAUUAAACCCACCAGCCUAAAACAAAUUCUAAUUCACUUCUUGCCUAUAGAGAAUAAUAAUAAUCAUUUUCAGCAGCAAGUAUAGAAAUUGCCCGUAUAUCCAUUACUUAAGGCUAAGCAACAUAAAAAAUUAUUUAGAUAAUUAGGAUAUAAUUUAAAUUAAACAUUGCAAACACAUUGGGACAGAUAUUAUUUAUCUUAGGAUUCCUAAGUGGAGAUGAUCAUCUGACAAGUUAAUAGCACCAACUCUACUUUAUUAUAGGUCUCUUAGUGCAACGCAUGACCGAGAAUUCUACAAGUGCAAGAUUCAAUUUAAUUUGAGCUUUUAUCUCAUUUCAAUCGCUUUAACAGUUUCAACACUACAUAAUCAAGAAUCGAUGGACCUCCAAAUGUGUAUUCUGUGUCACUCAAACUGGCGUACUCAAUAGGAAAAAUAUCGGAAACCUGCAGAAAUCGAAGCCAACCAAAAGAGAACAAUCAUCUCAUGGAUAAUAUAUUCACUCCAAUGUACAAUUUCUUUCAUGGUGCAUUUUAUGUUUUCAUAGAACUUUUUCAAUUGAAUUUUCACUUUUUCUUUAUUGUGCGGUUGGGGGAGAGUAGGAGGGUGUCUUAUAUUUUAGUGGCUUUAAAUAGUAUCUUUACUAAUGAAUAUGGGAUCAACGCAUACCAAAACCAACUGUACCUAUAGAUACGAUAAUAGGCAGAAAUAUUUGUCCAUAAUUUUGCAUGAUUAGCAUUACCUUAGAUUUUUGGAAAUAUUCAUGAAAGAAAAUAUUUGGUGUUGCUGUUGAUAGUUCAAUAAACCAUUUGAAACAAACACCAACUAAAAGAAUAUCUCAAUGGUCGCCAUCUGCUACAUGAUGUCAUUGGAAGUAUAUUUUCUUGAUUAACAAAAUCAACAAUUUACGCUUUAACCUCUCUACAUUCCAGGAUAUGUUGUUCUUGUCCAUUAUGUCAUCUUUUCCAACACCGAUUUGACUACAUGACAUGGCCUUGGCUUGGAAAAUGAAACACUUUGUCAACAAAUAUGAAUACAACGCAACUGAUAAAGCUAUUAUAUUAGCCUUCUUCAUCACUAUGGGCAAAGCUUGCAUUGAGCCCAUAAUUGGCUAUAAUCAUCAUGUGGUGACUGAUAAGUGUGUUUUUGCACACUCAUUUAAUGCCUAAAUAAAUUUAAAUAUUGAUUAAUUGAGCAAAUUUCCAUUCACAAUAAUGUAAUUAUUGCAUUUGUAAGUAAAAAUCACCCAAGGUAAUAGAAGAGGUAAAAGGAAGUGAAAAGGGACCAAAAGCGUACAAAAUUGUGAAGUUGGGGGACCAAAAUGCAUAAGUGUCAAAAGUUCAAGGACUUGGGAUUGCAAAUUUUGGAGGGCGUAAUUGAAAGAAAGUCAAAAUUUGAGGACCAAAUUGUACAGUCCAAAGUUGAGGGAUAGUGUGCAAAUAUGGGAGGACGUGAACUACAAAUAAUGAAAAAUGGGAAGUAACGCCACUGGCACCACUAUAGCAGCGCCACGGCUAUGAACAUGACCUAUUUGGCUAUAUUUUUGUAAUUGGGGACCAUUUUGCAAUUAACCAAACACGAUUUUUGGGCCUUUUAAAAGGAAAAUUCAACAGUGUUUCCCCUAUUUCUCUCUUGAACUUGAAGAGAACCCUAGCCUCCUCUUUCUCUUUCACUUUCCUUUUCAUUUUUUCUUUCUUUUUCUUUUCUUCUUCUUCUUAUCUUUUCUUUGGUAAUUUUUGGGGCACAAUCUAGAGCACAAGCAGAUUUGAUUAAGGAUUUGACAAAGCUUUGGGGAAAUCAAGAGCAAGUUCAAAAAAGGAUUUUAUCUACAACUUGUAUUUUCUCAAUUAUUUUGUCAAACUUGCAAUGUAUUGUACAAAAUAUUCUCCUUUUUAUCAUUUGUAUGAAAUGGGCAAGUUAUUUGUGUUGGGAUUUAUUGUUGUAGUUUAAUCUAGCCUUGAUUAAUUUUAAUAUUUGCCCUUUGAUAUUGAUUUGCUUAUUUUCAUGUGUUUUUCUUCUAUUGUAUUUCAUGCAUUUUCAUUUAUGUGGUCAAUGAAUGAUUAUGUUUAGUGAAUUUUAUAUCGUUCAAGAGAAGAUUGUGCAUUUUAGAUCAAAUAGUAGAAACCCUGAGUUUGUAUAGGGGAUAGAGAUAUACCCCUAACCCUAGAUGACCCAAUGAGCUAUUUUCACAAAUAUUUAAUGCAAUUGUUUAGUUUUAAUCGAUAUAGAGAUAUAAUAGGGUUAAUUUCAUUCGAGAGAAGUAAUUAAUUAAAAUUAAAACAUUGAGUCUAACAUCGUAAAUGAGUAACUUUUUAAUUGACUUGUGGUGAAAUUAAUUAGGCGACGGUUAAAUGAAACCAUGAAUCUCAACCACGUUUUCUUCCAAAAUUUUCAAGAUUUUUAUGUUUUCUUAUUUUGUAGGUUUUUAGUUAAUUUCCUUAUUUCAAAAUCAUAUUUUUAAUUAUGUGUGUUUAUUUUUAUUGUUAGAAUUAAAUUAUUAAUUACGGUUGCGUAAUCUAAAGUAUAUAUUCCUCAAGGGAUCAACAAUCCGGACUCAAAAUGUCCACUUUAUUACUUGAACGCGACUUGUGUACUUGUGAUGUAUAAUUUUAGCGAAACAGUAAAAAGUAAUCAAAAGUACAAGGAUGUUACAAGCAAAGCCUGACAAUAAUACCAUAAUCAAGGAAUAGAAAGUCUUUCCAAUUGAAACUAACGUUCAGCUUGAGCCACCAUAGCUUUGCAAUCCUAAAACAGACAUAAAUUUAGAUAAUAGUAGUUCUUAUUUUAUUAAUUCAUCAACUGCAAUCCUAAAACAGACAUAAAUUUAGAUAAUAGUAGUUCUUAUUAUAUUAAUUCAUCAGCUAACAUAUAAAUCAGUCCUUCCUAUAGAUUACUAGUUGAGUGUGAAGGGGCAAAGCAAAUCGAAAAUAAAUUGCUUUACAUAAUAAUUAUACAAAAUGGCUAAUUUUGGGCAAAAGGUUGAAAAAUACUAGGCAACCCUUCCAUUUCUGAUGAAACAGAUAUACCAUAACAGAAUAAUUGACAUUCCUUCCCCUUUCAUCAUCCAACUAAACUUUCUUUAAGAAAAAAAUAUCUCAAGUUAAAAAUCCAUGAGUAACAGAAUUUUUUUCUGUGGUUUUUUCUCCUCUUUGCCCAUUGUUUUUUCCUUCUUGGAUUUUCAUGUAAAUUUUGUGCUCUUGUUAUCAUUUUAUAUUGUCAAUUCUUGCUUUUUCUUAAUAUGUAAUUUGAAAAAAAAUAAUAAUAAUAAAAUAAAAUUAGGCUUGUAAAAUAGGUAGUCCGGGUAAAGUUAGCAGUGAACAAAUAUAAUAUGAAUGUGAAAAACCAAGUGACAUCAAGCCAAAAAGUAGCUGGAUGAACUAUGUAUAUGUAUUAUUAUUAUGAUUAUGGUUAGUAGAUCUAUAGUAUGCUACAAAUACCUAGAUAUACAAUUACCAAAUUCCCAGGUAAACGCAAUUUAUUUUCACUUGCAUUCAACUUAUAAAGUGAAUAAUUAUUCAUUGUCAACAACUUCUACAGCAUUAUAGAAAAAAUGAGAUAUCUAGGAACUAGGUAUUUGAUCAAUAAAAAUAGGGAAGGUGGCUCAAGGGAGUGACAAAAUUAUUAAUAAGAUGAGGCAAAUUAAAGAAACAAACAAAUGUUGGAAGUUGAAAUCUACUUAAGAAACAAAAAGUACUUCCCUAUCAGUCAGAAGGGACAAUAUGAUAGAUACCAAAACAAGGCAAUUGCUAAGAGAUUCAAAGAUUACAUAAUUAUAAGCAAGAAAAAAAUAAAUAUUGAUGAUUUAUUGUAGUUGAUAAUGGGGGUUGGCUAACAAACCUUACGUAGAAACUAUACCAUUCGCAAUCAAACCAUGAUCCCUGAAUUUGAAACGGGCAUAUAACGAUUUGCAAAAGAGAUAAUGGUGUUGGAUUCCCGGUGGAUAAUGCACAUGCACUAGGAUUGAACAUAGAGGAAAUCAUUGAAAAUAACCCAAUAACCCAUGUGUAUUUCCAAAGUAACCUUUGACUAGUUUUUAGAGGAAAAAACGAAAAUUGAUUUUAAAGGUCAAAAUCCCAAAAUACCCUCAGACGGUCACUUUCCCAUUUGCUUAGAGUCGGCCAAAACCAAGGAAAAGCUACAGUCAAUUUCCAAUCAGUAGACGUUUCCAGUUCAUCUCCGGCGACCUUCUUCUUGUUAAAAUAAGCUUCGAGUUGUUAAUUAACUAGAUUAAUGUUUAGAUUUUCAUAUUGUGUGUGAAUGUUGAAUUCGUGAAGGUUUUUGGAAUGUAAUAUUGGUUAUGUAGGUGUAGAAUUAUGAAUAUGGGUCUAAAUUGAAGAAUAAUAGGUGGAUUUUGAGAUUUGCAAGCUUUUCUCGUUGGAAAUGGAGAUUUUCCGACGAGAAAAGCCGAAAAAAAUGCCGGCUACCAAAGCCGGCAUUUUGGGUAAAACCCGACUAUGUUUGCAGCCGACAUUUUGGGGAAAACUCGACUGUUAACAGCCGGUUGGCCCAAUUGUCAUGGGGACUGUUUUUAUUUUUCAUGGACUGACUAUUUUAAGUGGGCCGACUAUUAUAAUCGGCCCAAUAACAAGUUUUUUUUUUUUUAAUUUGGGCUGAUUAACAGUCGUCCCAUUAUUUGGGCUGCCUGUUUAGUCAGCCCGUUGACUGUUAAGCAGGCCGAAUGUUAUGGUCGGGCCGAUGCCUUUAUUUAUUUUUUAUUUUUUUCUUACAUAUAUUUAAGAAUUUCAUUUUAAAUAAUUUUAAUUAUUAGUUUUUAAUAAAUAAUAAUUUAUUUAUUUGUAAAAUUUAAAUGUGAUAUUGAAUUUGAAUAUUUAUUUUUAUUUCCUCAUUUUUGAUAAAUAAUAAUUUUUCAUUCUCGAAUUUAAUUAGUUUUUAUAAUUUUAAUAUUUAAUAAUUCUUUUAAUUUUAAAUUUAAAUUUCAUAUUUAGUUUUAUUAAUAGUUUUUAUAAACAAUAUUCUUUUCGUUAAUCGAAUUUAAUUAAUUCUUGUCAUUGUAAUUUUGAAUAAUUAUUUAAUUUUAAAUUUUAUUUUUAUUUUUAUUAAUAGUUUUUUAUAAAUAAUAUUCUUUUCGUUAAUCGAAUUUCAUUAAUUCUUGCCAUUGUAAUUUUGAAUAAUUAUUUAAUUUUUAUAUUUCAUAUUUAUUUUUAUUAAUUGGGAUGACUGUUAACUGUAGACUGACUGCUAAUAGUCUUAGGCCGACUGUUAACCGUCAGACUAUUAACAAUUUAAUUUUUUUUAAAUAUAUAUAUUUAAUUUUUUAAUUUUUUAAAUAUAUUUUAUAAUUAAUUUAUUAAUAAUUAUGUUAUUUUUUUUAAUUGUCUUUUAUUUAUAUAAUUUAAUAAUUGAAUAUUAUCUAAAAGUAACAAUUUAUUUUCCAUGUUAUUUAUUUAAUUUAAUUUUUUUUGUAAAUAUAUUUCCCUAGUGUAAUAUACAAAAUUAAUUUUCUUUAUAAUUUUCAUUUGAUUAAAUAAUAAUUAUGUUAUUUAUUUAUUUAAUUCUUAUAUUCUUUAAUUUUUUAAAAUUUAUUUAAAUAAUAUUUAUAUUCUUUAAAUUUUUUUGAAAAUAUAUUUAAUCUUUCAUUUUUAACUUUUUUGUAUUAUUUAAAUAUUAAUAAUUUCCUUUUGCUGAAAAUCUCAUUAAUUUGUAUUUGAAUUUAAUUAAUUAUUUUUAACAUUUGUGUUGAAUUUAUUUUGUUAUUGGCGUCAAGAAUUCGGUUCCCAUUGAUUUUUUGAGAUUAUGCGUUAUUAUAUUAUCUCUUGUUCAAUGUUCUAACAUUUGAAUUUUUGCAGGAUGGAGCAUCAUUUAAAUGGGGAGUUGAGACGGAAGGCAGGGAAAGCUACUUGGAACAGUAGUUUUGAGAUUUUUACUGUUGUGUUGGAGAUGCUCAAUGAUCAUCACGGAAAUAUGCUACGACAAUCCUUCUUGUGGGCACUGUACUAGAUGCAAGAGUUGCAGUACUCAGGACUAAUCAUCGAUGCACUUCUAUGUCAGCUUCUGAGGCCAGUCGACGGCGAUUCCCUCCACUUCGACCUCGGGGGCAAGGUCGUCAGUUUCUCGAUGUCUAAGUUUAGCUUGAUCACUGGACUGAAGAUUAUGGGCGACGAUGCAGACAUUGAGAUAAGCAAUAGGUUGUACGAGACGUACUUCCAGGGACAUGGGUCGGUGCAUCUACCUGAGUUGAUGGUUUCGAUCAGGGGGUACGACUAGAUGCUAGAUAGAUUGAAGCUUGGGCUGGUCUACAUCCUCGAGAAUGUGAUAAGGUGUCAUCACAAGAAGACUGCCAUCGACAUUUUUUCAUUUGCAAGUUGUUAACGACAUCGAUGCGUUCAACAACUAUCUAUGAGGCCGGAGAUGCUACAAAGACACCGUACAUGUGCAUGUGUUUAUUAAAUGAAUAACUCAUACUUUUUUGGUGUUUCUUGAUGUAGCACAUCGACCUGGCCAUGGACUUGCUACGAGAUCAAGCUCAAAGACAUCCAAAAUCAUUUGAUGUCCAUGGUCGAGUCAUAUUAAACACUGAGUUCCUGCGUGUCGUUACCAUAGAGUAUCAGUCGCUCUAACUUAUGAGUAACGAGUACACGGUGCUAGAAUAUAUGCUCGAGUGGUCAUAUGAAUUUCACCGAGUGUCGGGGGAAAAUCAUGGGAGGGUUGUACACAUAUGUACAUUCCAACGUGCAUCAAUAAUCACUAUGUUACGCUGAAGAUCGUUUUUCCUGACACGACUAUAUAUGUGUACGAUGCAGAUUAUUCAUGUUUGACACAAGGCUAGCUGGAGCAAAACCUGGAGUCUGUAGCUGUAAUUGUUCCUAUGAUGGCCAGACGAGCGGGGAUAACUGUACAUGACAGAUUGCGGAUUGUUUGAAACACGACAACAGUGUGACAGUCCAUAAGGUAAGUGUUUGAACUUUGUUAUUUUCAUCUUUCAGAUUUAGUUUUUAGCUACACAGUACUGAAUUGAUCCAUUCUUGUUCAAUUGUAGUGGCGACUGCGGCAUAUUUGCCAUUAAGUAUGAUGAAUUUUUAAAUAUAGGACAUAAGGUUGAUAGAAUCAACCAAUCGUUGGUACAGAACUGGAGAAAGAAGUUAGCUUGUGAUUUGUUCGAAUUUAAUGGUAACCCGUAAAUUUGUAUUAAAUAUAUGUAACAUUCGAAUUGUAAAUUUAAUUAUUUUUUGUGAUUAUGAAAUAAUUGUAAAUUUGAAUUCAAUAUAUAUAACAUUCACAUUGAAAAUUUAAUUAUUUUUUUGUAAGUUGAUUUUUUGUUAUUUUACACAUAUGCCGAGUAUGGAACUACUUUUUUCAUAUGAAUCAUUAUAAAUACCAUUUAUUAAGAAUAAAUAUUGAAUAUUGAACAUUUAUGAAGAACAAAUAUUGAACAGUGUAAAGUAAACGUAAAUAUUAUUCAUUUAACGUACAUGUCUAAUUGUCAUUUAGGGGAAUUUGACUGGUACAAAAUUGCCUAGUAUGCCCUAUUGCUCUGCACCUGCCACACCUACGCGGUCGAGGAAACUCUCCAGUAGAUGGUAUUCUAGAUGUACUUGGACAUCCAGGACCAUGCGGUUCAACUACUGGUGGCAACAAAUUAUGAAACGGGAGAAUAUGUUCGGGAACUUCCCACUCGACUUCAUUCGGCAGAGGAAAUAUAGUCUCAGCAUAUGCUGUUCUCCAAGACUCAGUCGUAUAAUAUAAAGAGCAUAACGUUCUUGCAGCAAAGCCUUGAAACAUGGCCACUGCAACUGCAUGCUCACAUGAAAAACUCUCCAACUGAAAUCUCGUACAAAUGCAUGUGUUAUCAGUCAAGUCCACCAUAUAUGCCGUAUUACGUACACAUUGCACGGAGAAGCAAAACUUAUCUAGUGCUUCCACAUUCAACUUCCUCACAACCUCUGCCGCCUUAAAGAGUUUCUCCUCUUAAGCUGGGUCCAACACGCUAGUGCAACUCUGUGAUGCCGCACGUCGAUUAUGAAACCACUGUUGCAGCUUGUUACGAAUGUGCUCAAUCAUUGCGAGAAUUGGUAACUCUCGAUCCUUCUUAAAUAAUGCAUUUAGAGACUCCGUGUUAUUCGAUGUCAUCAUGUUGUAUCGACGUCCUGGAAAGUAUGAUCGCGCCCAAUGUUCGAUCCCCAUGUUCGUCAGAUACUUCAACGCCGGUAAUGAUUUGCUUCCUAUCUCGAACAUGAACUUAUUACACUCUUCAGCAUCGAUACCUAGUUUUCAAAUUACCUUGUAUAUGGUACAUCCAAUACCCGUGAUGUGCCUCGAGAAAAACUUCAACGAUACCGUUUAUUAUAGACUGUCCCCGAUUGGUUAUAAAGGCAAGGUCUUCAACUUUCCCGAUCACUUUCUUCAGUUUAGAAAAGAAUCAACGCAUGAACAGAUUAUUCUCAUUGUCACUAUGUCGAAUGCAAUAGGGUAAAUUUGGAUGUUGACAUCUUGACAUGUAGCAAUAAUUAAUUUGCCUUGAUAUUUAGCUUUCAGAGUUGUACCAUCAACUAGAAUUACGGGUCGCAUUGCAUUUCGAAAACACCGAAUACAUUGUCCGAGAGCCAUGAAGAAAUACGUAAAAUAAUUAUCGCCCCCCGUCUCAAUAAAAAAUGUCAUGCCAGGAUUAGUUGUCCCCAUGUUAUGACAAUACCUGGCCAAUUUAGCAUAGCUCUCCUAAGUCGAUCCCAUUAAAUCCUCCAACAUACAUUCUUUGGCCUUCCAGGCUUUCUGGUAGCUCAUGACCACUCUAUACUCUCGACCGACGUCGUUAAUGAUGUUUGAAGGUCUAUAGAUCGUCCAUGGGUCCUGAUACUUGAGCCUUGUCUGUUGACCAAUAAACCAUGCUCGAGCUUGUCUGUAAUCAUUUCGACAAAUUUCCACUUCGCAAGUAUGUUCCCGUGCCUAUUUGCAAACUACAAAGCACUCAUUCUUGUCCAUCUUAGUCACUCUCAAGCGCCAAUUGCAAUUGUCGCCAACGCAGGUAAUUGUCAACAAUGACUUGAUUGAUUUCUUUACAUUGAACUAAAAUUUAUAUUUUAAUGUCAUCCGGUGCACAGCUUCCUACAAAUCUUUCUUGGUUUCAAAUAGUUGUUGAACAUACAAAUCCUUAUCAUCAGGAGCCACACGGGAAAAAUUGGAGGAUGGUCCACUUGUUCCACUCCUUGAGCUCCCACCUCGCUCAGAUCUCUGUCGGGAUAAAGUAAUUAAAAUUUCAUUUGUAAAAUCAUUUAUAUUUUUGUUGUCCUCAACUGUCGAUGGAACUCUAUGCGUAAUAGUGACUUCACGAUCAGUAACAACUGUUUCAGGAAUAACCACAUCAUCUGCAGGAAUUAUCUCCGCUGUCUCCCAAAAAUCUCUGUCAUUAUUAUCCGCUCCAUCUGAAUCUUCGCGUUCACCUUCGACAACAUCAUUCUUAACUAAAGUCAAGCCAAGAGCAGCUGGAGUCCUAUGCAUUUUAUUCAAUUCUAAUAGAUAAUUCAAUUCAACAUUAUUAAAUAUAGGUGGCAUCGGAAUGGACGAAUCCCCAUAACCAUUGAAUAAAUAUCUCAGUUGCAUAUUGUACUGAGAAGGAUCGACAUUCAGCUUAUUUUACAAAUCCCGGUACACUUCCGCACCGCAUAUGAUGUAUUCUGUUACGAAAAUUGCAAUACAAUCACAUACAUCACUCGUCCAUCUCCAUUACCAUCUAUUAUUUUCAUUCAGUUCGAAAUCACCGAAAUAACAGACCGAGAUUAUCAUAUCUACAUGACUAUAUAGAAUUUUUAAAUCAAUUACAACAACAAAAAUUCAGAUAUUUAAUCAACUUGUAAUUAAAAUUAUAAGACAAUUGUCAAAACAUUAAUUAUAAUAUAAAAAAUUUCAUAAAACAAUCGAGAAAAACAGCCGACUAUGGACUGUUUUACAGCCGACUGUCAAUUCGACUGUUUAACAACCGACUAACAGUUGGCUGUCGACUGUUAGAUAGUCGACUGUCUAACAGCCGUCGGUCAACUAUUAGAGAGUCGUCUAACAGCUGACUGUCAGCUGUUAGACAGUCUUUUGACAAUCGGCUGUCUGCUGUGUAACAUUUUUCGUUAACAUCCCACAGUUAAUCGUCGGACUGUUUAUUUUGCGUAUGACUUUUUAUUUUUCUAUGGUUCUAAAGAAAAAAAUUAUAGAUCUGUUAAAAAUUUUUUUAUUAACUACUGUGUUAUUUAACCACUCAAACGUACACUAAUUUACUAAAAUCGAAAUUAAGCAUGUGUAAAAAUAUGCUUACCGAUUUGAAGUAAUUGAUCUGAAAAAAGUUUUGGCUUCGACGUUUGAAGUUUUUUGAUAUUUUGAGGUUCAAGCAGAUGAAAAAUGAGAGUUUUUCUGUGUUCGAAACUCGUUCUGCAGUUUUAUAAGUGGGGUAGUGUUUGGUUUUCAAUUAUUAACUAAAAGAGUAAUAAUGUCUUUAAAACUAUCCAAUAUUUUGUAAUUAUAUAAUAUAUUUAAUGGCAUCUCUGUCUUUUACCAUUCAAAAGGUUAAUGUGAUAAUUUUCAAGUUUUUAAAAGUCAAAGUGGAAAUAAGGGUCUUUGACUAGGUCAAUUUUAAAAAUACCCCAUUGAACAUAGCUGCUUUAAAUGUCCCAUUACAAGAGAAAAAAAACUCCCAGAAUCAUCUACAAAUUUGAAGAAGUUAAAUUUGGGUAUGCGAAUUCUUUAAAGGAAAUACCAUAUGCAAGAGCCAAUAACAAGGCUCAAACACAUAUCUAACCUCGAUUUUCCCCUAAUCGGUAUUGGCGACUAGCUGUGACGAUUGACAUUGCAGAUUUGACAGCGAGAGUAGCGGAAAAAGAGAUAUUACUUUUGUCUUAAGAGAUUAGGAUUUCCACUUCCCCUUUCCUCGGGGUACUUUUAAAAUUGACCUAGUCAAAGGUCCUUAUUUCCACUUUGACUUUUAAAAAUUUGAAAAUUAUCACAUGAACCUCUUGAAUGGUAAAAGACAGAGAUGUCCUUAAAUAUAUUAUAUAAUUACAAAAUAUUGGAUAGUUUAAAAGACAUUAUUACCCUUUUAGUUAAUAAUUGAAAAUCAAACAUUUCCCCACUUAUAAAACUGUAGAACGAGCUUCGAACACAGAAAAACUCUCAUUUUUCAUCUGCUUGAACCUCAAAAUAUCAAAAAACUUCAAACGCCAAAGCCAGAAUUUCUUUCAGAUCAAUUACUUCAAAUCGGUAAGUAUAUUUUUACAUAUGCUUAAUUUCGAUUUCAGUAAAUUAGUGUACGUUUGAGUAGUUAAAUAACACAGAAGUUAGUAGAAUUUUUUUUUAACAAAUCUAUAAUUUUUUUCCUUUAAAACCAUAGAAAAAUAAAAAUUCAUACGCAAAAUAAAUAGUCCGACGAUUAACUGUGGGAUGUUAACGAAAACUGUUAGAUAGCAGACAGCAGACUGUCAAAAGACUGUCUAACAGCCGCCAGACGAUUGUCUAACAAUCGACCGACGGCUGUUUUUCCUGACUGUUUUACAAAUUUUUUAUUAUAAUUUCUAUUUGGCGAUUAUCUUAUAAUUUCAAUUACAAGUUGAUUAAAUAUCUGAAUUUUUGUUGUUGUAAUUGAUUUAAAAAUUCUAUAUCAUUAUGCAGAUAUGAUAAUCCUGAUUUGUUAUUUGGAUGAUUUCGAAUUGAAUGAAAAUAAUAGAUGGGAAUGGAGAUGGACGAGUGAUGUAUGUGGUUGUAUUGCAAUUCCCGUAACAGAGAGUAUAUCAUAUGCGAAAGUGUACCAGGAUUUACAAAAUAAGCUGAAUGUCGAUUUUUCUUAGUACGAUAUGCAACUGAGAUAUUUAUUCAAUGAUUAUGGGGAUUCGUCCAUUCCGAUGCCACCUAUAUUUGUUACUUAUGAUGCUGAAUUGAAUUAUCUAUUAGAAUUGAACAAAAUGCAUAGGACUCCAACUGUUCUUGGUGUGACUUUAGUUAAGAAGGAUGUUGUCGAAGGUGAACGUGAAGAUUUAGAUGGAGCGGAUAAUAAUGACUGAGAUUUUUGAGAGACAGUGGAGAUGGUCCUGCAGAUGAUGUGGUUAUUCCCGAGACAGUUGCUACUGAUUGUGAAGUCACUGUUACGCACAAAAUUCCGUCAACGGCUGAGGACAACAAAAAUAUAAAUGAUUUUACAAAUGAAAAUUUAAUUGCUUUAUCCUGACAGAGAUCUGAGCGGGUGGGAGCUCAGGGGGUGGAACAAGUGGACCGUCCUCCAAUUUUUCGUGUGUGGCUCCCGAUGAUGAGAAUUUGUAUGUCAAGCAACUAUUUGAAAUCAAGAAUGAUUUGUAGGAAGCUAUGCACCGGAUAGCAUUAAAAUAUAACUUUGAGUUCAAGGUAAAGAAAUCAACCAAGUCAUUGUUGACAGUUGCCUGCGUUGACGACAAUUGCAAUUGGCGCUUGAGAGUGACUAAAAUGGACACGAAUGAGUGCUUUGUAGUUCGUAAAUAUGCACGGAAACAUACUUGUGAAGUGGGAAUUUGUCGAAAUGAUCACAGGCAAGCUCGAGCAUGGUUUAAUGGUCGACAGAUAAUGCACAAAUAUCAGAAUCCACGGACGAUUUAUAGACCUUCGGAUAUCAUUAACGACAUCCGUUGAGAGUAUGGAGUGGUCAUGAGCUACCAGAAAAUCUGGAAGGCCAAAAAAUGUGCGUUGGAGGAUUAAAUGAGAUCGGCUGAGGAGAGCUAUACUAAAUUGGCCAGGUAUUGCCAUAACAUGGGGACAAUUAAUUCUGGCACGGCAUUUUUUAUUGAGAUGGGGGGCGAUAAUUGUUUUAAGUAUUUCUUCAUGGCUCUCGGACAAUGUAUUUGGGGUUUUUGAAAUGCAAUGAGAUCCGUAAUUCUAGUUGAUGGUACAACUCUGAAAGAUAAAUAUCAAGGCAAAUUAAUUAUUGUUACAUGUCAAGACGCCAACAUCCAAAUUUACCAUAUUGCAUUCGACAUAGUCGACAUCGAGAAUGAUCUGUCCAUGCGUUGGCUCUUUUCUAAACUGAGGAAAGUCAUCGGGGAAGUCGAAAACCUUGCCUUUGUAACCGAUUGGGGACAAUCUAUAAUAAACAGUAUCGCUGAAGUUUUUCCCUAGGCACAUCACGGGUAUUGCAUGUACCAUAUACAAGGUAAUUUGAAGACUAGGUAUCAGGGCAAAGGCAUCAUUUCAUUGUUCAGAAGAGCAGUCAAAGCUUACAGUGCUGAAAAAUGUAAUAAGUUCAUGUUCGGAUAGGAAGUAAAUCAUUACCGGCGUUGGAGUAUCUGACGAACAUGGAGAUCGAACAUUGGGCGCGGUCAUACUUUUCAGGACAUCAAUACAACAUGAUGACGUCGAAUAAUGCGGAGUCUCUCAAUGCAUUGUUUAAGAAGGAUCGAGAGUUACCAAUUCUCGCAAUGAUUGAGAACAUUUGUAACAAGCUGCAACAUCGAUUUCAUGACCGAUGUGCGGCAUCACAGAGUUGCACUAGCGUAUUGGCCCCAGCUCAAGAGGAGAAACUCUUUAAGGCGGCAGAUGUUGGAAGGAAGUUGAAUGUGGAAGCACUAGAUGAGUUCUACUUCUCAGUGCAAUGUGCACGUAAUACGACAUAUAUGGUGGACUUGACUUGUAACACAUGCACUUGUACGAGAUUUCAGUUGGAGAGUUUUCAAUGUGAGCAUGUAGUUGCGAUGGCCAUGUAUCGAGACUUUGCUGUGAGAACGUUAUGCUCUUUGUAUUAUACGACUGAGUCUUGGAGAAUAGCAUAUGCUGAUACUAUAUUUCCUCUGCCGAAUGAAGCCGAGUGGGAAGUUCCCGAGCACAUUCUCCCGUUUCAUAAUUUGUUGUCACCAACAGUUGAACCGCGUGGUCCUGGACGUCCAAGUACAUCUAGAAUACCAUCUACCAGAGAGUUUUCUCGACCGCGUAGGUGUGGCAGAUGCAGAGCCAUAGGGCAUACUCAACAAUUUUGUACCAAUCAAAUUCUCCUAAAUGACAAUUAGACAGGUACGUUAAAUGAAUAAUAUUUCUGUCUACUUUACACUGUUCAAUAUUUGUUUUUCAUAAAUGUUCAAUGUUUAGUAUUUAUUCUUGAUAAAUGGUAUUUAUAAUGAUUCAUAUAAAAAAAAUAGUUCCAUACUCGGCAUAUGUGUAAAAUAACAAACAAUCAACUUACAAAAGAAUAAUUAAAUUUCCAAUGUGAAUGUUAUAUAUAUUAAACACAAAUUUACAAUUAUUUCAUAAUCACAAAAAAUAAUUAAAUGUACAAUUUGAAUGUUACAUAUAUUUAAUACAAAUUUAUGGGUCACCAUUAAAUUCGAACAAAUCACAAGCUAGCUUUUUCUCCAGUUCUGUAUCCACUAUUGGUUGAUUCCAUCAACAUUAUGUCCUAUACUUAAAAAAUUCAACGUACUUAAUAACAAAUAUGCCGCAGUCACCGUUGCAAUUGAAUAAGAAUGGAUCAGUUCAGUAUUGUGUAACUAAAAACUAAAUCUGAAAGAUGAAAACAAUAAAGUUCAAAUACUUACCUUAUGGACUGUCGCGCUGUUGUCGUGUUCCGAACAAUCUGCAAUCUGUCCUGUACAGUUAUCCCCACUCGUAUGGCCAUUAUUGGAACAAUUACAGCUACGGACUCCAGGUUUUGCUCCAGCUGGCCUUGUGUCAAACAUGAAUGAUUUGGCUCGUAGACAUAUAUAGUCAUGUCAGCAAAAAUGAUCUCCAGCGUAACAUAGUGAUUAUUGAUGCAUGCUGGAAUGUACAUAUGUGUACAACCCUCUCAUGAUUUUCCCCCAACAUUCAGCGACAUUCCUAUGACCCACUCGAGCAUAUAUUCUAGCACUGUGUACUCGUUAUCCAUAAGUUGGAGCAACUGAUACUCUAUGGUAAUGGCACGCAAGAACUCAGUGUUUAAUAUGACUCGAUCAUGGACGUCAAAUGAUUCUAGAUGUCUUUGAGCUCGAUCUCGCUUCAAGUCCAUGGCCAAGUCGAUGUACUGCAUCAGGAAACACCAAAAAAGUAUUAGUUAUUCAUUUAAUAAACACAAAGUGACGUAUACAUAAAAAACACGAAAUGAAUAGUUUACUUACAUCGUCGGUGAGUCAAGCUCCUGAAGUGAUGACAUCAUGGAACCACUUGUAAGCAUUCGAGACCAUCGUUUGACCUAUCGUGCGGCUAACUCUGAAAAAAUAGGGAAAUGUUAAAAUAUGCAUAGACGAGUUAGCGUAUAGUGCUUUGUUAAAAUCAUACAAUACUUACCCGGAGACAAUUCUCCUCCACUCCAUCUCGAACGCUUUCCACUUGACGUUGUCCACCUCUCUGAAUAAGUUUGGAUGCAUCCCAUCAAUGAACGUCCUCCUCUUGGCCUCAGCCGUGAAGGGAAAAACAACAUACUGUGAUGACACUCUCAACCUCUUGCCGACUACCUGCUCCAUUUCUUCAGCAGCAUGUCUAUUACCCUCAAUCACGAUGGGCGUCCUCUUGACCUCCGGGGCCACCUCCUCCGUCCCUCCCAUCGGGGCCAUCCCCUUCGUCGUCCCCUCUCCUAUCCUUGUCGAGGCUACCCCUUCUCCCUCCAUAGAUAACCACAAUGAUUCUAAUGUCUCAUCACGCCAAAAAUGUGGGUGACCCCCUCUCCAUCACCAUCUCUGCCACCCUCUCGAUCAUCAUCUCCACCAUCCCCUCUGUCCCCCCAUCGCCUACCGGCUAAAUCUCCUCUAAGUGCUGCUACCGUAUCCUGAAGAUCGACAACGCAAGACCGUAACAUUCCAACAUCAUGGGAUAGAUCGUCAACCCUCUCUGUCAACUCUCGUCCCAUAUCAUCGACCCUCCCUAUCAGAUAGUCGACCUUCCCAGUCAGAUCGUCGACCCUACUUGUCAACUCUCGUCCCAGAUCAUUGACCCUCUCCGUCAACUCUCGUCGUAGCGCGCCGACCUCCUCCACUAUAAAUCCAGUCAAACGAGCAUACAAAUCAUCACUGUGUGUCAGAGAUACACGGGGGAGGUGUCUGGAUGAGGGAGAAGGAGAUACCCUCUGUGGUGGCAAUGCCAAUGGCGGCGACGAUGCCCUUGAUGGAGGUGAUGCCAAUGGCGACGGUGAUACUCUCGGUGGAGGUGAUUGUCGAUCAACUGGACUGCCCUCCUACAUAAAUAACAUUAAAAAUUAUUCAAUAAAUUUAUACGUCGACGAUAUUCAAUAAAUAAUAUUUAAUUCAUAUACCCAAUCUUGGUCCAGGCUCGGAUUAGACAUCUCCUCGUCUUGGGUCUGCGGAACACCUAAAUCUCGCAUAAGACCCCGAGCCUCCUCUUCCAUCGACGACGUCAACUCAAGUAUGACUUCAAGCUGACAUAUUGACAUUUCAACUAAUUAACGAUCAUGUAAAUAUAUUUUAAACUACGUAUAAUAUAAAUCAUAAAUGCAUAAUACUUACCUGAGGAUCGUCGAGGAGAGCCGAUAAUUGUUUCCCAGUGGGACAUCCGUCCGCUCGCAAUGAUCUCCAAUGAUGCAUCUGAGGGCAUCGUGUCUCCCCUCGCUUCGCGAAGCGGGCCCCCAGUACAGAGACUAUCUCAUACACCAAAAUCUGCAACACAUACACUUAUUAUGCGUAAAUAUAAUAUACUAAAACUUUAACUUUUAAUUAUAUUAAAUAUUUAUCUGCACCGCUAAGGGCAAUCCAUAUGUAUCGUAUUUACACAUUGACCCCCUAGGCCUCGAGUGUGAUUUGGUGAAAACAUGUACGGUGUAUUUGCAGCAUCUCCGACCCCAUGGAUAGUUGUCGAACGCAUCGAUGUCGUCAACAACUUGCAAAUGAAAAAUGUCAAUGGCAAUCUUCUUGUGAUGACACCUCAUCAUACUCUCGAGGAUGUUGACCAGCCCAAGUCUCAAUCUAUCUAGCAUCUGGUCGCACCCCCCGAUCGCGACCAUCAAUUCAGGUAGAUGCACCGACCUAUGUCCUUGGAAGUACGUCUUGUACAACAUAUUUCUUCUCUCAAUGGCUGCAUCGUCGCCGGUAAUCCUCAAUCCAGUGAUCAAGCUAAACUCAUACAUCGAGAAACUGACAACCUUGCCCCCGAGGUCGAAGUGGAAGGAAUCGCCAUCGACUGGCUUCAGAAGCCAACAUAGAAGUGCAUCGAUGAUCUGUCCUGAGUACUGCACCUCUCUCAUCUGGUACAAUGGCCACAAGAAGGACUGUCAUAGCAUAUCUCCGUGAUGAUCAUCGAGCAGCUCCAACACAGCAGUAAAACUCUCAAAGCUACUAUUCCAAGUAGCUUCCCCCACCAUCCGUCUCAACUCCCCAUCUAAAUGAUACUCCAUCCUGCAAAAAUUCAAAUAUUAGAACAUUGAACAAGAGGUAAUAAAAUAACGCAUAAUCUCAAAAAAUCAAUGGGAAAAGAAUUCUUGACGCUAAUAACAAAAUAAAUUCAAUACAAAUGUAAAAAAUAAUUAAUUAAAUUAAAAUACAAAUUAAUGAGAUUUUCAGCAAAAGAAAAUUAUUAAUAUUUAAAAAAUACAAAAAAGUUAAAAAUUAAAGAUUAAAUAUAUUUUCAAAAAAAAUUAAAGAAUAUAAAUAUUAUUUAAAUAAAUUUUAAAAAAUUAAAGAAUAUAAAAAUUAAAUAAAUAAAUAACAUAAUUAUUAUUUAAUCAAAUAAAAAUUAUAAAGAAAAUUAAUGUUGUAUAUUACAUUUAGAAAAUAUAUUUACAAAAAAAUUUAAAAUUAAAUAAAUAACAUGGACAAUAAAUUGUUACUUUCAGAUAAUAUUCAAUUAUUAAAUUAUAUAAAUAAAAAAUAAUUAAAAAAAUAAAUAACAUAAUUAUUAAUAAAUUAAUUAAAAAAUAUAUUCAAAAAAUUAAAAAAACUAAAUAUAUAUAUAUAUAUUUUUUAAAAUAAAACUGUUAACAGUCUGAUUGUUAACAGUCGGCCCAAGACUGUUAACAGUUAACAGUCGGCCCAAUUAAUAAAAAUAAAUAUAAAAUCUAAAAAUUAAAUAAUUAUUCAAAAUUACAAUGAUAAGAAUUAAUGAAAUUCGAUUAACGAAAAGAAUAUUAUUUAUAAAAAAUUAUUAAUAAAAAUGAAAAUGAAAUUUAAAAUUAAAUAAUUAUUCAAAAUUACAAUGAAAAGAAUUAAUGAAAUGCGAUUAACAAAAAGAAUAUUAUUUAUAAAAAAAACUAUUAAUAAAACUAAAUAUGAAAUUUAAAUUUAAAAUUAAAAGAAUUAUUAAAUAUUAAAAUUAUAAAAAUUAAUUAAAUUCGAGAAUGAAAAUUAUUAUUUAUCAAAAAUGAGGAAAUAAAAAUAAAUAUUCAAAUUAGAAUUAAAAUUAAAUAUUACAUUUAAAUUUUACAAAUAAAUAAAUUAUUAUUUAUUAAAAAAUAAUAAUUAAAAUUAUUUAAAAUGAAAUUCUUAAAUAUAUGUAACUAAAAAAUAAUAAAAAAAUAAAGACAGUGAGCCGAUCGUAACAAUCGGACUGCUUAACAGUCAAUGGGCUGACUGUUUAUAAUGGGCCGAUUGUUAAUCAGCUUAAAUUAAAAAAAAUUGUUAUUGGGCCGACUAUAACAGUCGGCCCACUUAACAGUCAUGGGCUGAUUGUUAGUCAGUCCAUGACAAUUGGGCCAACCGGUUGUUAACAGUCGGGCACCCGACUGUUAACAGCCGAGUUUUCCCCAAAAUGCCGGCUGUAAACGCAGUCGGCAUUUUUUCCGACUUUUCUCGUCGGAAAAUCUCUAUUUUCGACGAGAAAAGCUUGCAAAUCUCGAAAUCCACAUAUUAUUCUCCAAUUUAGACCUAUAUUCAUACUUCUAUACCUACAUAAUCAAUAUUACAUUUCAAAAACCUCCACAAAUUCAACAUUCACACACAAUAUGAAAAUCUAAACAUUAAUAUGGUUAAUUAACAACUCGAAACUCACCUUAACAAGAAGAAGGUCUUCGAAGAUGAAUUGAAAACGUCUACCGAGUAGCUUUUCCCUGGUUUUAGUCGAGUGUAAGCAAAUGGGAAAGUGACCGUCUGAGGGUAUUUUGGGAUUUUGACCUUUAAAAUCAAUUUUUGUUUUUUUCUCUAAAAACUGGUCAAAGGAUACUUUGGAACUACACAUGAGUUAUUGGGUCAUUUUCAAUGAUUUCCUCCCCUUUCCUCGUGUUUUCAAAUUUCUACUUCCGAUUUGUACCCUUUUUUUUUUCUAAUUGACAAAUUAAUUAUAAGUACGUUUAUAGAUAGUAUAUAGAAUAAUUUAAUUUAUAAUUUCUGAUUAGUUAAAAUUUGUAUAUUUUAUUCGAAAGAAUCAUUCAAUUAACUUUAAUAUAUUUUUCCUAUUAAAAUUGUCUAAUUUUAGUUCGAAAAAUUUUAAUAUAGUUUCAGUAUAUUAUUUUCAUAUUACCAAUAGAAUUUUAUCAUUAAAAUUUUUUAAUUUAUUUUUUAGGAUUUUGAUUAUUUUGUAAAUCAAAAUUUUAAAAUAAUCUUUAAUUAAUAGUUAGGAUUGAUUGAAAUUAAACGUAUGCUGAAUUUUUAUUUUUAGUUUUGUUCUUUUUUACAACAAGCAAAAAAUAUUGCAAAUCCUUGUUGCAAAACACACUUGCUCGCAACAUUUAAUGAUUGUUGCAAAAGGUUAUAUAGUAAGAAUUUCAACAAUAUGUACUGAACAUUGUUAUUGAACAAAAUUUUAACAAGUUCAAAAAAAAAAAAAAGAAUUAAAACUUUUACAACGUUCAAAGAACGUUACAAAAAGCUAUAUAUUAAGAGUUCAACAACGGUUAUUGAAUGUUGUUAUAGAACUAUAUUUUUACAACAUUCAUUAAAUGUUGUGAAAAAUCAAACUUCUUACAACUUUCAAGAAACAUUGAAAAUGGUAAUAUUGACAACGUGCAAUUAAAAAAAAUAUUGCCAAAGCUUAAUUAAAUUAAUCAAUGGCAAUAUUCACUUAUUAAAAUGUUGCGAUAAACCCAUUUAGCAACAUUCAAUUCACGAGUGUUGCCUUUUGAGUAUUGCAAAAGGCUAUUUUAAUUGUAGUUAAAACUUGAGCCAUGUAUUCAUAGGGAAGGAUUAGGGAUAUAAUAAUAAUAAUUUCUAGAGUUACAGGAGUACAAUUAUCAUUGACGAAUAAACUUACCAUUUACAACAAAAUGGUCUUUUUUUUAUUUUUAUUUUUCUUCAAUGUGCUCCUAAAAAGGUUUUUAUUGAUAGCAAGAAGGUAAGUCGGACGUUCUCUUUUUUAAAUUUUAAGAGGCGGUAAGGACAUUUUGAUCUUCAUUUUUCGUCCCAUUUAUUUAUUUAUUUAUUUACUUAUUUAUGUAUUAUUAUGUGUUUAAAUUUAAAUUAUAUUCAAAAAAAUUUAAAAAAAAAUAUUAUGAGUCAUGGAUGGGUCUGUGACAGAGAUCAUGUUUCCCAAGCCCAUCCCUAAUAGGGAUUAUAGAAUCCUUGACCUUCAAUCCACAUCGCGCCCCAUCCCACAUUGUCCUACCUUGAAUAGUAAAUGGGGCAGGAUGCAUAACCUAUAGUCCCUAGUUUCGAAUUUUUAGUACUAGCUCUGAAUCAUUUUUCAUUAAUAUACUUUAUUCUAUUCUUAUGUUCUUCAUUUAAAUCAUAUUAAAAAAUAAAUAAAUAAAUAAAUAAAAUGAUGAAUGAUGGUUUUUUAUGUCUCAACCUACCCUACAUUCUGAAAAUUCGAAACGAAGCAAGAAUGAUAUGAUGGCUCCUAUCCAUUGUUAUCCUUAAUUUCAAAUUUCCCGUUGGGCGGAGUAACUUGAGACUGGCGUUUUGUUAAAGAUUUCCUCAAAUAAUUUAGCAGAAAAUAAAAACAAAGAAAAAUAAAUCCACUUUAAAAUAGGGUCAUCUCUAAAAGAUAAAUGUAUUCUCCAUUGAUUCCCAUUUUUCAGUUGAAACUCAUCUCUGUAGGAAGGCUAUGAUCCAAUCCAACCUUGAAAUUUCUCAAAUUAUAUUAAAAAAAAAAAAUAUCACCGUACCUUAACUCUACAAAUAAAGUGGAGUAUUGCCUAAAUAUCCAUGGCAGCAGCUACGCAGAGGCAACACUGAUGGUUCACAGAUGGUGCAACCACAAAGGGUCUUGACAUUAUAGACCAAAAAAAAAUUAUUUGUAUAAUAAUUUUAAAAAUUUAAUUUUUUUUAUUAAAGGGACCAUGUUUUAAAAUAUCACACGGGACACCCAAAAUAUUAAGGUCAACCCUACAUCUAAGUACUGCUAUGCAACUUCUCCAUUUCCUAGGUAUCAAAAAAUCUUCACCUCUACAACCAAGUACUAUGUUAAUUGCUGAAGAUUAUAUUUAAUAACAAACAUAAUGGAAUAAAUUUCUAUGACGUACUUAGAUGAAAAUUAAUUCAAUACAGCCUGGCGCUCAAGUCGGACGAUGAAGUAUAUUGGGUGUGGAAGAGAUACAAUAGAUAAAGAUAUAGACGCAGUUUACCAAAACUUGCCUUCGAAGGAAAGGGUCGAGUAUUUAUAGGUGGAAGAAGCUCUAUCUGAAUGCUUGACACGUGACUUUAUUUUAAUACCUCAUUUGUAGCCAUCAUAGAUAUGUGUUUCCAUAGUCAGAUUAUAAGUUAAAAACUAAGUAUCGUUGUUGCGGAGUUGUUACAUCAAUUACUUUGUAUGGUGUACUUUGCGCAACUUUGUCAAAGUGAGGCUUGUAGCAGAUGUUCAUCGCCCUAGAUAUGUACUGCAGCGGAGAGGUAAUGCAUCGCCUCGAGUAACAAUAACAUUCUAAACAAUGCAUCUAAAAGUAUCUCCUAAUCGUAUCGAAAAAGGCAUCAAGAAAAGACGAUGAGAAUUUGAGUGUUUCCCUUGUAUGGUCUCUUCUUAUUUGGCUGUCACGUGGCCCACAUAGUAGAUAAAUAUGUAACAAUAUCACUUUUAACACAAUCUAUUCUCAAACAAUGGAUCUUAAAUAGGGUUGCCAGUUUUAUGUUAUUGAAAUUUUUUCAAAAGCUUUGUUGAAAAUUAAUUUUUUUCUUUUUUUUAUUUUUAGGAGAGUUAGGGGCUAGAGAAUAAAUGUAUGUAAAACAAAGUUGUCAGAAUCAAAUGCUAAGAGAGCAAAUCUCUUUGAAAGAAAGAAGGAAAGGAUAAAUGGUGAUGAUGGAAAUGGAAGCAAGAAUAUUCAUAAUAUAUGUGAAUUUCUUGGUCAUCCAUGCGGGAUUGAAGCUAUCUUGAACACACGACCUUUGUGAAGUUAUCAAUCCCUCAAUUCCAUUGUUUACUGGUGCAAAUUCAUUUUUUUCUGUGUUACAAAUUUUCCUUCUUGUUAAAGUCACAUCGUCCAAUAACAUUAGCUUAUAGGGAUAGGACAAAUUUAUUUAUGGAAUUUAUGAAGAUCCUUGAGUAGCUUGGAUUCAUUUUUCAAUUUCUAAGAUGUGCAUAAUUUUGCUCAUCAAACCACAACAUCUAAAAAGCUUAAGCUAGCAAUUAGAACACAAUUUUAUUUAUUUAUUUAAAUCCUCUUCAACGUCUUAGACAUGAAAUGUGAUUCCAACAACAAAUAUGCACACCCCCAAUUUAUUAAAUGAUAAACUACGAAAUUGUAUUUUUAGAGGCAAUUGGUAUGCAAGAGUGGUUAACUAAUGGAUUUGUAAUUUCGACAUCUGAGUUCUGCAAGGCCAAUACAAACCGAUGAUAGAACAUUUAUUUUUGUCUGCAUUAAGCAUCACAGGCUCAAUUACCUAGAAUUGCAUCAACUUUACACCUGUUAGAAUGUGGAAGCGGAAUUGUCCGUAAAUUAAACAAAAUUUUUUAAUUCAAUAAAACAAUAUCGUUUAUGUAACAUCCCAAAAAAUUUUUAGGGAAAAAAAUUAUUAGCUCAUCUAUAGAGAUAAGGUGGUGGAUAUGUGAUAGUAAUUUAUUGUUAUUUAAUCACAUUUUGAUUAUGGUUAAUGUAAAUUGAUAAUCAUAAUCCUAUUUUGAUAUAAUUCAACUCCGCAUAUUGUUGCUAAAUUAAAUUAAAAUAUUAGUCUUCACGUUUUAUUUUAACCGCAUUGCAUGAGUGGAUAAGGUGAUUGGGAUACUUCUAAUUAAGCAAAAUCCCAAUUAAACUAAUCCAGAACUUAUCAUAUGAAUUAGAUAACUUUCCCAUCUCCUGCUUGGCCCUGCAUUUAAAGAUUUAUUGGUUUUAAAAAUUAUUUUCACCAACUAGAGAUUUUACGGAGAUGAGAUAAAAUUUUAUGAAGUUAUUUUUAUCCUAUAUUUUGAUAAAGAUUUAAAUGUAAUCUUAUUUGUGGAAUAUUCAAGUACUAUUGUACAUGUGUCAUAUCAUGGUUUGGACUAUCAAAAUUUAAAGUUUAUCCAAGUGGUGCAUGUUUUCCCCACCAUCAAAAUUGUACCAUGACUCAACUACCAUUUGUUUACUAUAAAUAAUGUGCAUUUGUCCCCUAGAUCCCCACCAAGAAAUUUUUACACGGCAGAAAAUAGAGAGAGAGAAAAUAAUUUCGAAGAGUCAGUUACCAAAUUUUUGACGCAAUCGAGGAAGUAGAACAGAUAUUGGAAUUCAUUCAAAAAUUCAUUUUUUUAGGUAUGACACUUUAUGUACAAGUGCUAUUAUUUCUUUAUGCUUUUAUAUUCAAUUAUAUAUGAAUGGAUUGUAGUAGACAUUCAUUUUUUUUAAAGAGAUAUGAAAUCCCACGGGAUUAGAAGAGAACCUAAGAUGUGUGUCAUUUGAUCACCGAUAUACUCCAUAAGAUCAGAGUAGUAUGAAAUGUAUAAUUUUUAUUGUUAUAUAUUUGUAUACGAAAACUGCACGUAUUUUACUUAGUGUUUUCGAAUACUCAUUCUUACAAAUUUUUACAGGUUAGUUCUGGUCGAUUGAAGUUGUGUCAAAUUAGUGACGCGGACGGCCAAGUGAAUCGAAGAAAAGAGAAAGAAAUUAAAUAUUUAGUUUGCUUUUUUUUUUUGUCUUUAAAUUAGUUGUUAGUUUUAUUUCUUCAAAGACUUUUUUGGUUAUUUUAAAUUAAUAUUUAUGAUUAAAAUAAAGAAUUUCUUUUUAUGGAAGUUUGGGCCAUUACAGUUUAGAGGUUCACGUAUAUGUUAAAUCAAGGAUAAAGAAUUCGAAUUUUUACCUAAAUUGAUGAUUAAUUAUUUAAUUAAUUCAAAUCACGAACUUCCACCUUUUUGGAUCAUAAACUUCUAGCUUUUGAUUGCAACAACUUGAUGCAUCAAAUCUCUAAAUCCUCUAUUGUAUUCUCCAAAGUCAAGACAAAAACUAAUUUUUACACUGACAAUUGAAUAAAAGCAAGAAAAAUAAUAUUUUCUCUCUUUUUUCCUCUCUCCAAUUUGAACACUAUGGAUUUAUGUACUAUGAUUUUGUAGAAAUUCUAGGUUCCACAUAGUCUCUAUUUAUAGUAAAAUCUAAGUAGGAGUUUUACUUGAAAUCCAAAUCCAAUUAGUUCACAUAUAAUUACAUGUGUAAUCCUAAAAUUUCAAUUACAAUUAUAAUUAAGUUUACAAAUUUCAUAAUAAUUAUAACUAAGUUCAAAAAUUUAUUGUAAUUACAAUUAAGCUCAAAAUUAUUAUAAUUACUAUGAUUAAGUUCCAAUAAUUUAUGGAGCUAACAUAAGGACUUGAUAUAACAUGUAUUAUCCAAACUCCAAUAAUUAGAUUUGCCUAGUCGACUCUAAAUCACCCAAUCUAAUUAUUAGUCUUUGCUUUUUUCACCAAAGACAGAUGACUGAACUCUUGGAAUAUAUAAGAUCACAGAAACCAAUAAAUUUGUAAUGCUUUCUUCUUACCUGUUGUAUAUGUAUUUUAUCCUCGUCCGAGAUCUGAUAAUUAGGUACGAGCAUAAAUAACUGUUUUGCCCUUCUAAUUAUUACCACUAACUUAAGUAUCAUUUUCUUCAACGGUCUUGUAAACUAAUCACAGAUGUUGAAGUUUAACCAUCACUAAACACUUAGCUCAGAUUUUAAACAUUCAACAGAAAAUAAUUAAGUAAUCACUCUACCCAUUUUUCAAGGUGACGAUUAUCGACACGAAUUCAUGUUUUCUACUUAGAAAAAUGAAAUAAAAACUCAUUUAAAAAAUAAACAUUUUAAAAAUAAAAUAGAAAGUUAUUUAAAAAAAAAGUUACCCAGAAAAAUAAUAUAAAUUAAAAAGUUCCUUUAAAAAUAAUAAAAAAAUAUUUUUUUUAAAAAAAGGUUACUUAGAAAAAUAAAAUAAAAUAAUUAUUUUAAAAUUAAAAAAAUUAUUUUAUUAAAAUUUAUUUUAUAUAUUUAAGACAAAGUUACCAUUUUACCCACUUUUAAAUUUGUAAAAACGUUAAAAAGAAAUUGGGUUGCCAUGGUGAAAUGUUAUACGAAAUUAGGUGGCCAUAAUUGAAUAUUGUAUGGAAUUGGGUGACCAUAGUGAAAAAAAUAAAGUUGGGUUACCAUGAUGACAUUAAGCAUAAAGUUAAGUGGUCAUGAUAACACUAAUUAUAAAUUUGGAUUGCCAUUGAUGGAUCUAAUCCAAGCCUAUAUCAUUAUGGACGGUUUAAUAACUGGGAGAUUCAAGUUUAGAAGUUUUACAUGAUUACAUUGGAUAUGCCUCUAACUUUCAUAAUUAGAAUAUUAUGCUUGAAUUUUUAAAAGAUUUAUUCAACUUUAGGGUUUCAUUGUAUUGUUCAAAGUAGUCGCUUAAAUACUUCUCUCUUGUACUCAUAUUUGAUAUGGUAAAAAUUAUUUUCUUACAUUUUUGUGAAUUACAAGUACUUGACAGUUCAAAUGAAGUAAACCUAAUUUUAUUUGUGGGUCAUUUGGCAUUCAAAUAUUUUAACUAUUUUACUUGUGGACUAAAUAUGUAUAUUGAACUAGAGGAAAAGUCAAUAUGAAUAUAUGGAGACCAAGAUCAAUCUAUCCUAGGAAAUCAGGACUUAUAUUAAUUAUUAAGAUAUUUUUCCCAAAAUUAAUGUUGCUAGAUUGAGUUUUAACCAUAUAGGGACUUAAUUUCCCAAUAAAUUACACACACCUACAUUGAAAUUUGCAUGUUUGGAACUUUGAGCAUGCUAUGUGCGUGUAUGAUAAUUGACAAAUAAUGAUUGAACAGGUAAUCACACUCCCAUAAUUUCCUGAAACUAACUCAAAUCUCCACGCAUUAAAGAUUGAGUCAAUAUGUUAAAUAUUGUAAAUAGAUAUAAUUAAAUAAUUAAAUUCACAUAUUCGGCACUAAUUUUAAUAUUUAGAUAAAGUGAUCAUUUGACAUCAUACUAGUGUUACCAGAGCACGUGUGAACCAUAAUAUUAAACACAUCUGAUUUGUUUACUGUACAAUGUAAAUGGAUAUAAAGACUUCAAGGGGCAUCGCAUAACAUAUUCAAAGUCUCCAAAUAAAUAAAGUCGUCAUGUCCUCAACUCAUAAAGUUAAUACCUUUAAGGUAACUGCCAAAGAAAUGCAUUAAAAUUGACACCCCCACUAUCUAUAUAUACCAUUUGACACUUGCCUUAACGAUUAAAAAUAUUCUGAUCAUCAUUUACUAAAACUCAUAAAUAAGUUUGUGAGUUUCAAAAUUUAUUUUCAAUCAUAUAUUUCAUGGAAUUCACAACUUUUUAUCUUCUUUUCAAUCAAGCCCGACCAAAGCCACUUAGGCAACGGCCCAAGGCCUUAGAUAUUUGAGGGACCUCAAAAAUAAACCAUUUAUUCUCUGGUUCUUGCAGAAAGUGGAAAUAUAUCUUGUUAUUGCACAAUGCAUAUUAUUGCAUGACAGGAAUGUUUAUGAUUUGCCAAAGAAAUGAAGGUACUUUCCUCGGUUUCCUCCUGCUUUAUUUCCCCUAGUCAUUCGUUUACCAAUAUGGGUUGAUUUCCUUUCCUAGAAAAUAUGCUCAUGCAAAUUUCCUAAAUUUGUGGAUUUAAUUGAAACUCAAAAAAGUUUGACUGUAUUUUCUUACCUUCAUUUCAGUCCAUGAGAAUCUUUGUCAAAUCUUUAAUUUGUGGAAUCACACGCAUUGAAAGAACAUUUUAGUCCAACCUAUCUUUUCCAUCCAAUCUCAUCUUUGCAUUGACAUACAUUAUGUGUUUGUUGGAUAAAUACCGAAAAUUAUAAAAGAAAAUAUUAGACAGCAUUAAAGAAUAAACAACAAUCACAAAUUCAUGACAUAUUUAGAAGAUGCUGCCAAAGAAAUCCAUUUUAAGGAGCUUUUAAUCACUUUCAAACAAGCUUUUAGCUCUCAACAUUUUCCAUGAGCUCGAUUUAUAGUACUAAUUAAACAAGAAAAAGACAUUAAAACUUUUUCCAUAGUAAUCUACAUUUUUGUCUAGCACUGAGCAUGGCUCCUAACUAUGAUAGUAAACAUGUGGGCCUUUCCUGCUUAAUAGGAAUCCUCAUCUUUGAGAAUUAUGUUAGUUGUUAUUAUGCCCUCUGAGUAAGUUUCCUCAAGGAUCAAUAGACAAUGUUGACCUCGAAAAAUGGCUCUUCCACGUGGCCAACCGAGAGCUACUCCACGUAUUCCUUCCUGUGCACAAUCAACGAACGGUCAGACGCACGCGGUCGGGACCAACGAGUGUGGUGGCGGCCGUAUACGCUCCGACGGUCAAGUCAGGUUUAAGUGGUCGGAACAGUACCCAGGAGCUAUGCAAAUCAAUGAUAAUGGGGGAGGAGAAAAUAUAUAAGCUUGCUAUGGAGUGCUAUGUAGUCAGAUUUUCCUUACCUUUGCCUCCUGCCAAACCUUGGAUAUUUAUAGGUGGUAUGAGCCGUUGGAUGUGAGACGCGUGUAUACAUCUGACGGUAUGAGGCGUUCGCUCAUAGGCGUCAAUCAGCCUCGUCUAUAGGGAGGGCGGACAGCUUGUCUCUUCUGAGUUGAAUUGACAUAAAGUUGAUAAGUCAUAUUAUCUAGCCUCAUGGAGACGUCAAAUCAAUUAAAAUCUUAGGUACAGGGAAGAUCUUGGUAUAAAUCUCUUUCUGAAAUUGGCGAUGGAUCCUCUAACCGGGGUCCGCUUGGUCUCGGCCUCGGCCUCGGGGGCGAGGUACUUUUGGUUAGGUACUACUAGGUUGCAGGUAUUCCUGACAUCACUUCGGAAGAACUUCGGACGGGGUCUUUAUCAGGUCGGAACAUAUGAUGGUGAGCGUCCGAGGCGUAUCAGAUCGGAGCGUAACAGACAAUAACUAAUUUUGUUAUAUUUUAUUUUAUUUUAUUUUACUCAAACUCAUGUAUUUCAUGUUGAACUGCCUCGUAUAGAAAUUCCUGAAGAUUAAGUGUUGAGAAAAUAAAGCCAAUGGAGAAGAAGAAUAAAAUGCAAAGAAGAGAAGAAUAUAAAUAUAUAUAUCAAUGAAGGCUUGAUCACGAAAUUGAUCUCAUUGUACUCAAACAUUAUUUGCCUCCUUUCCAAUGCUUUUUAAAAAUUUUCGGCAAAUAGUUUGUAGGAACAAGCCUUGAUAAGAAGAACACUAAAAAGCAAAGGUGUAACUUCACAAUGAACAAGUGAAAAAUGGAAGGAUUAUAAUAUAAUUUUUUUCUCAAUUUUUGGAAGUAUAAUUUAGGCAUAAAUUUCAAUGGAAUUCAAUAAAUUUUCUUGCACAUGGAUCACUUAUUUAUAGACCUUGACAAGUUCCCACAAAAUGGUGCAAGAAACAUGUGAAAAGUCACCAAAUUUGAAUGAAAAACGGUCAAAAACUAACCCAACGGUUAGUUUUUAAUAACCAUGCGACCGCAUGGACUAUAGCCAUCACAUGCAGUCGCAUGGUUAUAGCUUCGCUAGCCCUCCCAUUCUCGGGAGGGCCUCAUGAUUAAGCAAAUUUUUUUUUCUUUUCGAUUUUGAUCAACAAAUAAAUUUCCAACAUUAAGUUAUGAGAAAAAAAAGUUAUGUUUAAGGGCGUCGUAUAUAAUAAUACAUGUUUCUUCAAGGAUCAAUACAUAAAAAUAUCAUACCUGAGGGCCUCAUCAUAAUUAUUUGCUAGCCCUGAAAACUUGUCCGCAAUAGUCCCUUUUCUACGAACCACCGUGGUGAGCCUUUCUUCGUCAACGAAUCUAGUUCACAGAUUCGCCUCACUUUCUCCAUCAAUAAGCCUAGUUUGUAGCUUUGCCUCACCGAGCGACUCCAACAAGGUACAUCAACGAGCCUGGAAGUUGUUACUAUGUAGAUGAAUAAGUGGAUCACUAGAUUCUAACAUUUGCUUAGCAACUUAGAACUUUGAGGAUAACAGGAUUCAAGCAGCCCAAUUUCACACCGAACAACUUAUUAAGCAAGAGGAAAUCACUUUCAAUGUGGAUGAGGAAUUUAAUUCAGCAACAUAGGUGGUGUGCUCUAGAUUGCCUGCAAGGAGCCAUGUUUUGAAUUUCUAGAGACCAUCUUGAAACCAAUACUAAUCUCGGCAAGUUUUAAUAAAUAUUUUGGGUUUCCUUCCGACUCCCAUGACUAGUCCCUCCGUUGUGGCACAAUUCUGGUGCCUGUCCCACACUAAGAGUGCCUCAACAGCCGAAGCUAGAGAUGAGGGUGCGCUAGAGCUGCCUCGACAACAGUUGCUAAAGGCUGGAGGCUGGAGGUUGCGGUGUACCCAGAAGCCUCAAAAGUCAUAGUUAGAGGUUGAAUUUUGGUUUAGACAAUUUAUCUAACAUCUGAUGGACAAAGUAGCACUGAGAUUUUAUGAGAACAAACAAAGGCUGCCUCUAAUCCCAUACUCAACACAAUAUCCCAAAUAUGCUCGUUUUAGAAUAUCUGCGUAGUGCGUCCUACGUAGGCAAAAGACAAGGAAGAGACAGUAUUCAUAACCGUGGAGACAUGAGUGGACCCAACGGGGGUCACUUGACCACCCCCAAUUUUUGAGAUUUUUCCCUUUUUUUGAUAAAGUCACGUUCAGUAUCGAUUGAAAUCUAAAUUUUAAUCUAAAUAAAAGUUAAUAAUUAAUUUUAAUAACAUAUUUCACGGAUUCCUUAACUUCUAAAAUUUUAUCCAAAUUUACUAAAAAUCAGACUUUAAUCCUCACCAAACAGGGACAAAAUUACAAUAAAUUUGAAUUUUCUCUCUUUUUAUUGCUCUCGUAUUCUCACGCUCAUGCCUUUUAUCAAAAUCUUAACACUUCUAAUUUUUUAAAAUUUGUUUAUAAUUUCUCUACAAUUAUCAUAUCUAAUACAAAUUUUCAAUUUUCAAUCAAAUUUUCAACUAAUUAAAACAUAAAUUUGCAUUUUCUCCUAUCCUAUUUGUGCAUAUAGCACGUGUUUAAAUUGAUUAUAUAAAAUUUAACUUAUAUCUAACGAAUUGUGUUUAUUUAACUGAUUAUUAGUAUUGAAUAUUGGUUAUUUGUUUUUUCUUUCGACUACUUGAAUUGAUUGUUUGUAUCAAAUAUACAAUUUUUGAAAACAUAAAUAUGCAUUUUUGCGGUGAGCAAAAUAUUAAUAAAAUGAUUGUUCAAAAUCAAAUAGAUGAAAAUGAUGAGCAAAAUAUUAAUGAAAAAUAUUUUUUAAAUGUAAAUCUGCAUUUUUUCGGGUCAAAAAUGAAUCAUUCAAAAAUCAAGAUCAAAAUAUUCGAUUUGUACAAAGUUUGAUUGUACAUUCUAACUCAAUUUCUCUGCGUCCGCCCCUGCAUAAAGAGGUGCCCCUGGUUCAACACGAGGCUUGAAUUGAAUAUCUCCACUAUUUGAGAAGAAUCUAAAGAACUUUCAUACAGCAGGUGACGGGCCAAGGCUCUUACCACCAGUGCAGGAAGAUUCGCAGCCAACAGAAGCUACUACCACUGCACCUGCCUAGAUGGCAUUCAUCGGAUGCUACGGGCGCCUUGGUGGCGGUGAAGCACCGGGGCCAAAUCUUGACCAAUGGGGAUUGAGAUCAAGUGGCACGUAGGCCGCAAUAUCGCUGCAUUUACGAGACAUCGUAGCUGGACUGUUUUAACGACAAUGGCUUGAGGCUUACGCCGUGGAGAUGCAGUCCACGAACCGUUGCUUAGGCUUGAAGACUUUGAAAAUGGGAAAAUGAAAGUGAAAGUUCUAUAUCUUUUGAGUUUUUAUUUUUUUAUUUAAUUUUCCUCAUUCUGGCCAAGGGCUAAAUUUGUAUAUUGAAAAGUAAAGAGGCCAUUUGGACACAUUAUUAAUUUACUGAGUUAGCAGCCAUUCUAUAUUUUAUCAAAUAGCGUAUAACAACGUAUUUUUUCAUUAUAUUUCAAAUAAAUAAAUAAAUAAGUACGAAACAUAUUUUUCCCUCAUUUCAAAGAAUAGAAACAAAAUUUUUUGACGUAAAUUAUCAUCAAGGACGAAAUGUAUUAAUUAAUGAAAAGUCGAAUAUAAGAAUUUGUCGAAAGAAUUGCAAUAAUAAGCAAAAAUUAAGAACCUUAACUGCAAUUAAAAUGUAAUGUAACUAAUAAAAAUUGUAAUACCAAAAUAACCGUCCUAAAAUAAAGCUUGGCAUCCCUUAGUAGAGACAAAAAAAUAAAAAAUAAAAAAACCACCCGAAAGGGUUCUUUCAUCCUAUCUGAAACUUUAAGACAUGUUUUUUUAGCUCGAAUUACAUGGGCUAUAUGCUAAUAUGAAAGAGGCAAAUAAUAGAAAUUUACUACUUUAGAACAUAAUUGUUCUUUCCAAAUACCUAUAUUUAAUUACCGGCAAAGGGCCAAUUGAUAAGCUCCAGAUUUGCAUUUGGCCUAAAUUUGCUGAAUUUGUUCUAUCUCUUGCAAUUCUAAGUCUAGUUAAUCAUCACUGUUUGUUGUUGUUGACAUAAAUAUGGUAAGAACAGAAAUUGUUGGUAGCAGAAGGUGAACACUCAGUGUAAACUUCUCCACGUGCUAGAGAUACAAGCAACACAUAAGGAGAGCAGCAUAAUUAUGGGAUAGAAAUACCAAAAGAUAUCUUGUGGGAAGAACAGUGAGGCCAAGAAACAAACCAAUAGGGAAAUUGAGUAAUUUUUGACUUGAGUGCGUAUGUAACCCAUAUCAACUUGAGGUGUCAAUGAGAUUUCAAUGGAGACAAAGGAGGAGAAAAGGAAAAAGCUAGUGAGAUGCCAAAACUUGAUCCAAAUGAAAUUUCACAGCACUCUCCCUUUCAGAAUGAAAGGGAAAAGGGACAAUAACAUUUUCUUAUGAAAAGGGAAAAAGGAGAAACAGCAUUCUCCCUUUUAGUAUGAAAAGGGAAAAGGGAGAGUAACAUCUAAAGGUAGAAUCAUAGCACUCUCCCUCUUAGGGAUUCUCCUUUUUCAUAUGGUGCCUAGUGGCACCCCUGUUUCAACUAGGCAACCUUAGCCCGAUCCGAAUAAUAUAGCCCUCCUUUUUAGUUAUCCAAUUUGUGCUUCAAUACCGUAUCUGGCUUGACUUUAAUUAAGACUCAUGUUUCUAAGAUUUUCUCGAUCAAUCAUUCGCUAGGAAAGUUAAUUGGCGGACCAAAAUAAACUUAUAUUCUCAUCAUUCUUUAAUAUCUAUGUUUAAAACAACAUUUUAUGGGAAUAAUUUAUUAAUACCUUUGAACAAUAUUUUAUUUUUUCAAAAAAAUCGCAAAUUUUUAUUUUGAAUAUUAUAUUAUUGAUCUCGAAAUAUCGUAAUGUUAAAUAAUAAUAUUCUUUAACAAUAUUCUGUAGUUAUUCUUGGAUAAUUAUGAAUUUAUAAACUUCAAUGUAAAAUAGUGUAUUGAUCCUGAAUUUUAACUAUACUGCAUUUAAAGAAGCAAAAAUUUAUUUAUAUUAAUAUUAAAGAAGAAUAUUGCUUUGAUACUCUAGAAGAGUCAAUAUUGCAUUAUGUGGGAGAAUAAACUUCCUAGAAAUAUGCUCAAUAUCAUUUGAUUGAAUAGUUGACCCAUUCCUUGUUGUUUGAAGAAACCCUCCACUUCAAUACUAUUGAUAAUAAUUUAGUACUAAAUUAGUAAGAAACCUACUAAGUUUCUAAAAUAUUUGUCAUGAUUGAUACUAUAUCGACAUUGGUAUAUUUGAAAUAAACAUUGCAUUGAACAAGAGGUUCAAUUAUUGAAUAUAUUAUUGCUUGACAUUAUUAUUUGGUUCAUCACUUGAUCAAUAAUAAUGCAAAAUUAAGAAUUCAAAUGAAUAUUCAAAAGAACUAUAAAUUCUUCAAUCUAAUGAAUUCCUAAACAAUAAUUUUUCCAUGUGUUACGAAUUGGUCUUGAUCAUCACUAGAUAAAGUUAGAACUAAAUUUCAAUAAUCUUGAAAUUAAAUAGGGCAUGUUGACCAUCUAGUUAUAAUUGUGUGUGAUAGAUAUAUUUACUAGAUGAUUGCAUUGUGUUUGCACCUGAACUUUGCACAUUCUUUUAUUAAGUUUUAAAUUAUUAGCUUAAAUUUUAUAUUAUAUCAUCAAGACAAUGUAUCAUGUCAAUGUUAGUAAAUCUACAUCCAAAUUAAUAUUUUGAUAAAUGUUGAUUGGGAUGACGAUAAAUUGUUUAACACAAUUGAUUGUUAAAUACCUCCAAUUAAUUUCUUAACUGUUAUUGUUAAAAACAAAGUACUUUCCAUUUAUGUUUAGAUAAUGACAUUAUGCACCAAGCCAAUGUCAAAGUUAGAGCCUAAAUUUUCAUUUAUGGUUAGAACCUAAUAGUUUUCAUCUAAUGAUUUUCUAAUGUGCAAUUUAUAUACCAUAGUGCAAUGGGAUAGUUAUUAAAGAAUGAUGAGAAUAUAAAUUUAUUUUGAACCCUUACAAAAUAUUUUAAACUCUAAAGGUUGAUAUUUUAUAACGCAGUUUGCUCACGUCAAUUUAAUUAAAUAAUUCUCUCAAUAUUAAGGGAAGAAAUUGGCAGCUGAAAAUAUUACACAAUGCAUCAUAUUAUGCUGUCUAUAUCCUUGCACUUGAUAAUCUGAAAAAAUAAUUCAAUUGUAAAAUACAUUUCUGGCAUAUAAGAAAUUACUAAAAUCUCAUAUACCAACUAUAGACAUUCAAUGCCGUAUUGUUAUCUUAGAAAGACUAAACUAUUGCAAUGCAUAAAUAAUAUGUUGAAACUUUGUGACAUUUGAUUCUUAAAAAAGUAAAAAAUGAAAGAGAAAAAGAAAAAAAAAAAAAACCAGAAGAAGAAAAGAGGUUGAUCCUAAUUAGGAAGCAUAUAUUCUUGGAGGUUAUAUAGACAUAACUAAUUAUAAAACCUAGAAGAGAUUCAAGUAUUUGAAAUAUUGAAAAAGGACGUCUCUCAUUAAAUUAUGUCAUUAUGAAAAAGAAAUAGAAUUGAAAAGAAAAGAAAAAGUUGUCGACAAUACUUUUGUACAUGAUAUAUCACUUCAUAUUAUGAAUAGCAAAUAUAUCGAAAUAAAUUUGUUGAGCAUAUUGAUUGAAGUAAUGAUUAGCAAAAUUAAGAAUGCAAUCUUAUUAAAACUGAACUUAUUAGGGAAACCAAAAGCAUUUGGACCUAAAGUUCGAGGACCUAAAUGUAUAUACCCAUGCAAAAAGUAAAUAAGAAAAAUGAAGCGUAAUAUGUAAUGCACGACUUUUCAACAUAAUAAAUUUCACCAUGACCAUAAUGAAUGCAAUCACAAGUCAAUAUCGUUAUCAUCACGAUGCAUGAAAUUUGAAAUGUGAUUGGCAUCACUAUUAAUGUUAUCCUUGAAGAAUUUAAGAUGACUGAAACAUAUAAUUCAAGUGAUAUUAUUUUGAGGAGGGAUAAAUGUGUUGUACUUUCUUUUUCUUUUUUUUUUAAAUUAAGAUUUCGUCUCAUUGAAUUUCAUGACGAGAUUUCUAAUGAGACAACUUUUUUAGUAUACUUUAAAGAAAAAUGUACUAUUUUUCCUUUAUUGGAAUUUUUUGCACAAGAUUUUUCUAGUAUGGUUUUAACGUGGCAUAUUCUUUGUGUAAUAGAUGUCUAUAACCCACUAGACAUUUACUCUCAAAAUAAUAUUCUUAUAUGUUACAAAUUGUCGAUAACUCUAGAAGAGAGCAAUAACACAAUCUAAUUUUCAUUGGAUCAUCAUGUUGUCCAAAAUCAAACAAAGAUUGAUAAAAAUCUUCUAUGAAAACAAUAUUACUUGUAUGCUAUAACAAGACAAAAUGAAACGUAUUUUACCAGAAUUGAAAUAUUUAAAACAGUGACGUACAAGACAUAGAUGCUCGAUACAAGAAUUUUUAUUUAUUUAAAUCAAAGGAGUAGAUGUACACUUUUCUUUGUCAAUCAAGUUUUGUCCCAUUGGAUUUUCAUGACACACUAUUAAUGAGGCAGUAUUUUAUUAAUACAUAAUUUGUUAUAAUUAUUUGUACCCUUCUUUCGUUUGUGUUGGUAGUUUUGUCCCACUGAGUUUUUGUCAAAUUAGGUUUUUAAUGAGGAGAAUAUUGCAUACAACUAUGAGAUAAUUAUUGAUGCCGAUUUAGUCUUAUCAAGAUACUUAGAUAAAUCUUAUUUACUUUGUAAGGGUCUAUUUUAUUCAGAUUGUAACGCUCCUUUUAAACCUUAUAAAUAUGUGUCCAUUAUUGCAAUAAACUUACAAACUUAGUCUUGACCCUAUCUAUUCUUUUUUUGUAUCUCUCUCUUUUUCCUUUAGAAUUAUGAAAUUAGUAGAUUUGUUAUCCUUUCAAAUUAUCAAACUAGUAGAUUUGUUAUUAGGUACUUUUAAACUUCAGUUUGUUUUUAAGGUGAUUUAAUAGUAACAUACUGCUUCUUUCUUUAUAAGGUGAUGUUGUUUCCCAACUACCAUAGCAAUGGUUUAUUAUAUUCAAUUCCAUUAUAACGGCAUCUAGCAUAUCUUUAUACUAUGCUUUGUGUUGAAGUCGAGGAUUGGGAAUGAGACCCAUAAUUCUCUCUGUUGGCGUAUUGUCACACGGAUUUUGAUGAGUAAUUUGCUAACGAAGGCAUACUUGCAAGUCCACUCCUGUAACGGAUUUGGUGGUGGUGAAGUUGCAUACUCACUUUAUUCAGUGGUUGUCCAAAACUGCAUUCAAUAUUAUACUCUUAAUUUAACUAGUAUACAACAGAUUUUGCUUCAUCUGCUCCAGCUUGCAUCUGGCAAUGGAUCUUUUUGCCACAGCAUUGCCAAGAAAGCCCUUGAGCCCGACCCAAUGUGAGUGACCAUUGGAGUUGUGCAUAGAAGACGUCACUCGCCUUUCGUAUCAAACCUGUGAUAUGAAAUAAUAUCGGGUGCGACAUAGAGAGUUAAGUAAUUCCCAACCUAUAUUCUCUGUUUCUUGACCAGUAUUUUUCAGCGUACCCUAGGACCAAAAGGACAUUCCAAAAUUAGAUGGAUCAAAACCACCAACCAAAAAACAAAUCUUGAUUCACUUUGUGCCCAUAGAGAUUAAUGAUAAUCUUCAGCAGCAAGAAUACAAAUUGCCAGUAUAUCCAUUACUUCAACGGAAAUUCUUCCUGAAAGAAGAGGAAGAUCGAUUGUCGCAUACCACUAACAACUCACCAUCAUUAUUUAGACGUUCAAUGCCAGGGCAGAGCAUGAAGCAAAAUGGUAAUAACCAUAUACAUAAUGAAGGAAUGAUCCAUGUAAGAAGCCUAUGUACUUAAUAUGCUUCUAGUGUCAGGGUAAAGUAAAAAUAAAAAACUACUAGCGUCUACACCUCAGAAAAGUGUCAUCCUAGUACAACUAACAAUUGAAUAUUCACCAUCCCGAAAGACGUUGAACCGACUAUGCUAAUGAAUUUGCCACUCGCUUAAAUGUCCAUUUACCAGUAUAAUAUAAACAACACUGAAAGUUUAAAUGAGGUACAGGAAUUACCCUGAUGAGCCUGUAUUUUGGCUCGUAUUUCUUUGCACUCUCAACAGAAUCAUAGAUCAAGCCAAAACCAGUGGAAUUGCCUCCACCAAAGUGCGUCCUGAACUUAAAAAACAAAUAUGGCAUUUGGAUCUUUCACUUCAUACAUCCUUGCCAAUUUCUUCUUCAACUCACAGCCUACAAUAAUAGCCAAAGUAGGUAAAACUAAAAGGGACCACGAAUUUGUAUCCAAACCCAAAUUGAAAUUGCCACAAAUUUAAAACAAAGAAUCGAUCACAAAACUUUGCUUUUGGAAACCAUAAACUUAUGGUAACUAAUAAUAAUCAACAAAGAACACCAACAGAUCUAAUUAUUUAUUCAUUUUCCCACAAUGUUUUCAAAAUUAUGCUACGGCUUGUAGAAGCCUGUAUAACUUUCAUAAACCAUAGACUUUACAUUUGCCUUUAAAAAUCAUCAACAAAGAGCAUCAACAAAUAUAUUUAUUUAUUAACAUUCCUUCAAUAAUUCCAUACCAUGUAAUGGCCAAAGGAGAAGCUAGUUUUACUUCUAUAACCCACUGAUUUUACAGUUAACCUUUUCGGAAUCAGACAUGGACCCAGACGAGUACAAAAUAUAAGGACUUCUCGAUUCUCUGACAUAUAUACUUCAUUCCAUAUCUUACGUAAAACAACGAAGGUAGAAAAAAAAAAGAAAAAAAAAAGAAAAAGGGAAAUGACGCAGAAAAAGCAUAAAACUAGCACUUAAAAGGAAUAAUGCGAAUAAGUUGAAUUUUCCAUACAAAAUAGGCUAACCCACCAGUUAAGCGAGUUGCCUUGUAGAACCACAACAACGCCAAAAAUGGACCUCCAAAUGAGUACAUGGAGUCACACAAACUGGCGUCCUCAAUGGGAAAAAUAUUGGAAACCUGUAGAAAUUGAAGCCAACCAAAAGAAAGCAAUCAUGUCAAGGACAAUAUAUGACUUCAAUACAUCACUCCAAUGUACAAUUUCUUUCAUGGUCUGUCGAGACCAAGGGAGAUUGAGAUUGAGUGGCAUGUAGGUCGCAUCGCCGCUGCAACAGGACCUUCAGUGGCGGUGGGAGCACCGGGGCCAAAUCUUGGCCCAGGUUGGUCCGCCAAGACCAAGGGGCACCGAGGCCAGAUCUUGGCCCAGGUGGGUCCUCCGAGACCAAUGGGGGUCGGGAUCGAGUGGCAUGUAGGUCGCAACGCCGCUGCUACCGAGGCCUUGGUGGUGGUGGGAGUACCGAGGCCAGAUCUUGGCCCAGUGUUUCAGUCCAAAACCGAGAUCGGGGGGGAUCGAGAUGGAGUGGCAUGUAGCUCCAUCAUAGCUGGAAUGUUUUAACGACUAUGGCUUGAGGCUUGAUGCAGUCGACUGCACGAUCUCUAGCUAAGGCUGGAAGACUUUGAAAAGGAGAAAAUGGAAUUGAACGUUAUCGAUCCAAACCGGUCUAUAUUUCAUUCUGUAUUUUAAUAAAUAGCGUACAACGAGAUUUUUUUUUAAUCAUAUUUUAAAUAAUAAAUAAUUACGAAAAGUAUUCUCUCCUCGUCUCAAAGCAUAGAACAAAAUAUUUGAAAUAAAUCAUCAUUAAUGAAGAGAUGCACUAAUUAAUGAAAAAUUGAAGAUAAGAAUUUAACUCCAAAAAAAUUAAAAAAAUGAUUGCUAUAACGUAAAGUACAAUUAAAAUGUCGUAUAACGAAUAAAAAUUGUAGUACCAAUAUAAAUUGACAUCCUUUGGUAGAGACAAAAAAUAAAAAAUCUGAAACAUGUUUUUUUGCUCGGAUUAUAUUGGCUAUAUGCUAAUAGAAAUGUAAUACAAAAUAGGUAAAUAACAGAAACUACUUCAAAACAUUAUUGUUCAUUUAAUUAUUGAUUCAAAGCUCUAAAUUUGCAUUUAGCCUAAACUUGCCGAAUUUGCUCCAUCUCCUGCGAUUCUAAGUCUGGUUCCUCGUCAAUAUUUAUUGUUGUAGUCAUAUAUAUGUUAAGAACAGGAAUUGUUGGCAGCAGAAGUUGAACACUCUGCUUAAAACUUCUCCACUUACUAGAGAUACAAGCAGUGCAUAAAGAGAGCAGCAUAAUUACGGGGUAGAUAUACCAAAAGACAUCUUGAGGGAAGAAUAACGAGGCCAAGAAACAAACCAAUAGGGAAAUUGAGUAAUUCUUGACUUGAAUGCGUAUGUAUCCCAUAUCAACUUGAGGUGUCAAUGGGAUUUCAAUGGAGAUGAAGGAGAAGAGAAAGAAAAAGUUAGUGACAAGCCAAAACUUGAUCCAAGUGAAGUUCUCAAUUACUAUACUAAAUGGAUUCCAUUUCCAAGGCAUGGCUGUAUAUGGUUUCAAUAUGUUUACAACGAAUAGGAGUACUUGGAAACUUCAGUUGGAUCCAUUUGGUAUAGUAAUUGGAAACUUCAGUUGGAUCAAGUUUUGGCUUCUCACUAGCCUUUUUUUUUUCUCUCCUCCUUCAUUUCCAUUGACACCUCAAGUUGAUAUGGGAUACAUACGCAUUCAAGUCAAGAAUUACUCAGUUUCCCAAUUGGUUUGUUUCUUGGCCUCAGUAUUCUUCCCACAAGAUGUCUUUUAGUAUAUCUACCCCAUAAUUAAUCUGCUCUCCUUAUGCACUGCUUGUAUCUCUAGCACGUGGAGGAGUUUUAAGUAGAGUGUUCAACUUCUACUGCCAACAAUUCCUAUACUUUAACAUAUAUAUGACUACAACAAUAAAUAUUGACGAAGAACCAGACUUAGAAUCGCAGGAGAUAAAGCAAAUUCGGCAAGUUUUGGCCAAAUGCAAAUCUGGAGCUUUGAAUCAGUAAUUAAAUGAACAAUAAUGUUUUGAAAUAGUUUCUGUUGUUUGCUUCUUUUGUAUUACAUUUCUGUUAACAUAUAGCCAAUGUAAAUCGAGCAAAAAAAAACGUGUUGCAGAUUUUUAGAUUUUUUAUUUUUAUUUUUUUUUCUCUAUCAAGAGAGAAACCUGGGUGGGGCGGUCGCACCAUCCACGUGGUGCGACUGCCCAACCCCGAAGUGCCACCUCUGUAGAUGGUCCACACACCUCGAGGGUGUGUGGUGGCCCACCGCACCGCCACGUGGUGUAACCGCCCUACCUAAAUUUGUUUCCUCUAUCAAAGGAUGUCAAUUUAGAUUGGUACUACAAAUUUUAUUCGUUUCACUACAUUUUAAUUGUACUUCGCAUUAUAGCAAUCAUUUUUAUUUUUAUUUUUAUGUCAAAUUCUUAUCUUCAAUUUUUCAUUAAUUAAUACAUCGUGUCAUUAAUGAUGAUUUACUUCAAAUAUUUUUUUGGGCUUUUUUGGGCGACAAUUUUUCGAUCGAAUCCCUUGGAGUUACGGGGAGAUGUUGGGUGUAAUUGAAGAGAAUAUUGUUGACUUUCCAACAUUAUCAAAAUUUGACGAUAAUCCGUGGUCGAAAGUGGCAGAAAUGUUGCAACAAAAGCAGCCCAAAAAAUUGAAAAUGUGGUUUUAAAUUUCAGUGACCGUUUCUGUAAAUUUUUAAACUUCAAUGACCAUUUCUAAAAGUUUUUAACUUCAAUGACCAUCUCUGAAAGCGCCUCGAAACUUAAGUGACCGUUACUGAAAGUUUUAAACUUUAGUGACUGUUUUGUAAUUUUUGCAUAAGUUCAGUGAACGUUUUUGAAAUUAAUCCAAAAAAGUUUGCAUGUAGAGUUUCAUGUUUCUUAAAAGGUACAAACAAAUCUCACCUAAAAAAAUUUAAAACAUUCUAAUUAAAGAAAAAUAUUUUAUCUUCUUAAUUAACCCACCAACUCCUACACCCAUCCCCUACAUUUCACCACCACUACAAAAUUAAUCAAAGAGAUAAUUAAAAGUAUAAUAAAAGCAAAAUAAUAAUAAUAAUAAUAAUAAUAAUAAUAAUAAUAAUAAUAAUAAUAAUAAUAAUAAACAUAGAAAAAUAAAAAUAAAAAAAUUUAUGGCCCCAUUCGACCCCCAUUAAUUUUAAUUAUAAUGGGGGAAAUAGAAUUUUUUUGAAAAAUGAAUGGUUGUAAAAGAAUAAAAAGUUUUCGAUUUAUUUGUAAUAUUAUUUUAUUGAAAAUUGUGUGAUUUAAAAUAAGAAAGAAAAAUUUAAUUUAAUUUGAUGAGAUGUGAUGGGGGCAAACGAGGGCAAUAUAAAAACGAAUGGCGCUUAUUCCUCAUCAAAUAAUUUUUAAACUUUUAAUUCUUUUUUUUUAAUUAUUUGAUGGUGGUGUUGAUGGAGGAGGAUAUGCAGAGGGGUCGAGAUAGGGAUAGGUGGUUAAUUGGAAAAAUAAUUUUUUUACUAGAAUGUUUUAAAUUGUUUUGCAUAAAAUUCAUUUGUAAUUUUAAAAAAAAAAUUAUAAAAUCUAGAUACAACAUUUUAUAUAUACAUAUAUAUUUGUUUAUCUAAAGACGAUGAUAAAUUAGUCAUUUUAUAAUGUUAUAAUAGAAAAAAUGGAUGGUAAAAAUCUUUUAAGCAAAAAAAUGUCGAUCUAAGUGUUCAAAUGUCAAAAUUGAAAUGAUAAGAACUAUUCACACAAUUAAAGCAAACGAUAGGCACGUUUUUGCUCCAAAUUACACAUAUUUAACUGAAGGAUUUAAUGAAAUAUGAUGGAAAGCACUGAUUCUGCAAGAAAUGUUUGAAAUAAUUGUAAAUGGCAAGUUUGAAACAAUAUGAACCAUUUUCACAAUGAGUACAAACGAUAGGAAUGCCUUUUGCUAAUUACCCUAAAGUAUAUUUACUCUCUAGAUAUCGAGGGAAUUUAGCCCUUGUCUAACACCCGUUAAAAUUUUAAUAUAUUUUUCUCUCUUCUUUUUAAUCACGUAUUCAUCAAUAAAAUAAUAUUACAAGUAAAUCAAAAAAUUCCCUUCUUUUUUAACCACAAAUUUUUCCAAAAAAAUACUAUUCCAUAAUACAGAUUACCAAAAUUUCUCAUUAUAAUAGAUGUAAAACAAAGGUUUAAUAUAAACUAAUUUACACUUUACUUUUAUAAUAAAUAAUGUUAUUCAUAGUGAAGAUUAUUGAUAGUCAUCCUUUGUGACAUAUACAUGACAAUGUGUUAUUUGAUGCAUAGGAUGGUAAAAAACCUAUCAUAUUAAUGUAUUAAAUAAUGUCAUGUGUACGUCACGUAAGAUAGCUAUCGAUAGUCCUCACUAUGAAUAUCAUUACUCUUUUAUAAAUAUAACAUGUCCAAACUUGGAGGCAAAAAUGCAGCCUCCGAGCUCCUAUAGAGAGAUUGCCGCAUUGACUAUAAAUAAACAAAAGCAAUGAAACUAUUGUGAAACAAUAAAAAUUUUCAAAAAUAAUCAAUUCUUCUCGACGAGUAGAGUUAAAAGGCUAGUUUGAAACGAAGGAUAGUGCAUUGCACCGUGAUGCAGCAGGGCAGCAUUGGUGAAAGGGCAAAUAGGGCAGCAUCGGUGAAAGGUAGUGAAAUAAAGGGAACCACCAUAAGAGAGGAGAAUUUGAUUUCAGAAUUUAAAAAUCCCAGCCUCUUAAUAAGUAUAAAGAAAGGAGGGCAAGAGUAAAAAUGCUUAAACGAGAAACUUAGCCUGAACUAAACUGCUCUAUAUAGUAGAAAAGGAUGGAGUUAAAUGUUUCAUUGACCACCAAACUUUACACUAGUCACGAUUUACUCAUCGAACUUCAUUAAUUGUCUCAUUGGCCACUGAACUUUGCUCCGUUCAACUCCAUCACUCACCCGUUCAAAACUGUUAAUAGACGUGCUGAUGUGGUGAAUGGAAAAAUGACUUGGCCGGUUAACUCCUUUCAAGUAGUAAGUGAUUUGCCAACUAAGCUUCCACGUUAGUAAUGGAGCAUCCAAACACGGCAUUAUCAAUUUCAUUUCACACGACUUUACAGAAUUAUAACCCAAUUAGUGUGAAAUCUCUCUCAAAUCACUUCCUCCCAUUCGCGAAGAACCCUAAGUAUCUGAACCAAGAUCCUCCAAAAAUCUCUCAAAUCCUAUCAUCCUGAAAUCCAUUUCUACAAAAUCUCACAUGAAGUCUCUGUAUUCUGAAAAUCCAUUCAAUUCAUUCGGGUAAUUUUUAUCAUGCACCGUGGUAUCCCAAAUCACGUCGUCUAAUUUUUGUGAGCUUCAAAUUCAUCUACCUCAAGAUAGAAAGGUAAUUUUUGUUUAUGUUUGUUGUAAAAUUGUUCCCAUGAUAUGGUAGGACACGAAUUGAUGAUUUUUGAAUGGAAAAUUGGUUUUGUUUAUAACUCAUUUUAUUUUUGGUUUGCAUCUUCGUCUUUCCGAUAAUGGUCAAGAACACUACUUUCUAGUCGUUAAUGGAGGAAAAACAUGUUUAUACCAUUCCUCUCCAUAAUCCAAUUAACACUCAUUUUGGGUAUUCUGCCAAUGUGAAUGUUGGGUAUUUUUUGUUUGGCUCUAAUAAAGAUAGCUCAUUGUUGAAUCCGGUGACUGGAAAAAAGGCCCUGUUGAUGAAACUACUUUGACCGUUGAAGGAUUUGAAUCCUGAUGGAGCUACUUUGCUUGUUGAUGAAAUGAAUAACACUAAAUUAAAAUUUGGAAGUAGGUGUGUUUUAGGUACUGAAUUUCAGAAAAAGCCUCCUAUUUAAACUCUCGAAUGAGAUGAAGGGAUUAAAGAUUGUUAAUUUUGCAGUGUUGCUGAGAAGAGUAAAAAAUUUGGCAGCAAUUCAUCUGUCUGUCACUGCCAAUAACAUAUUCAUGUUUGCAAUCAAUGGAAGGGGGGUAUCCGUUGCCUUUGUCCACCAUUUAUGGUAAUAGGAACUGGGACUGGUUGUGCUUGGAAACAGCUACAAUUUGCUUCAUUAAAAAUACUGGUAAUUUGUUCUAUUUUACUGUAUUAUUUUUUAUUGCAUUCCCAGUUCUAUCAUUAUUUGUUUAUUUAAUUAAUGUUUAAUGACACAUCUUUAUGCUUUUUGUCCUUCAUUUAUCUCAGUUAAGUAUGUUUAUAGAAUUAUUAGUAUGUUUAUAGAUAGUGUGUAGAAUAAUUUAAUUUAUAAUUUGUAAUUAGUUAAAAUUGUAUGUUUUAUUCGAAAGAAUCAUUCUAUUAACUUUUAGGGUCAGUUUGAUUGUAAAGAUGAAAUUUGGAUAGAAAGAAAAUGAAUUUCAGGAAAUUGAAUUGUCUAAAAAUUAUUUUACUGAGAAUUAUCAAUUAUUGUGUUUGAUUGAUAUAAUUUUUUAUGUGAAAAAUGUUAAAAUAAAAGUAUUUUUUGAUGUUCGUUUGACUUUAUUUUACAUAAAAAUUGUCAAUUAAAGGGAUAAAAUUUACUGGUAUUGGGGAUAGAAUUUGUUCCUCUUGCCCAAAGAAAAAAAAAAAGGAGCCAAAAAAAUCAUCUAUCUUUUGGUGUUCAUUUGACUUUGUUUUAUAUGGAAAUUAUCAAUUAAAGAAAAAUAUUUUUUUACAAUUAAUGAUAGAAUUUGUUUUCAAUGCCAAAAAAAUAAAAAAUAAAAAUUGGCAACUUACCUAGAAAACCAAUUCCCACCAUUCCUUGAAAACUAAGAAAAGUCCACUUUUCAAAAAAACCAAGCAAAUGAAUUACAUGGAAAAUAUUUGCUAUCAAACACUAUCAAAAGGUGGAAAAUAGACAAAAUUUUCCAUUUUCCAUGGAAAAGAUGCCCAAUCAAACAGGGCCUUAAUAUAUUUUUCCAACAGAAAUUGUGUAGUUUUAGUUCGAAAAUUUUUAAUAUAGUUUCAGUAUAUUAUUUUCAUAUUACCAAUAGAAUUUUAUCAUUAAAAUUUCUUAAUUUAUUUUUUAGGAUUUUGUUUUUUUUAUAAAUUAAAAAUUUAAAAUAAUCUUUAAUUAAUAGGUAGGAUUGAUUGAAAUUAAAAGUAUGUGAAUUUUUAUUUUUAUUUUUGUUCUUUUUUACAACAAGCAAUAAAUAUAGCAAAUCCUUGUUGCAAAACACACUUUCUCGCAACAUUUAAUGAUUGUUGCAAAAUGUUGUAUCGUAAGAAUUUCAACAAUAUGUACUGAGCAUUGCUAUAGAACAAAAUUUUAAACAGUUCAAUGAACAUUGCAAAAAAAAAAAAAAAAGGAAGAUUAAAACUUUUGCAACAUAAUAAAAAAAAAUUAAAACUUUUGCAACACUCAAAGAACGUUACAAAAAGCUAUAUAUCAAGAGUUUCAAAAACGUUUAUUGAACGUUACUAUAGAACUUUAUUUUUACAACAUUCAUUAAACAUUGCGAAAAAUAAAACUUCUUACAACAUUCAAGAAACGUUGAAAAUGGUAAUAUUGACAACAUGCAAUUAAAAAAAAUAUAUUGCCAAUGCUUAAUUAAAUUAAUCAAUAGCAACAUUUUUCACUUUUUAAAAUGUUGCAAUAAACCAUUUAGCAGCAUACAAUUCACGAAUAUUGCCUUUUGAAUAUUGCAAAAGCUAUUUUAAUUGUAGUGAAAAUUCGUCAUAUGUAUAUAAAAAUUCAUAUGUCAUUAAAUUAAUUUCAGUACACGUGAUAAAUGAUCAUACCUAAAAAAAUUAUUACCUUCACUAAACUUUGAAAAAUUAAGCUUUCGGACCGAUAACGUAUUAUGAAAAGAGAUAGAAAAAGCAGGGAAAAUAAAAGUCAAUAGACUUGUAUGUAUUAUAAUAAGAACUAGAGCCAUGUAUUCAUAAAGAAGGAUUAUGGAUACAAUGAUAAUAAUUUCUAAAUUUAUAGGGGUACAAUUGUCAUUCACAAAUAAAACUUACCAUUUACAACAAAAUGGUCUUUUUUUUUUUUCUUCAAUUUGCUCCUAAAAAGUUUAUUGAUAGCAACAAGAUAAGUCGGACGUUCUCUUUUUUGAAUUUUAAGAGGCGCGUAGGACAUUUUGAUCUUCAUUUUUCGUCCCAUUCAUUUAUGUAUUUACUUAUUUAUAUAUUAUUAUGCGUUUAAAUUUAAAUUUUAUUCAAAAAAAAUUUUAAAAAAAAUAUUAUGAAUCAUGGAUGGGUUUGUGAUAGCGAUCAUGUUUCCUAACCAAAUGCCUAAUAAGGAUUAUAGAAUUCCCGACCUUCAAUCCACGUGGCGCGUUCCGUCCCACAUUGUCCUUCCUUGAAUAGUAAACGAGGCGGGAUGCAAAACCUAUAGUCCCUAGUUUCGAAUUUUUAGUACUAGCUCUGAAUCAUUUUUCAUUAUUAUAUUUCAUUUUAUUGUUAUGUUCUUCAUUUAAAUCAUAUUUAAGAAAAUUUAAUUAAAUAAAUAAAAUGAUGAAUGAUGUUUUUUAUGUCUCAACCUACCCUACAUUCUGAAAAAUCAGAACGAAACAAGAAUGAUAUGAUGGUUACUAUCCAUUGUCAUCCUUAAAUUCAAAUUUCUUGUUGGGCGAAGUAACUUGGGGCCAGAGGCAGUCCUGAGGGCGCACGAGUUGAGCGAUCGCACAGGGCCUCAAAUUUGUAAGGGCAUCAAAAAAAUUUUUGUUAUAAUUGUAUAUUUAUUUAUAAUUAAAUAUUUAAAAUAUAAAAUUUUUAUUAUUAUGCAAAAGAUAUUAAAAUUAAGAAUAAUGUGACUAACUAGUUAUAAUUUUCUUGAAUAUAAUAUUCUUAAAUAGCGUUCCUACCUUAAAUAAUGUGAGGAAAAAGUAAAAAGUCAAAAAGAGAUUAGCCCGACUAGAGAACUGAGAGAAGAGAGAAAAAUUGAGCAACUACAUUUUCCAAAUCGUCUUUUUGGAGAGAAGAAUUAAAGAAAACAACAAUCUUUUCCAAUUGCCCCAAAGAUAAUUGAGGUAGAGAAAAUAGAAACCAACCGUUUUUUUAUUUGUUUAUUUUUUUUUUUGAAGAAAUCAUCUUUUUUUCCAAUCAUCUUUAAUCUGGCUCCAAAAGAUUCUCUUUUUUCUUUAAGCAACGACUGACGAUUCAUAUUUUUCACUGAACUCUCACUGAAAAUUUGAAUUACAUGUUAUCUUUUCUUUAUUAUCUUUUCGUUAAUCUUAUUCUAUGAUUUUACUGAUUUGAAUUCUUUUUGCAAGAACUUGUUAAAAUUUGAAUUCAGGAUUGAGGAUUGAGAAAGCACGACAUAAUUUUCCUCCGGAGAAGUUGAACACUUACAAGUAAGUUUUUGUUUCCUUAACAUAUUUUUCUUCAAUAAUUUCUUUGAAUAUUCAAGAAAAUAUAAAUUCGUUUUUAAUAUUUUUUUCUCAACGUUCUGAAGAUGGAUUCAUCGUUUAUAAUUUAUAAUUACUAAUUUAAUAAGUGAAAUCAAUUAACUGUGAAGAGAUUUACUGUUAAGUGAAAUCAAUUAAUUGUGAAAAUGGGUUCACUGUUCAUAAUUUAUAAUUACUAAUUUGAUAAGUGAAAUCUACUAAUGAAAUUGAUUCAUUGAAUUUUUACUACCCUCUAACUCUCUUUUCAUUAAUUUGUGAUACACGGGUUUUCGAAGAAUCAAGAUUGAUUUAAUUCCUGUUACUGUUGUAUCUGCUGAAAGAAAAUUUUCAAAAUUGAAGUUAUUAAAAUCUUAUUUAUGAUCAACCAUUUUACAAGAACGAUUGAAUGGAUUCGUUUUGAUAUCUAUUGAGCAAGACUUUCUAAAAAAUAUUGAUUACGAAAGUUUAAUUAGUGAAGUUGCUUUUAAAAAUGCGAGAAAAAAUAUUUUUACAUACUUUGUAUCAUUUCAAGCUUUACACUUGACUUGAUUUAUAUAUUUGUUUCAAGGUUUGCUUAUAUGGAAUUGCACGAAGAGGUUAGUGGUUUGGAUGGUUCUUUGUUGAUGACACAUGAAUUUUGAUGAAGUUCGAGAGAUACUUUUGAGUUUUAUUUAUGUUUUUCUUGUUUGUGUAUGUUAAAAAAAAAAUAUUCAAAUAUCAUAUUUUUGCAAUGAAAUAAUAUUAUUGAAAUAUUUUUCUUUACUAUAUGUUUUAAUCACUUGAAGGGGGUACCAUUUUAAAAUUUCGCACAGGACAUCCAAAAUCUUAGGGCUAGCUCUGCUUGAGGCUGGCGUUUUGUUAAAGAUUUCCUCUUAUAAUUUUGUAGAAAAUAAAAAGCAAUGAAAAAUAAAUCCACUUGAAAAUAGGGUCAUCUCUAAAAGAUAAAUGUAUUAUCCAUUGAUUCCCAUUUUUCAGUUGAAACCCAUCUCCGUAGCAAGGCUAUGAUCCAAUCCAACCUUAAAAUUUCUCAAAUUAUCUUUAAAAAAAAAAAAAAAAAAUUUCACCACAUUUUUAACUCUACAAAUAAAGUGGAGUGUUGCCUAAAUAUCCAUUACAACAGCUAUGUAGAGGCAACCCUGAUGGUUCACAGAUGGUGCAACCGCACAAGGCCUCUACAUUACAGGGACACCAAUUUUUUUUUUUUUUAUUUGUGUAUUAUAAUUUUAAAAUUUAAUUUUUUUUUAUUAAAGGGACCAUGUUUUAAAAAUAUCACAUAGUACACCCAAAAUAUUAAGGUCAACGCUACAUCUAAGUACCACUGUGCAACUUCUCCAUUUCCUAGGUAUCAAAAAAUCUUCACCUCUACAACCACGUACUAUGUUAAUUGCUGAAGAUUAUAUUUACAGUCUGUUUGAGCCACAUUAUUUCAAAAAAAUACAUUUUUAAAUAAUAAUUUGACAUUAUUUCAAUCACACAUUCUUCAAUAAAAUAAUAAUACACAUAAAUAAAAAAAUUCCUUAUUUUUUAACCACACAUUUCCCAUCAAUACAUUAUUCAAGAAUGCAUUAUUACCAAAAUAAUGUUGCUCAAACACCCCCUCAGUAGCAAACAUGAUAGAAUAAAAUUCUGUGACAUACUUAGAUGAAAAUUAAUUCAAUACAGUCUGGCGUUCAAGUCAGACGAUAAAGUAUAUUGGGUGUGGAAGAGAUACAAUAGAUAAAGAUAUAGAUACGGUUUACCAAAACUUUCCUUCGAAGGAAAGGGCAGAGUAUUUAUAGGUGGAAGAAGCUCUAUCUGAAUGCUUAACACGUGACUUUAUUUUAAUACCUCAUUUCUCAUGCUUAAUUAUGUCAAUUUAUAGCCAUCAUAGGUAUGGCUUUCCAUAGUCAGAGUAUAAGCUAAAAACUAAGUAUCGUUGUUGCGGAGUUGUUACAUCAAAUAUUUUGUACGGUGUACUUUGGGCAACUUUGUCAAAGCAAGGCUUGUAGUAGAUGUUCAUCACCCUAGAUAUAUACUGCAGUGGAGAGGUGAUGCAUCGCCUCGAAUAACAAUAACAUUUUAAACAAUGCAUCUAAAAGUAUCCCAUGAUCGUAUCAAAAAAGGCAUGAAGAGGAGACGAUGGGAAUUUGAGUGUUUCCCUUGUAUAGCCUCUUCUUAUUUGGCUGUCAUGUGGCCCACAUUGUAGAAAAAUAUGUAACAAUAUCACUUUUAACAAAAUCUAUUCUCAAACAAUGGAGCUUAAAUAGGGUUACCAGUUUUAUGUUACUGAAAUUUUUUUCAAAAGCUCUGUUGAAAAUUAAUUUUUUUUUCUUUUUAUUAUUUUUUUAUUUUUAGGAGAGUUAGGGGCUAGAGAAUAAAUGUAUGUAAAACAAAGUUGUCAGAAUCAAAUGCUAAGAGAGCAAAUCUCUUUGCAAGAAAGAAGGAAAGGAUAAGGCUGCCAAAAUUAUGAUGAUGAUAGAAAUGGAAGCAAGAAUAUUCAUAAUAUAAGUGAAUUUCUUGGUCGUCCAUGCCGGAUUGAAGCUAUCUUGAACACACGACCUUACCUUUGUGAAGUUAUCAAUCCCUCAAUUCUAUUGUUUACUGGUGCAAAUUCAAUUUUUCCCGUGUUAGAAAUUUUCCUUUUUGUUAAAGUUGAAUAACAUCGUCUAAUAACAUUAGCUUAUAGGGAUAGGACAAAUUUAUUUACGGAAUUUCUGAAGAUCCUUGAGCAACUUGGAUUCAUUUUUCAAUUUAUGAGAUGUGCAUAAUUUUGCUCAUCAAACCACAUCAUCUAAAAGUUUAAGCUAGCAAUUAGGACACAAAUUUAUUUAUUUAUUUAAAUCUUCUUCGACAUUUUGGACAUGAAAUGUGAUUCCUACAACAAAUGUGCACACCUCCAAUUUAUUAAAUGAUAGACUACGAAACUGUAUUUUGAGUGGUAAUUGGUAUGCAAGAGUGGUUAACUAAUGGAUUUGUAAUUUCGACAUCUAAGUUCUGCAAGGCCAAUACAAACCGAUAGAUAGAACAUUUAUUUUUGUCUGCAUUAAGCAUCACAGGCUCAAUUACCGAGAAUUGCAUCCACUUUACACCUGUUACAAUGUGGAAGCGGAAUUGUCCAGAAAUUAAAUAAAAAAAAUUUUAAUUAAAUAAACAAGAUCGUUUAUGUGACAUCUCUAAAAUAUUUUUAGGGAAAAAAAUUAUUAUCUAUUCUAUAUAUUAUAUUUGAUUAUUUUGAAAAUGACGGACUUGGAUGAAGUAUAUUUUAAAUUAUUAUAUUCUUGAGGCAAAUAAUUGGAUUUUGAUAGAGUGAUGAUAAGUCUAUCAAUAUUACACUCGUUGGAGAGCCCGUAUCUAAUUAUGUAUUUUAGGCUCGAGAAAAAGUUAAUUCUAAUAAGUUUGGCUCAAGAUAUUGAAGUUUGUAGAAGUUGUUAUUUAAUUGGAAUUAGAAUUUACCAACUUUUAAAAGGGGUAGCCACGUGUGCUCUUCUAUAGAGAUAAGGUGGUGGAUAUGAGAUUGUAGUUAAUUGUUAUUUUAUCACAUUUUGAUGAUGAUUAAUGUAAAUUGAUAAUUAUAAUCCUAUUUUGAGAUAAUUCAACUUCGGAUAUUGUUACUAAAUUAAAUUAAAAUAUUAGUCCUUACGUUUAUUUUACCUGCACUACAUGAGUGGAUAAGGUGAUUGGGAUAUUUCUAAUUAAGCAAAAUCCAAAUUAAAACUAAUCUAGAACUUAUCAUAUGAAUUAGAUAAAUUUUCCAUCUCCUGCUUGGCCAUGCGUUUAAAGAUUUAUUGGUUUUAAAAAUUAUUUUCACCAAGUAGAGAUUUUACAGAGAUGAGAUAAAAUUUUAUGAAGUCAUUUUUAUCCUAUAUUUUGAUAAAGGAUAAAGGUUUAAAUGUAAUCUUAUAUGUGAGAUAUUCAAGUACUAUCAUACAUGUGUCAUAUCAUGGUUUGGGUUAUCAAAAUUUAAAGUUUAUCUAAGUGGUACACGUUUUCCCCACCGUCAAAAUUGUACCAUGACUCAACUACCAUUUUUUUAUUAUAAAUAAUGUGCAUUUGUACUUUGAUUUUCCACCAAGAAAUUUUUACAUAUCAGACAAUAGAGAGAGAGAGAGAGAGAGAGAGAGAGAGAGAGAAUAAUUUUGAAGAUUCAGUCACCAAAAUUUUGACGCAGUCGAGAAAGUAGAAUAUGGGGGUGUUUGAUAGAUAUUUUUAUGUAAAAAUACAUUUUAGAAUAGCAAAUUGAUGUGAAAUGUGUGGUUGAAAAAUGAAGAAAAGUUUUUGAUUUACGUAUAAUAUUAUUUUAAUAAAGAAUGUGUGGUUGAAAAGAAGAGAGAGAAAAAUACUUUUUGAAUAAAAUAUGAAUGAAUUACCUGCAGACAUUCAUUUUUUUAAAAGAAAUAUGAAAUCCUACAGGAUUAUAAGAAGGCCUAAGAUGGGUGUCACUUGGUCACGGAAUUACUCCAUAAGAUCAAAGUGGUAUGAAAUGCAUAAUUUUUAUUGUUAUAUAUUUGUAUAUGAAAAUUGCACGUAUCUUAUUGGGUGUUUUUGAAUACUCACUCUUACAAAUUUUUAAAGGUUAGUUCGGGUUGAUUGAAGUUGUGACGAAUUGGUGACGCGGACAGCCAAGUGAAUCGAAGAAAGGAAAAAGAAAUUAAAUAUUUAGUUUGCUUUUUUUUUUCUGUAAUUCUAAAUUAUUUGCUAGUUUUAUUUGCUCAAAGACUCUUUUGGUUAUUUUAAAUUGAUAUUUAUGGUUGAAAAUAAAGAAUUUCCUUUUAUUUAAAUCGUUCCACAAUUAUUAUAAAAGAAAACAGCGUUUUUCUUAACAUCCUGGCGUUUUUGGAAAUUUAGGACGUUGCAGUUUAGAUGUUCACGUAUAUGUUAAAUCAAGGAUAAAGAAUUUGAAUUUUUACCUAAAUUGAUGAUUAAUUAUUUAAUUAAUUCAAAUCACGAACUUCCACCUUUUUGGAUCAUAGACUUCUAGCUUUUAAUUACAAGAACUUGAUACAUCAAAUCUCCAAGUCUUCUACUGUAUUCUCCAAAAUCAAAACUACACCAAUGAGUGGGCGUUUUUUUUUUUUAAUUAUAUCAAGAAACUAAUUUUUAAACUGACAAUUGAAUAAAAGCAAGAAAAAUAAUAUUCUCUCUUUUUUCCUCUCUUCAAUUUGAACACUGUGGAUUUAUGUAAUAUGAUUAGAAAUUCUAGGUUCUAUAUAAUCUCUAAUUAUAGAGACAGAAUAGUUCUAAUUCUUGUACAAUAAUAAUUUCACAUUCAAAUAAGAGUUCUAAUUAAAAUCUAAGUAGGAGUUUUACCUAAAGUCCAAAUUCAAUUAGUACACAUUUAAUUACAUGUGUAGUCCUAAAACUUUAUAAUUAAGUUUACAAAUUUCAUAAUAAUUAUAACUAAGUACAAAAUUUUAUUGUAAUUAUAGUUAAUCUCAAAAUUAUUAUAAUUACUAUAAUUCAAUUCCAAUAAUUUAUGGAGCUGACAUAGGGACCUGAUAUAACAUAUAUUAUCCAAACUUCAAUAAUUAGAUCUGUCUAGUAGACUUUAGACCACCCAAUCUAAUUAUUAGUCUUUACUUUUUCACCAAAGACACAGAAACCAAUAAAUUUGUAAUGAUUUCCUCUAACAUGUUGUAUAUGUAUUUUAUCCUCGUCCGAGAUUUAAUAAUUAGGUAUGAGCAUAAAUGACCGUUUUGCCCUUUUAUUUAUUAUCACUAGCUUAAGUAUCAUUUUCUUCAACGAUUAUGUAAACUAAUCACAGAUGUCGAAGUUUAACUGUCGCUAAACACUUAGCUCAAAUUUUAACCAUUCAACAAUAAAUACUUAAGUAAUCACUCUACCCAUUUUUCAAUGUGACGAUUCUCGACACGAAUUCUCUACCUUGCUUAUUUUCGAAUUCUUAGCUCAUCAAGACAUUUAACCAAUCAAAUUAAUAUCACCCAUUGAUGAUCAAAGAACCACUAAAAUCACGAAAAUAUAUACAUAACACUAUUAAGGGAUUUAUAUGAAAUACACAGCGAUCAAGUGAAACUUAAUUCUUCGCACGGUCAUGCUAUAGGAAUUAAAUUUGACACGUGAUCCGUUCAAUAGACUCCAAGUGUACUAGUGCCACCUUUAACUAUUUUUGUAAUAAGGACAAAUCACAAACGUGAAUAGUGAAUCGGUCAAUAUUACAACCUUCCAGUACAAGGUGUCAACCCUUAUACAUUGAUAAUGAACAAAUUAUUUAUGAUCAAAAUAUAAGUUGUGUCACCCUAUAUUUCUCAACGCAAGUAUCCAAUUUAUAUUAUCACAAGUGAUUAUAGGCACUUUAAUUCACAUGCUUAAUAAUAAAUAAAUGCAAUAAAUAAAAUAAACACAUUUUUAUUUAAUAUAACAAUAUUGUUAUUUUUACAUCAGCAAAACUAUACUUGAUAUAUUUGAUAGGUUGAUAGGAUCCAAACCUUAGCAUGCCAUUUAGAAAUCCAUUCGUUAAUAGGAUUCAAUUAAGUUACCGUUGCCAAUUAUGAGUUGAUGCAUGGUCAAAUGACAGCCUCUGUAGCUUCACACACUUGAUAUAUUUGAUAACUUGUUAAACUAUUAAUAUGGGUUGCAGUGAGGGUUCCGAAGUAGUAGAAUGGUAGAAUGACCACUUUUCAGGUAUUAUCGGCAUUAAUAUUUUUCUUAAUUUCGAUGAAUUUAAAUGAAUUAAGGAGAAUCUGCAAUGAUUUCAAUGAUGUUUGAAAAGUCUAUAUCAUCAUGGACGGUUAACAUCUGGGAGAUUCAAGUAUAAAAGUUUUGCAUAAUUUCAUUGAAUAUGCCUCUAGCUUUCAUACCUAGAAUAUUAUGCUUGAAUGCUUAAAAGAUUUAUCCAACUUUAGGGUUUCAUUGUAUUGUAUAAAGUAGCCACUUAAAUACUUCUCUCUUGUACUCAUAUUUGAUAUAGUAAAAAUUAUUUUCUUACAUUUUUGUGAAUUACAAGUACUUGAGAGUGCAAAUGAAGUAAACCCAAUUUUACUUGUGGGUCAUUUGGCAUUCACAUAUUAUAACUAUUUUACUUGUGGACUAAAUUACGUAUAUUGAACUAGAGAAAAAGUCGAUUUGAAUAUACGGAGACCAAUAUCAUUCUAUCCUAAGAUAUCAGGACUUACUAUUAAUUAUUAAGAUAUUUUUCCCAAAAUCAAUAUUGCUAGAUUGAGUUUUAACUAUAUAGGGAUUUAAUUCCCAAAAUAAAUUACACACAUCUACAUUGAAUUCCCAAAAUAAAUUACAUUGAACAAGUAAUCACACUCCAAUAAUUUCCUGAAACCAUCAGUCUUCAUAAUUUCCUGAAACUAACUCAAAUCUCCACGCAUUAAAGAUUGAGUCAAUAUGUUAAAUAUUGUAAAUAAAUAUGAUUAAAUAAUUAAAAUUAAACAUAUCUGAUUUGUUUACCAUACAACGUAAAUGGAUAUAAAGACUUCAAAGGGGUAUAACAUAUUCAAAGUCUCCAACUAAACCUAGUCCUCGUAUCCUCAACUUAUCAAAAAGUCAAUACCUUUAAGGUAUGUGCUAAAGAAAGGCACGAGCGUUGACAACCCCACCAUCUAUACAUUUGACACUUGCCUUGAUGAUUAAGAAAAUGCCUGAUCAUCAUUUACUAAAACUCAUAAAAAUGUUUAUAUCAUCUGCCAAACUCAAUUAUUUCAAAAUUUAUUUUCAAUCAUGUAUUUCAUGGAAUUUACAACUUUUACCAAUUUUCCCUUCAAAUCUUACCAAAGCUAAUUAGGCAACGGCUUAAGGCCUUAGAUAUUUGAGGGACCUCAAAAAUAAACCAUUUGUUCUCUGGUUCUUGCAGACAGUGGGAACAUAUCUUGUUAUUGCAAAUUAUCGCAUGACAGGAAUGACCUUUAUGAUUUGCUAAAGAAAUGAAGGUACUUUCCUGGGUUCUUCAUUUUGCUUUAUUUCCACUCGUCAUUCAUUUACCAAUACGGGUUGACUCCCUUUCCUAGAAAAUAUGCUCAUGCCAAUUUCCUAAAUUUGUGGAUUUAAUUGAAACUCAAAAAAGUUUAACCAUAUUUUCUUACCUUCGUUUCAGUCGAUGAUAAUCUUUGUCAAAUUUUUAAUUUGUGGAAUCACAUACACAUUGAAAGAACAUUUAGUCCAACCUAUCCUUUCCAUCCAAUCUCAUCUUUUUAUUGACAUACUUUAUGUGUUGGUUGGACAAUAAAAGAAAAUAUUAGAUAGCGUUAAAGAAUAAACAACCAUCACAAAUUCACGACAUAUUUAUAGAAUACUGCCAAAGAAAUCCAUUUUAAGGAACUUUUAAUCACUUCCAAACAAGCUCUUAGCUCUAAACAUUUUUCAUGAGCUCGAUUUAUAAUACUAAUUAAACAAUAAAAAGAUAUUAAAACUUUUUCCAUAGUAAUCAACAUUUUUGUCCAGCACUAAGCAUGGCUCCUAAAUAUGAUAUGACAGUAAACAUGUGGGCCUUUCCUGUUUUAAUAGGAAUCCUCAUCUUUGAGAAUUAUGUUAGUUGUUAUUAUGUCCUCUGAGCAUGUUUCCUCAAGAAUCAAUAGAAAAUAGCUAUUUAUUUUUAUUUUAUUUUUUCAUUUUACUCAAACUCGUGUAUUUCAUGUUGAACUGCCUCGUAUAGAAAUUACAGGAGAUUAAGUUAUGAGAAAAAAGUUAUGUUUAAGGGCCUCGUAUUUACUAAUACAUUGUUCUUCAAGGAUCAAUAGGUGAAAAUAUCAUACCUGAGGGCCUCAUCAUAAUUAUUUGCUAGCCCCGAGAAACCGACCCCAAUAGUCCCUUUUCUAGGAACCACCUUGGUGAGCCUUUCUUCGUCAACGAAUUUAGCUCACAGAUUCGCCUCACUUUCUCCACCAACAAGCCUAGUUUGCAGCUCUGCCUCACCGAGUGACUCCAACAAGAUACAUCAAGGUUAACAAAAUGUAGCUCACAUGUAGCAUCCAUGUUGGAUGAGGUUCAAUCAUUUUGAGCCACUUUCAACGAGCCUGGAAGGUUGUUACUACGUAGAUGAAUAUGUGGAUCGCUAGAUUCUGACAUUUGCUCAGCAGAUUAGCACUUUGAGGACGACAGGAUUCAAACAACCCAGUUUGACACAGAACAACUUAUUAAGCAACAGGAAAUCUCUUUCAAUGUGGAUGAGGAAUUUUAUUCAGCAACAUAGGUGGUGUGCUCUAAACUGACUGCAAGGAGCCAAUACUCAUCCAACAAUCUUGAAACCAAUACUAAUCUCGGCAAGUUUAAUAAAUAUUUUGGGUUUCCUUUGGAGUCCCAUGUCCACUCCGUUGUGGCGCAACUCUGGUGCCUAUCCCGCACCAAGAGUGCCUCAACAGCUGAAGCUGGAGGUGAGGGUCCGCUAGAGCUGCCUCCACAACAGUUGCUGGAGGCUGGAGGUUGCGGUGUACCCAGAAACCUCAAAAGUCAUAGUUGGAGGUUGAAUUUUGGUUUAGAUAUUUUAUCGAUCGCCUGAUGGACGAAGUAGCGCUGAGAUUUUAUGAGAACAAAUAAAGGCUUCCUCUAAUCCCAUGCUCAACACAAUAUCCCAAUUAUGCCCGUUUUAGAAUAUCCGCGUCCUACGUAGGUUCGGAGCCGUCGGAAGCGACUACCACUGCGCCUGCCUCGACGGCAUUCAACGGAGGCUACGGAAGCCACGGCGGCGGUGGGAGCACCGGGGCUAGAUCUUGGCCCAGUGUUCAGUCUAACACGAAGAGUUGUAAUUGGUCCGGCGAGAUCAAGGAGGAUCGAGAUCGAGUGGCAUGUAGGUCGCAACGCCGGUGCUACGGGAGCCUCUGUGUCGGUGGGAGCACCAGGGCUAGAUCAUGGCCCAGUGUUCAACACCGAGACCAAGGGGGAUCGAGAUGGAGAGGCAUGUUGGUCCGUCGUAGCCGGACUGUUUUAACGACUAUGGAAGCGGUUCUCAUCAGUAGGAUUUUAGCGAAAAUUAUGGAGUUUUGACCGUUACUCACCAAAAUUUAUAGCAUUGCAGCUGCAAUUAUUGACCAAAUUUUUAUAUACCAUUUUGACAUUUAAUUUAUUCCAUUUGACUGAAGGGCAUUUGUGGUAAUUUAACAAAUAUUGAAUCAUAAAAUUGGGCCGAAAGAGGUGAUCGACGUUUCCAAACAACUCAAAUUUUCCUAAAAAUCUUGUCAGAAUAGCUUCCAAAUAAACGGUCAAUUAAUUAUUGACGCAUAUUAAUUUAAUGGAUUAGUAGUCAAGUUAAUGAUGAAAAUUUUGAGAUAACAUGUUAAUUAUUGAUGACAUAUUAAAAAUUAAUUAAAAGGACAGCAAAAUUGGAUAGCAAAUUUCGACUCUAUUUUUCAAAAAGGGCAGCAAACUUUAUUAUUAUCUCACUUUAAUAAAUGGGGACAAUAAAAUGAAUUAUCAAAAACUAAAUAAAAAGGGGUACGUGAACGGGCCAACACCCUAUCCUGCCUUGCCUUUCAUUAUUAUUUUGCAAAUGAAUCCUAGUAAAUUAUUAAAAUGAUAUUUAGCACAAAACAUCCCUAACUUUCAUUAUUAUUAUGCAAAAUGUCCGUAUCUUUUAUUUUUUAACAUUUUCACCAUUAUUUUUAUAUUUCAUUGCCAAAUCGUUAUUUUCAUCAAUUUUCUCAAUUGAAAGCUGUAAAAUAACAAAAAUACGCUCCUAUUUAAAUAAACAAAAAUAAAGAAAUGAAAAAUAAAGAACAAAUUGUAGCUAUUCUCCCAAAAUUUUCAAAAUAAUUUUCAAAUAAAUAAUUAAAAAACAAAAAUCACUUUUUUAAUUAUUUAUUUGAAAUUGAUUUGUAUUUUUUUUGAAAAUUUUGGAAAUAUAAUUGCAAUUUGUUCUUUAUCUUUCUUUAUUUUUAUUUUUAUUUGGCUUAUUUAAAGAAAAGUGUAUAUUUGUUAUUUUAUAGCUUUUAAUUGAGAAAAUAGAUGAAAAUAACGAUUUUCGCAAUGAAAUAUGAAAUAAGGGUGAAAAUGUCAAAAAAUGAAAGGUAUAGACAUUUUGCACAAUAAUAAUGAAAGAUAUGGACUUUUUUUGUUAAUUACCCUUUUAAUAAUUUAUUUGAACUAACUUGCACUUUUUAAAAAAAGUUUAAGAGUAUAAUUAUAAUUUAUUCUUUAAUUUUUCUUUUCUUUUUUAUUAUUUUAUUUAAAUAGGGGGUAUAUUUAUCCUAUUACACGAGAAAUUUGAUGAAAACAAUGAUUUACACAAUAAAAGGUGAAGGUAAGGGUGUGCCAAAAAAAAAAAGAUAGAGACAUUUUACACAAUAACAUUAAAAGAUAAAGAUGUUUUGUGCUAAUUACCAUUCCUAGAAACAUCCAAAUGAACCAAAGAUGGUUGGUGUUAAAGCACAAAGGGAAAAUUUCAUAUAUUCUAGCGUAAGUAUAGGUGAUUUCAAAACUAAGAUGACAAGUUUGAAUUUGCAAAAAUCAGAAAUAUGGUAGUAACAAUCAAUUAGUUUUCUAAAAAUCAAUGUCCACUUACCUUCAAAAGCCGGAUUCCAUAUAUUAUCCCAUAUGGAGAGAGAGAGAGAGAUGAUUCGUUACAGUUAGUCCCUAAAAUCAAGCAUCCAGAUUCAACUCCCUAAAAUACUGAUUUAAAUCCCUCAACCACAUAAUUAAUUAAUUGUAUAAUUUAUUAAUUAAAUAUAUUAAGGUCACAUAUCUAUAUAAUUUGAUCACAAAUUCAUAAUUUAGUUAGUCACAUAUUAUUUUCUGAUCAUAAAUCAUAAUUUUUAAAUAUCAUAAAUUAUUUUAUAGUUACGAUUCAAAAUUUUAUAGGUCACAAUUUGUUCAUCUGUCACAAAUCAAAAAUUAAUACGUCACAAUUUAUGUAUCGGUCACAGAUCACAAGGUCACAGCUUAUUAGAAGGUCAUAAAUUAAUAUAUUUUUUUAGGUCACAUUGGUCACAAUUUAUCUUCAUUCGUCACAUAUUAUUUAUUGGUCACAGAUUAAUCAAUUCAAUGAUCACAAUCAAACAAAUAAUAUGUGACCACCCCAACCUUUAUGAAAACCACUGCCCCCAAUAGUAUCACCGUCAUCAUUGCCUUCAGAACCACCACGAGCACCGACAGCAACAUCGUCUCCUCCCUGAUAUACUCCUGCCCAAUGCUAGAUCGAAACCUAGAACUUAGCCAAUAUCACCAACAACUCACAUCACAGCCAUUACCAUCGCCAACAUCCCCACCACCACAGUCUCACCACCAUCAUGAUUAGCACUGACGUUUUCGCCACAACACCAUAGCAAACCACCACACACAAAAAAAUCCUGAUGAGCAGUAGCACUUUUGGGGAGGAAAAGCCGUGCUGAAACUACAUUUUCCGAAGAGCGAGAGAGAGAGAGAGACGACGGGUGGAGAGGAGAGAGGAGAAAUUGGAAAGGAAAAGCUGCGCUGAAACGACAUUUUUCGGGAGGGGGGGAGAGAGAGAGAGAGAGAGAGGACGGGUGGAGAGGAGAGAGAGAAAAUUGGAGAGAGAAUAAAUUAAUUGGAGAUGAUCGGUGGAGAGAAAGGACGGGUGGAGAGAGAGAAUACAAUUAAUUGGAGAGGAGAGGAAUUGGAGGGAGAAUAUAAUUAAUUGGAGAGAGAAGACAGGUGAGAGGAGAAAUUGAUUUAUAUAAUUAAUAUUUAAAUAUAAAAAUUUUGAUUUUUGAAAUGUUAAACUACUCAUCUUAUUUUUGAACCCUAGAUUUUAAUUCUAAGGUUUUUUGUAAUUAACACAAGCACAAAUUGGCAAUGUUGUACCGAUUCGACCAAUAAAAUUGGGACCGGCCCAAAACAUUGCAAAUUGGACGUCAUAAAUAAUUCCGAAGCACUAUCACAUGCUGACACUUUCAUAGGUGGGCCUGAAAAAUGAUGCAAAUGCAAUUAGGAGUGGGUGCGGUCCGAUUUGGCUCGAUUUCAAAGGAAACCGAAUUGAACUAAAUACCAAUAGGAAUUUUAGAAAUGGAACCGAACCAAUCGGUUCCGAUUCGGUCCGGUCUGGUUCUUUACAUUGAAAACGUCAAAAUAAAAUGUUCACUAAUAAAAAUUCUAAAAAUGCUACCAAUGUGAUACUUUUAACAAAAUAUAGAAGAACUGAACAUACUAUUCAAAGAUCUAUUUAGGUAUAAAUUUACAAAGUGAAACAAAAUAAUAAUCAUGUAAUCAAAGUGAAAACAAAAUAAAAAUUUCGUAUCUUAUAAAUGAAAUUAUAUAUUGUAAAUAAAUUUAUUUAGAUAUAGAUUUACCCAAUAUUCUAAUUUGGUUUGAAAAUCAAUUAAUCAAAGAAUUAUAAAAAGGGCGAAGAAAAAGAUUCUAAAAUUAAGAAGGAACCCAAUUAUUUUUUUAUAAAAAUAAAAGUGUUGGAGAUUGAGUAAUAUAUUUUACCAAAAAAAAAAAUCCAUUGAGAACCGUCUGGUCCCCACAGUUCCCAUACUAGAAUCGGGAACCGGAUCGGAACUGGUCGAUUCUUAAAAAAUUUUCUCGAAAUCAAAUUUUUUUUUAGAAGAUCCAGAACCGAAUCGGCCAAUUCUAAACGAUUCUAGUCCGGUUCCACCGGUUCUGAGAAAAAGUGCCCACUCCUACAUGAAAUGGCAAUAAUCCAGUAUCCAAAAAGAUGCAGUCAAUUUUGAUUGAAAAUGGUAAAAAUUCAAAAUCAGAGUAAUUUUGGAUUGAAGAUAUGGAUUUAAGAGAGCUUGAGAUAUGUGGAAGACUAUUUCAAGGUGUGGAGUCAUAAGCCAAAACUAUUGAUGGUCGUCUCUUCAUAGUUAAUUAAAUCUUCUUUUGUUUUCCAUCAUUACUAAAGAAAUAUGUUUCCGAUAGCGUUCAUUUUGAAACAUAUCUUAUCUUCUGUCUUUCUAAUUCUCUAUCUGAAGCCAAAGAGUAGGGAUAGCAAAAAAACUCCCUUUAAACCUGAUAUCCGUGGGCCCUGUUCCAAACUAGGUGGGUAUUACCCGCUUAAUCAACUAUUCAGGUUGGGUUCGGGUCGAGAAAUUUUGCCCCGAGGCUGGUACGGUUAACACCCGCCUCCAUCCCACUUAUUUAUUUAUUUAAGAAUUCAGUACUUUAAAUCAAAAAUCUCACGAAAUUUCAUUAAUUCUACUAAAAGACGACAAUUAAGAUUCUUUAAGUAAUACGAAAAACAAUAAGAACCUUAAUUUAUCAAAUAUAUUCUAAUAAUUUAACUAUUAAAAUAAAUUAAUUAAUUAAAAAUUUAAUAACUAUAUUAUUAUCUCACUUUAAUGAAUGAAGAUAAUAAAAUAAAUUAUCAAAAACUAAAUAAAUAUAAAUAAAAAAAAGAGUACGUAAACUAGACAAGUCCCGCCCUGCCUUAAACGGGUAAUGGGGCAAGAAAUUACCCAGCGUGGCAGGGUCAUUGCCAUCCCUACUAGUAGAAUAGUUUCUCUUGCAGGCACAGAAAACUAGUAAUAUUAUCCAUGUCAAAUUUUUUUCCUCCUUCAAAAUUUCCUUAUGUUCUCAUUUUUUAGUAAAACAACAAACUAAAAUGCCAUAAAAAUAUUUAAUCGUCUCAAUUAUUAAUUCUUUUCUCUAUUUUUUUUAUCUCAUUUAUAUUGAUAUUAGAAGUGGGUCGAAUAAAAUUUAAUUGUAAUCAAGUUUAUUAAUUAAUUUUUAUUUCUAUAUAUAAGUCAUUUUGAAAAAAAUAACAUAUUUUGUCAAAAAAAAAAUAUGCAUACAUACACACGCACGUGCGCGCACACACAUAUAUAUGUUAUUAACAGUUAGACCUCGAUUUAAUCUUUCAAUCCUUGAUCCUUUAACUUUUUCGGAUAUAUGGCUAGGUUUUUUUUUUUUCAAAAUAUUGGAUAUUGUAAAUUUUUUAUUUUUUUAUUUUUUCCAUAAUCACCAGUAUUGUCCAACCAACACAUAAUGAAUGUUGAUUCGUUGAUGCAAAGAUGCCAUUGAAUCAAAAAAAAUGGGGUGGAUAGUAUGUUCUUCCAAAUAAACACGGUAUAAUACAAUUCAAAGAUUCUCAUUGACCUGAUAUGAAGGCAAGCACAUGUGGCCAACUUUUUGAACUUAUAUUGGUAAAUGAACAAUCAUGCUACUUGUACAAUGAAUUUGACAAUGUGUGAGUUGACAAGCAUCAUAUUCAUUGAUUUGAAAAAUUGUUUCUAAAUUCAAUUGCUGGGAUCUUUACACUUUACACAUUUUCAAACUCAUUGUAAAUAGUCAUUGUACAAAUAGAUUAAUUCUUAUACGAAUGACUGCAUGGAAAUAAAACGAAAGGAAGAAACCAAGAGAAGUACCUUCAUUUUCUUGAGCAAAUCAUAACCAGCAUUCCUUUCACGCGAUAAUUUGUAGAGCAGUGAUUCAGAACCCGGGAUUAAAUCCCGGGUUUUAAUCCAAGGCCUCGACCUCGGCCCUUGAUCUUAAUCACACGGGGCCCGCAUGAUUCGCAUUGGGGGCCGAGGUUUUGCCACCUUGGCCCUGGCUCCAAACCCGAGAUUUUAUCCUUGUUUGAGCAGCAAUUUCCUAAUUUGUAAUACAAGAUUUCUGGUUUUGUAACAAAAUUAAUUGACUGAUGAUGAUUUGUCAGUAAAUAAUGUAAUUAAAAUUGUAUAUUAAAGGAAGAAAAUUAUAUAAGUAAUCAAACUAAAAUUAGAAAAUAAUGUUUUAUAUUGGUUAUGUUAUAAAUAAUUUAAAGUAUAAAACGAUUUAUUGAGCAAUAGAUGAAAAAUAAAAGAAGUAAAUAAAGAAUAAUUUUUUUUGUCGACAAUAAACUACCAAAGUAAUGUCGAUGAUUGCCACAGACAUCAUGAUCGAUAACUGCUUACCGAAGUGGGUUGGUGAAUUAGGAAUCACUUACAGUAUUGAUGAUAUUUCAUCUCGAAUUCUGCUAGAUACCAUAAGUGAUCAUUAAUGUUUGGCAAACUAAAUUUUUUUAUGAUAGUUUCGUCAAUAAAUAAAGUAGUUAAAAUUUAAUAUUAACAAAUAAAUAUUAUGUUGUUAAUACAAUUAAAACUUGAAAAUAACAUAAAAUUAAAAAACCAAAGAUUUCAUAAGUUACUUCAAAAUAAUAAAAGAUGUAAAAAGAUGCUUCCCUACCGCAUGAUUAAUGACCAAAGCACUGUCGAUGAUUGCCACUUACGUAAUUAUCAUCGAUAAAUGUGGAAGGAGAUAGAGAUGUGCCGACAAUCAUCAAUGGUAUCGUUGUCAAAAGUUCCAACCACAUUAUGUACGAAGUUUUCGUUGGUGAUUGUAUGUUCCAUUAAUUUUAUUAUUAUCAUCAUGGUAAUUAUAUGUCUUUUCUUUUUUCGAAUUAUUAAAGUAGUAGAUUUGUUAUUGGGUGCUUUUAAACUUCAGUUAGCUUUUACUGUAAAAUGCGAUAUAGUGGAUGUUAUGUUAUCUGCUUGAAUUUGUAAUAAUCACAUUUGGUUUCCUUAAAGGUGAUGAAGCUGAAGUAAUUUCCCAACGACCAUUCAAUGGUAUAUUACAUUAAAUUCCAUUAUUACGAUAUCUGGUAAACCUAUUUGUUUCUCAUUCUUUUCCCAUUAAAAUGAAAAAUAUGAUUAUUAUCCGUCACAUCAAACCACCAAAUUUGAAUUUCUAUAUCUUGUGUGGAGUCCAUAACGACUAUAUUUUUCAUUCUCUUCUUACAAAAAUGAGAAACAAAAAGGGCUAGAUGUCUGCUUUGCAUUGAAGUCCAGGAUUGGAUAUGAGAACACCCCCUCCCCCCCCCAACAAAAACAAAAAAAUAAAACAAAAACAAAAACAAAAAAAACUCUUACAAAUGAAGUGGAUGUUGAGAAUUAAAAAUUCUUAUUUCAUUCUACCAAGAGCAAUCAAUUGAAGAAAUAAAAAUAAACACUCAAAAGCAAGCAAAAUAUAUAGAGUUUCGCCUCAACGUGAAACUACGUCUUCUCAUGUCGGUACAGUAACUCACUAUGAUGAAAAAAAGGUUUACAAAAGCACUCCUAUUAUCUCUCUCUCUCUCUUUAUAAUAAUUAUAAAGUCAAACCACGGCUCCCUAUUUAUAAAGCAUAUAAAGGCAAAAUCGAAUUUUACAAUAACUCCAAUUCCUUAAUAAAAUUUUACAAGAAUACAAAUAUCUAAACAAUUCUUAGAUUAAAUUUUGGUUAGGGCAUCUCCACCCCCCACCCCUGGGGCCUCCUACUCCCUUCCAACUCCCACGGCAACCUCACCACAGAGAUUGAUCAAUGCUAACUUCAUGAAAUAACAAUAAUUAUAAUCGAUAAUAAUUAAACUCCUUAACUUAACAGUGAAUGAUUACUCAAAUUCGGCAAGUGAUGUGGUAAUGGUACAUGCAAGUACACUUCUACAACGAAUUUUGGUGGUGAUAUGCAAGAGGAGGUAUGUUUUUAGAUGAAUUAUAAGAAACGGAUCGAAUAUUUGAAUUUUUGUGUUGCACUGUCUUAUUCAUUAAAGCAUGUAUUUAUAGACCAAAAAAGCAGAGCGAAUUCCAUUUCAUAUUUGAUUAACUCAAUAGGUAAUGAAAUUCAUUAAUUUGAUUUUCAAAAUUAGUCCUUUGUUUAGACAAGUUGAUUCACAAAGUAAUGUGUGUCAAGUACUUCUAUCAUGUGUUCAUACAUGGACCAUUGAAAGGGCGAACAAGGCAGUGGAAUGAGGGGGACCACCAUAACAGAGGAGAAUUUGAUUUCAUAAUUUGAAAAAAAGGGGCCGAAGUAUAAAAAAAGGUGGGCAUGAGUAAAAAUGCUUAAACGAGAAACUUAGCCACAACUGCUUUAUAUACUAGAAAAAGAUGUUACAGUUUAAAUAACAAGCUUUACAAACUACGAUAACGAGUAAAAAGUCUAUGCACCAUUUGUGCAACACAAGUAAAAUACAUUGAUAUAUCAAUAUUCAAUUGUAUGAAUAGCGAAAGCUAGAACAGAGUUUGGGUUAUCUACUCUAGCUUACAUUUGGCAAUGGAUCCUUUUUGCCACACAUUGCCAAGAAAAAUUUAGAGACCGACCCAGUGUGAGCGAACAUUGGAGUUGUGCAUAGAAGACGCACUUGGAGAUGUCACACGCCAUUCGUACCAAACCAAUGAUAAUUAAAUUAAAUGCAAUUAAUAUCGGGUGAGACAUAAAGAGUUAAGUAAUUCCAAACCUAUAUUCUCUGUUUCUUGCCCAGUGUUUUUAUGCAUGUCCUAGGACUAAAAGGACAUUUCAAAAUUAGAUGGAUUAAACCCACCAACCUAAAACAAAUUCUAAUUCACUUCUUGCCCAUAGAGAAUAAUAAUAAUCAUUUUCAGCAGCAAGUAUAUAAAUUGCCCGUAUAUCCAUUACUUAAGGCUACGCAACAUAAAAAUUUAUUUAGAUAAUUAGCAUAUAAUUUAAAUUAAACAUUGCAAACACAUUGGGACAGAUAUUAUUUAUCUUAGGAUUCCAAAGUGGAGAUGAUCAUCUGACAAGUUAAUAGCACCAACUCUACUUUAUUAUAGGUCUCUUAGUGCAACGCAUGACUGAGAAUUCUACAAGUGCAAGAUUCAAUUUAAUUUGAGCUUUUAUCUCAUUUCAAUCGCUUUAACAUUUUCAACACUACAUAAUCAAGAAUCGAUGGACCUCCAAAUGAGUAUUCCGUGUCACGCAAACUGGCUCACUCAAUAGGAAAAAUAUUGGAAACCUACAGAAAUCGAAGCCAACCAAAAGAGAACAAUCAUCUCAUGGAUAAUAUAUUCACUCCAAUGUACAAUUUCUUUCAUGGUGCAUUUUAUGUUUUGAUAGAACUUUUUCGAUUGAAUUUUCACUUUUUCUUUAUUGUGUGGUUGGGGGAGAGUAGGAGGGUGUCUUAUAUUUUAGUGGCUUUAAAUAGUAUCUUUACUAAUGAAUAUGGGAUCAACGCAUACCAAAACCAACUGUACCUAUAGAUACGAUAAUAGGCAGAAAUAUUUGUCCAUAAUUUUGCAUGAUUAGCAUUCAUCAUAUAGCAUUACCUUAGAUUUUUGGAAAUAUUCAUGAAGGAAAAUAUUUGGUGUUGCUGUUGAUAGUUCAAUAAACCAUUUGACACAAACACCAACUAAAAGAAUAUCUCAAUGGUCGCCAUCAGCUACAUGAUGUCAUUGGAAGUAUAUUUUCUUGAUUAACAAAAUCAACAAUUUACGCUUUAACCUCUCUACAUUCCAGGACAUGUUGUUCUUGUCCAUUAUGUCAUCUUUUCCAACACUGAUUUGACUACAUGAUUGCCAACCAUGGCCUUGGCUUGGAAAAUGAAACACUUUGUCAACAAAUAUGAAUACAACGCAACUGAUAAAGCUAUUGAUAUUAGCCUUCUUCAUCACUAUGGGCAAAGCUUGCAUUGAGCCCAUAACUAGCUAUAAUCAUCAUGUGGUGACUGAUAGGUAUGUUUUUGCACACUCAUUUAAUGUCUAAAUAAAUUUAAAUAUUAAUUAAUUGAGCAAAUUUCCAUUCACAAUUAUGUAAUUAUUGCAUUUGUAAGUAAAAAUCACCCAAGGUAAUAGAAGAGGUAAAAGGAAGUGAAAAGGGACCAAAAGCGUACAAAAUUGUGAAGUUGGGGACCAAAAUGCAUAAGUGCCAAAAGUUCAAGGACUUGGAAUUGCAAAUUUUGGAGGGUGUAAUUGAAAGAAAAGUCAAAAUUUGAGGACCAAAUUGUACAAUACAAAGUUGAGGGAUAGUGUGCAAAUAUGGGAGGACCUGAACUACAAAUAAUGAAAAAUGGGAAGUAACGCCACUGGCACCACUAUAGCAGUGCCGCGGCAACGAACAGGACCUAUUUGGCUAUAUUUUUGUAAUUGGGGAUCAUUUUAAAAUUAACUAAACACGAUUUUUGGGCCUUUUAAAAGGAAAAUUCAACAAUGUUUCCCCUAUUUCUCUCUUGAACUUGAAGAGAACCCUAGCCUCCUCUUUCUCUCACUUUCCUUUUCAUUUUUUCUUUCUUUUUCUUUUCUUCUUCUUCUUAUCUUUUCUUUGGUAAUUUUUGGGGCAAAAUCUAGAGCACAAGGAGAUUUGAUUAAGGAUUUGACAAAAGCUUUGGGGAAAUCAAGAGCAAGCUCAAAAAAGGGUUUUAUCUACAACUUGUAUUUUCUCAAUUAUUUUGACAAACUUGCAAUGUAUUAUACAAAAUAUUCUCCUUUUUAUCAUUUGUAUGAAAUGGGCAAGUUAUUUGUGUUGGGAUUUAUUGUUGUAGUUUAAUCUAGCCUUGAUUAAUUUUAAUAUUUGCCCUUUGAUUUUGAUUUGCUUAUUUUCUUCUAUUGUAUUUCAUGCAUUUUCAUUUAUGUGGUCAAUGAAUGAUUGUGUUUAGUGAAUUUUAUAUCGUUCAAGAGAAGAUUGUGCAUUUUAGACCAAAUUGUAGAAACCCUGGGUUUGUGUAGGGGAUAGAGAUAUACCCCUAACCCUAGGUGACCCAAUGAGCUAUUUUCACAAAUAUUUAAUGCAAUUGUUUGGUUUUAAUCGAUAUAGAAAUAUAAUAGGGUUAAUUUCGUUCAAGAGAAGUAAUUAAUUAAAAUUAAAACAUGGAGUCUAACAUCGUAAAUGAGUAACUUUUUAAUUGACCUGUGGUGAAAUUAAUUAGGCGACGGUUAAAUGAAACCAUGAAUCUCAACCACAUUUUCUUCCAAAAAUUUCAAGAUUUUUAUGUUUUCUUAUUUUGUAGGUUUUUAGUUAAUUUCCUUAUUUCAAAAUCAUAUUUUUAAUUAUGUGUGUUUAUUUUUAUUGUUAGAAUUAAAUUAUUAAUUACGGUUGUGUAAUCUAAAGUAUAUAUUCCUCAAGGGAUCAACAAUCCGGACUCAAAAUGUCCACUUUAUUACUUGAACGCGACUCGUGUACUUGUGAUGUAUAAUUUUAGCGAAACAGUAACAAGUAAUCAAAAGUACAAGGAUGUUACAAGUAAAGCCUGACAAUAAUACCAUAAUCAAGGAAUGGAAAGUCUUUCCAAUUGAAACUAACGUUCAGCUUGAGCCACCAUAGCUUUGCAAUCCUAAAACAGACAUAAAUUUAGAUAAUAGUAGUUCUUAUUAUAUUAAUUCAUCAACUGCAAUCCUAAAACAGACAUAAAUUUAGAUAAUAGUAGUUCUUAUUAUAUUAAUUCAUCAUCUAACAUAUAAAUCAGUCCUUCCUAUAGAUUACUAGUUGAGUGUGAAGGGGCAAAGCAACAUUGAUGAUUUAUUGUGGUUGAUAAUGGGGGUUGGCUAACAAACCUUACGUAGAAACUAUACCAUUCGCAGUCAAACCAUGAUCCCUGAAUUUGAAACGGGCAUAUAACGAUUUGCAAAAGAGAUAAUGGUGUUGGAUUCCCGGUGCAUAAUGCACAUGUAGACUCUAAUUUCCUGCGCACUAGGAUUGAACAUAGAGGAAAUCAUUGAAAAUGACCUAAUAAACCAUGUGUAUUUUCAAAGUAACCUUUGACUAGUUUUUAGAGAAAAAAAAAACGAAAAUUGAUUUUAAAGGUCAAAAUCCCAAAAGACCCUCAGACUGUCACUUUCUUGUUUGCUUAGAGUCGGCCAAAACCAAGGAAAAGCUACGGUCAAUUUCCAAUUGGUAGACGUUUUCAGUUCAUCUCCGGCGACCUUCUUCUUGUUAAAGUAAGCUUCGAGUUGUUAAUUAACUAGAUUAAUGUUUAGAUUUUCAUAUUGUGUGCGAAUGUUGAAUUUGUGAAGGUUUUUGGAAUGUAAUAUUGGUUAUGUAGGUGUAGAAUUAUGAAUAUGGGUCUAAAUUGGAGAAUAAUAGGUGGAUUUUGAGAUUUGCAAGUUUUUCUCGUUGGAAAUGGAGAUUUUUCGACGAAAAAAGCCGAAAAAAUGCAGGCUACGUUUGUAGCUGGCAUUUUGGGUAAAACCCGAUUGCGUUUGCAGCCGGCAUUUUGGGGAAAACCCGGCUGUUAACAGUCGGGUGCCCGACUGUUAACAGCCGAUUGGCCCAAUUGUCAUGGGGACUGUUUUUAUUUUUCAUGGGCUGAAGUGGGCCGACUGUUAUAGUCGGUCCAAUAACAAUUUUUUUUUAUUUGGGCUGAUUAACAGUCGUCCCAUUAUUUGGGUUGACUAUUUAGUCAGCCCAUUGACUGUUAAGCAGGCCGAAUGUUAUGGUUGGGUCGAUGCCUUUAUUUUUAUUUUUUUACUUUUUUCUUACAUAUAUUUAAGAAUUUCAUUUUAAAUCAUUUUAAUUAUUAGUUUUUAAUAAAUAAUAAUUUAUUUAUUUAUAAAAUUUAAAUGUGAUAUUUAAUUUGAAUAUUUAUUUUUAUUUCCUCAUUUUUGAUAAAUAAUAAUUUUUCAUUCUCGAAUUUAAUUAAUUUUUAUAAUUUUAAUAUUUAGUAAUUCUUUUAAUUUUAAAUUUAAAUUUCAUAUUUAGUUUUAUUAAUAGUUUUUAUAAAUAAUAUUCUUUUCGUUAAUCGAAUUUCAUUAAUUCUUGUCAUUGUAAUUUUGAGUAAUUAUUUAAUUUUAAAUUUCGUUUUUAUUUUUAUUAAUAGUUUUUUAUAAAUAAUAUUCUUUUCGUUAAUCGAAUUUCAUUAAUUCUUGCCAUUGUAAUUUUGAAUAAUUAUUUAAUUUUUAAAUUUCAUAUUUAUUUUUAUUAAUUGGGCUGAUUGUUAAUUGUAGACUGACUGUUAACAGUCUUAGGCCGACUGUUAACAGUCACACUAUUAACAGUUUAAUUUUUUAAAAAAUAUAUAUAUUUAAUUUUUUAUUUUUUAAAUAUAAUUUAUAAUUAAUUUAUUAAUAAUUAUGUUAUUUAUUUAUUUUUUUUAAUUGUCUUUUAUUUAUAUAAUUUAAUAAUUGAAUAUUAUCUGAAAGUAACAAUUUAUUUUCCAUGUUAUUUAUUUAAUUAAAAUUUUUUUUUGUAAAUAUAUUUUCCAAGUGUAAUAUACAAGAUUAAUUUUCUUUAUAAUUUUCAUUUGAUUAAAUAAUAAUUAUGUUAUUUAUUUAUUUAAUUUUUAUAUUCUUUAAUUUUUUAAAAUUUAUUUAAAUAAUAUUUAUAUUCUUUAAAUUUUUUUGAAAAUAUAUUUAAUCUUUAAUUUUUAACUUUUUGUAUUAUUUAAAUAUUAAUAAUUUCCUUUUGCUGAAAAUCUCAUUAAUUUGUAUUUUAAUUUAAUUAAUUAUUUUUAACAUUUGUAUUGAAUUUAUUUUGUUAUAGGCGUCAAGAAUUCGGUUCCCAUUGAUUUUUUGAGAUUAUGCGUUAUUAUAUUAUCUCUUGUUCAAUGUUCUAAUAUUUGAAUUUUUGCAGGAUAGAGUAUCAUUUAGAUGGGGAGUUGAGACGGAUGGCGGGGAAAGCUACUUGGAACAGUAGCUUUGAGAUUUUUACUGUUGUAUUGGAGAUGCUCAAUGAUCAUCAUGAAAAUAUGCUACGACAGUCCUUCUUGUGGGCACUGUACUAGAUGCGAGAGUUGCAGUACUCAGGACUAAUCAUCGAUGUACUUCUAUGUCAGCUUCUGAGGCCAGUCGACGGCGAUUCCCUCCACUUCGACCUCAGGGGCAAGGUCGUCAGUUUCUCGAUAUAUGAGUUUAGCUUGAUCACUGGACUGAAGAUUAUGGGCGAAGAUGCAGCCAUUGAGAGAAGUAAUAGGUUGUACAAGACGUACUUCUAGGGACAUGGGUCGGUGCAUCUACCCGAGUUGAUGGUUGCGAUCAGGGGGUACGACCAGAUGUUAGAUAGAUUGAAACUUGGGCUGGUCUACAUCCUCAAGAAUGUGAUGAGGUGUCAUCACAAGAAGAUUGCCAUCGACAUUUUUUCAUUUGCAAGUUGUUGACGACAUCGAUGCGUUCAACAACUAUCUAUGGGGCCGGAGAUGCUACGAAGACACCGUACAUGUGCAUGUGUUUAUUAAAUGAAUAAUUCAUACUUUUUUGGUGUUUCUUGAUGCAACACAUCGACCUGGCCAUGGACUUGCUACGAGAUCAAGCUCAAAGACAUCCAAAAUCAUUUGACGUCCAUGGUCGAGUCAUAUUAAACACCGAGUUCCUGCGUGCCGUUAUCAUAGAGUAUCAGUCGCUCCAACUUAUGAGUAACGAGUACACGGUGCUAGAAUAUAUGCUCAAGUGGGUCAUAUGAAUGUCGUCGAGUGUCGGGGGGGAAAUCAUGGGAGGGUUGUACACAUAUGUAUAUUCUAGCGUGCAUCAAUAAUCACUAUGUUACGCUGGAGAUCGUUUUUGCCGACACGACUAUAUAUGUGUAAGACGCAAAUCAUUCAUGUUUGACACAAGGCCAGCUGGAGCAAAACCUGGAGUCCGUAGCUGUAAUUGUUCCUAUGAUGGCCAGACGAGCGGGGAUGACUGUACAGGAUAGAUUGCGGAUUGUUCGGAACACGACAACAGUGUGACAGUCCAUAUAGUAAGUGUUUGAACUUUGUUAUUUUCAUUUUUUAGAUUUAGUUUUUAGCUACACAGUACUGAAUUGAUCCAUUCUUGUACAAUUGUAGCGACGACUGCGGCAUAUUUGUCAUUAAGUACGUUGAAUUUUUAAGUAUAGGACAUAAGGUUGAUGGAAUCAACCAAUUGUGGAUACAGAACUGGAGAAAGAAGCUAGCUUGUGAUUUGUUUUAAAUUUUAUGGUGACCCGUAAACUUGUAUUAAAUAUAUGUAACAUUCAAAUUGUAAAUUUAAUUAUUUUUUGUGAUUAUGAAAUAAUUGUAAAUUUGUGUUCAAUAUAUAUAACAUUCAUAUUGAAAAUUUAAUUAUUUUUUUGUAAGUUGAUUUUUUGUUAUUUUACACAUAUGCCGAGUAUGGAACUACUUUUUUCAUAUGAAUCAUUAUAAAUACCAUUUAUCAAGAAUAAAUAUUGAAUAUUGAACAUUUAUGAAGAACAAAUAUUGAACGGUGUAAAGUAAAUGAAAAUAUUAUUCAUUUAACGUACCUGUCUAAUUGUCAUUUAAGGGAAUUUGACUGGUACAAAAUUGCCCAGUAUGCCCUAUGGCUCUGCACCUGCCACACCUACGCGAUCGAGAAAACUCUCUGGUAGAUGGUAUUCUAGAUGUACUUGGACGUCCAGGACCAUGCGGUUCAACUACUGGUGACAACAAAUUAUGAAACGGGAGAAUGUGUUCGGGAACUUCCCACUCGACUUCAUUCGGCAGAGGAAAUAUAGUCUUAGCAUAUGCUGUUCUCCAAGACUCAGUCGUAUAAUACAAAGAGCAUAACGUUCUCGCAGCAAAGUCUCGAAUCAUGGCCACCGCAACUGCAUGCUCACAUGAAAAACUUUCCAACUGAAAUCUUGUACAAAUACAUAUGUUAUCAGUCAAGUCCACCAUAUAUGCCGUAUUACGUACACAUUGCACGAAGAAGCGAAACUUAUCUAGUGCUUCCACAUUCAACUUCCUCACAACCUCUGCCGCCUUAAAGAGUUUCUCCUCUUGAGCUGGGGCCAACACGCUAGUGCAACUCUGUGAUACCGCACGUCGAUUAUGAAACCACUGUUGCAGCUUGUUACGAAUGUGCUCAAUCAUUGCGAGAAUUGGUAACUCUCGAUCCUUCUUAAAUAAUUCAUUAAGAGACUCUGCGUUAUUCGACGUCAUCAUGUUGUAUCGACGUCCUGGAAAGUAUGAUCGCGCCCAAUGUUCUAUCCCCAUGUUCAUCAGAUACUUCAACUCCGGUAAUGAUUUACUUCCUAUCUCGAACAUGAACUUAUUACACUCUUCAACACCGAUACCUAGUUUUCAAAUUAUCUUGUAAAUGGUACAUGCAAUACCCGUGAUGCGCCUCGGGAAAAAUUUUAGUGAUACCGUUUAUUAUAGACUGUCCCCAAUUGGUUACAAAGGCAAGGUCUUCGACUUCCCCGAUCACUUUCUUCAGUUUAGAAAAGAACCAACGCAUGAACAGAUUAUUCUCGUUGUCACUAUGCUGAAUGCAAUAGGGUAAAUUUGGAUGUUGGCAUCUUGACAUGUAGCAAUAAUUAAUUUGCCUUGAUAUUUAGCUUUCAGAGUUGUACCAUCAACUAGAAUUACAGGUCGCAUUGCAUUUCGAAAACCCCAAAUACAUUGUCCGAAAGCCAUAAAGAAAUACGUAAAAUUAUUAUCGCCCCCCAUCUCAAUAAAAAAUGCCAUCUCAGGAUUAGUUGUCCCCAUGUUAUGACAAUACCUAGCCAAUUUAGCAUAGCUCUCCUCAGUCGAUCCCAUUAAAUCCUCCAACGCACAUUCUUUGGCCUUCCAGGCUUUCUGGUAGCUCAUGACCACUCUAUACUCUCAACCGACGUCGUUAAUGAUGUCUGAAGGUCUGUAAAUCGUCCGUGGGUCCUGAUACUUGUGCCUUAUCUGUCGACCAAUAAACCAUGCUCGAGCUUGCUUGUGAUCAUUUCGACAAAUUUCCAAUUCCCAAGUAUGUUCCCGUGCCUAUUUGCGAACUACAAAGCACUCAUUAUUGUCCAUCUUAGUCGCUCUCAAGCACCAAUUGCAAUUGUCAUCAACGCAGGCAACUGUCAACAAUGAUUUGGUUGAUUUCUUUACAUUGAAUUCAAAGUUAUAUUUUAAUGUCAUUCGGUGCACAACUUCCUGCAAAUCUUUCUUGGUUUCAAAUAGUUGUUCAACAUACAAAUCCUCAUCAUCAGGAGCCACACGGGAAAAAUUGGAGGACGGUCCACUUGUUCCACUCCUUGAGCUCCCACCCCGCUCAGAUCUCUGUCGGGAUAAAGUAAUUAAAAUUUCAUUUGUAAAAUCAUUUAUAUUUUCGUUGUCCUCAACUGUCGAUGGAAUUCUAUGCGUAAUAAUGGCUUCACGAUCAGUAGCAAUGGUUUCGCGAAUAACCACAUCAUCUGCAAGAAUUAUCUCCACUGUCUCCCAAAAAUCUCGAUCAUUAUUAUCUGCUCCAUCUGAAUCUUCGCGUUCACCUUCGACAACAUCAUUCUUAACUAAAGUCACGCCAAGAGCAGUCGGAGUCCUAUGCAUUUUAUUCAAUUCUAAUCGAUAAUUCAAUCCAACAUCAUUAAAUAUAGGUGGCAUCGGAAUGGACGAAUCCCCAUAACCAUGGAAUAAAUAUCUCAGUUGCAUAUUGUACUGAGAAGGAUCGACAUUCAACUUAUUUUACAAAUCCUGGUACACUUUCGCGCCGCAUAUGAUGUACUCUCUGUUACGGGAAUUGCAAUACAGCCACAUACAUCACUCGUCCAUCUCCAUUCCCAUCUAUUAUUUUCAUUCAGUUCGAAAUCACCGAAAUAACAAAUCGAGAUUAUCAUAUCUAUAUGACUAUAUAGAAUUUUUAAAUCAAUUACAAUAACAAAAAUUCAGAUAUUUAAUCAACUUGUAAUUAAAAUUAUAAGACAAUUGUCAAAAGAGAAAUUAUAAUAUAAAAAAAAUUCGUAAAACAAUCGGGAAAAACGGCCGACUGUGGACUGUUUUACAGCCGACUGUCAAUUCGACUGUUUAACAACCGACUAACAGUUGGCUGUCGACUGUUAGAUAGCCGACUGUCUAACAACCGUCGGUCAACUAUUAGAGAGUCGUCUAACAGCUGACUGUCGGCUGUUAGACAGUCAGCUGUCUGCUGUGUAACAUUUUUCGUUAACAUCCCACAGUUAAUCGCCGGAUUGUUUAUUUUGCGUAUGACUUUUUAUUUUUCUAUAGUUCUAAAGAAAAAAAUUAUAGAUCUGUUAAAAUUUUUUUUUACUAACUACUGUGUUAUUUAACUACUCAAACGUACACUAAUUUACUGAAAUCGAAAUUAAGCAUGGGUAAAAAUAUACUUACCGAUUUGAAGUAAUUGAUCUGAAAAAAGUUCUGACUUCGACGUUUGAAGUUUUUUGAUAUUUUGAGGUUCAAGCAGAUGAAAAAUGAGAGUUUUUCUGUGUUCGAAGCUCGUUCUGCAGUUUUAUAAAUGGGGUAGUAUUUGGUUUUCAAUUAUUAACUAAAAGGCUAAUAAUGUCUUUAAAACUAUCCAAUAUUUUGUAAUUAUAUAAUAUAUUUAAGGGCAUCUCUGUCUUUUACCAUUCAAGAGGUUAAUGCGAUAAUUUUCAAGUUUUCAAAAGUCAAAGUGGAAAUAAGGGUCUUUGACUAGGUCAAUUUUAAAAAUACCCCAUUGAACAUAGCUGCUUUAAAUGUCCCAUUACAAGAGAACAAAAACUCCCAGAAUCAUCUACAAAUUUAAAGAAGUUAAAUUUGGGUCUGCGAAUUCUUUAAAGGAAAUACCAUAUGCAAGAGCCAAUAACAAGGCUCAAACACAGAUCCAACCCCGAUUUUGCCCUAAUUGGCAUUGGCGACUAGCUGUGACGAUUGACAUUGCAGAUUUGACGACGAUUGACAUUGCAGAUUUUUCAGAUCAAUUACUUCAAAUCGAUAAGUAUAUUUUUAUACAUGCUUAAUUUCUAUUUCAGUAAAUUAGUGUGCAUUUGUGUAGUUAAAUAAUAGAGAAGUUAGUAGAAUUUUUUUUUUAACAUAUCUAUAAUUUUUUUUCUUUAAAACCAUAGAAAAAUAAAAAUUCAUACGCAAAAUAAAUAGUCCCACCAUUAACUGUGGGAUGUUAACGAAAACUGUUAGAUAGUAGACAGCAGACUGUUAAAAGACUUUCUAACAGCCGCCAGACGACUGUCUAACAAUCGACCGACGACUGUUAGACAGUCGGCUGUCUAACAGCUAGGGCUGGGCAAAUCUCCCGAACCGAACCGAUCGAACCGAACCCGAACCAAACUGAACUGAACGCAACGGUUCUUGUCAAAUUAAAUACCCGAACGGGUGUCUAAAUUGAGAACCGACGGGUACAGUUUGAUUCCCGGUUCUAGACCGAGAACCGAAGAACCGAAUAAGAACCGAAUCUUUCUAAUUUUUUUUAUAUUGAGUAAAUCAAAUUAUUUUAAUUUUAAUUUUUCUAAACAAAUUAACAAUUUCUAAAUCCAAAAUUUUGACCCAAUAAUUUGUUUCAUUUCUAAUUUUUUAAUUUUUGGCCCAAUUACCCAUUUUAUUGUAUCAUUUCUUAGCCCAACAAAAUCCAAUCCACUAAAUAACUCUAAACACCUACAAUAAAGUGCAUAACGUUGUUUCGACUCUCGCACUCACUCUCGUAACCUCGCUAACAUUCCAAAACCUAUACAAUCGUCGGCCGACGCUGUGACCUCCGAUCGAAGCUGUGACAUCUGCUGACCGAAGCUUUGACCGUAGCGAUCAUUUGAACAAUAUAGUAUACUACUCUCUGACAUUCCAAAAACCAUUGAAUGUAAGUAUUUUUAUAAUGUUGUUAUAAAUGUUAAAAAAUUUAAUUAUAGUACAGAACCAAAUGGAAUCGAACCGAACUUAAUCUAACGGAACCAAACCCGAACGGUUCCAUAAUUAUAUUUGAACCUGACGGUUCCAUUUACUAGAUACCUGAAAAUUUCGGUUCGGUUUGAUUCUCUUUAGAACCGAACCGACCCGCACCCACCCUACUAACAGCCGAUAGCCGACUAACAGUUGGCUGUUUUUCCUGACUGUUUUACGAAUUUUUUUAUUAUAAUUUCAGUUUGGCGAUUGUCUUAUAAUUUUAAUUACAAGUUGAUUAAAUAUCUGAAUUUUUGUUGUUGUAAUUGAUUUAAAAAUUCUUUAUCAUUAUGGAGAUAUGCUAAUCCCGGUUUGUUAUUUCGGUGAUUUCGAACUGAACGAAAAUAAUAGAUGGGAAUGGAGAUGGAUGAGUGAUGUAUGUGGUUGUAUUGCAAUUCCCGUAACAGAGAGUACAUCAUAUGCGAAAGUGUACCAGGAUUUACAAAAUAAGCUGAAUGUCAAUUUUUCUCAGUGCGAUAUGCAACUGAGAUAUUUAUUCAAUGGUUAUGGGGAUUCGUCCAUUCCGAUGCCACUUAUAUUUAUUACUUAUGAUGCUGAAUUGAAUUAUCUAUUAGAAUUGAAUAAAAUGCAUAGGACUCCGACUGUUCUUGGUGUGACUUUAGUUAAGAAGGAUGUUGUCGAAGGUGAACGCGAAGAUUCAGAUGGAGUGGAUAAUAAUGACUGAGAUUUUUGGGAGACAGUGGAGAUGGUCCUGCAGAUGAUGUGGUUAUUCCCGAGACAGUUGCUACUGAUUCUGAAGUUACUGUUACGCACAAAAUUCCAUCGACGGCUGAGGACAACAAAAAUAUAAUUUACAAAUGAAAAUUUAAUUGCUUUAUCCCGACAGAGACCUGAGCAGGUGAGAGCUCAGGGGAUGGAAAAAGUGGACCGUCCUCCAAUUCUUCAUGUGUGGCUGCCGAUGAUGAGAAUUUGUAUGUUAAGCAACUAAGAUUUGUAGGAAGCUGUGCACCGGAUAGCAUUAAAAUAUAACUUUGAGUUCAAAGUAAAGAAAUCAACCAAGUCAUUGUUGACAGUAGGCUGCGUUGACGAUAAUUGCAAUUGGCGCUUGAGAGCAACUAAAAUGGACAUGAAUGAGUGCUUUGUAGUUCGUAAAUAUGUAUGGAAACAUACUUGUGAAGUGGGAAUUUGUCGAAAUGAUCACAGGCAAGCUCGAGCAUGGUUUAAUGGUCGACAGAUAAUGCACAAGUAUCAGAACCCACGGACAAUCUAUAGACCUUCGAAUAUUAUUAACGACGUCCGUUGAGAGUAUGGAGUGGUCAUGAGCUACCAGAAAACCUGGAAGGCCAAAAAAUGUGCGUUGGAGGAUUAAAUGGGAUCGGCUGAGGAGAGCUAUACUAAAUUGGCCAAGUAUUGCCAUAACAUAAGGACAGCUAAUUCUGACACGGCAUUUUUUAUUGAGACGGGGGGGGGGGGCGAUAAUUGUUUUAAGUAUUUCUUCAUGGCUCUCGGACAAUGUAUUUGGGGUUUUUGAAAUGCAAUGCGACCCGUAAUUCUAGUUGAUGGUACAACUCUGAAAGCUAAAUAUCAAGGCAACUUAAUUAUUGCUACAUGUCAAGACGCCAACAUCCAAAUUUAUCCUAUUGUAUUCGACAUAGUCGACAUCGAGAAUGAUCUGUCCAUGUGUUGGCUCUUUUCUAAAUUGAGGGAAGUGAUCGGGGAAGUCGAAAACCUUGCCUUUGUAACCGAUUGGGGACAAUCUAUAAUAAACAGUAUCGCUGAAGUUUUUCUCGAGGCACAUCACGGGUAUUGCAUGUAUCAUAUACAAGGUAAUUUGAAGACUAGGUAUCGGGGCAAAGGCAUCGUUUCAUUGUUUAGAAGAGCAGCCAAAGCUUACAGUGCUGAAAAGUGUAAUAAGUUCGUGUUCGGAUAGGAAGUAAAUCAUUACCGGCGUUGGAGUAUCUGACGAACAUGGAGAUCGAACAUUGGGCGCGGUCAUACUUUUCAGGACAUUGACACAACAUGAUGACGUCGAAUAACGUGGAGUCUCUCAAUGCAUUGUUUAAGAAGGAUCGAGAGUUAUCAAUUCUCGCAAUGAUUGAGAACAUUUGUAACAAGCUACAACAGCGGUUUCAUGACCGACGUGUGGCAUCACAGAGUUGCACUAGCGUGUUGGCCCCAGCUCAAGAGGAGAAACUCUUUAAGGCAGCAGAUGUUGGGAGGAAGUUGAAUGUGGAAGCACUAGCUGAGUUCCACUUCUCCGUGUAAUGUGCACGUAAUACGAUAUAUAUGGUGGACUUGACUUAUAACACAUGCACUUGUACGAGAUUUCAGUUGGAGAGUUUUCCAUGUGAGCAUGUAGUUGCGGUGGCCAUGUAUCGAAGCUUUGCAGCGAGAACGUUAUGCUCUUUGUAUUAUACGACUGAGCCUUGGAGAACAGCAUAUGCUGAUACUAUAUUUCCUCUGACAAAUGAAGCCGAGUGGGAAGUUCCCGAGCACAUUCUCCCGUUUCAUAAUUUGUUGCCACCAACAGUUGAACCACGUGGUCCUGGACGUCCAAGUACAUCUAGAAUACCAUCUACCAGAGGGUUUCCUCAACCGCGUAGGUGUGGCAGGUGCAGAGCCAUAGGGCAUACUGGACAAUUUUGUACCAGUCAAAUUUCCCUAAAUGACAAUUAGACAGGUACGUUAAAUGAAUAAUAUUUCUGUUUACUUUACACUGUUCAAUAUUUGUUUUUCAUAAAUGUUCAAUGUUUAGUAUUUAUUCUUGAUAAAUAGUAUUUAUAAUGAUUCAUAUAAAAAAAUAGCUCCAUACUCGGCAUAUGUGUAAAAUAACAAAAAAUCAACUUACAAAAGAAUAAUUAAAUUUCCAAUGUGAAUGUUAUAUUUAUUAAACACAAAUUUACAAUUAUUUCAUAAUCACAAAAAAUAAUUAAAUUUACAAUUCGAAUGUUACAUAUAUUUAAUAUAAAUUUAUGGGUCACCAUUAAAUUUGAACAAAUCACAAGCUAGCUUUUUCUCCAGUUCUGUAUCCACAAUUGGUUGAUUCCAUCAACAUUACGUCCUAUACUUAAAAAUUUAAGGUACUUAAUGGCAAAUAUGCCGCAGUCACUGCUGCAAUUGAAUAAGAAUGGAUCAGUUCAGUACUGUGUAGCUAAAAACUAAAUCUGAAAGAUGAAAAUAAUAAAGUUCAAACACUUACCUUAUGGACUGUCGCGCUGUUGUCGUGUUUCGAACAAUCCGCAAUCUGUCCUGUACAGUUAUCCCCACUUGUAUGGCCAUUAUAGGAACAAUUACAAUUACGGACUCCAGGUUUUGCUCCAGCUGGCCUUGUGUCAAACAUGAAUAAUUUGGGUCGUAGACAUAUAUAGUUAUGUUAGCAAAAACGAUCUCCAGCGUAACAUAGUGAUUAUUGAUGCACGUUGGAAUGUACAUAUGUGUACAACCCUCUCAUGAUUUUCCCCCGACAUUUGGUGACAUUCCUAUGACCCACUCGAGCAUAUAUUCUGGCACCGUGUACUCGUUAUCCAUAAGUUGGAGCAACUGAUACUCUAUGGUAACGGCACGCAGGAACUCGGUGUUUAAUAUGACUCGACCACGGACGUCAAAUGAUUCUGGAUGUCUUUGAGCUCGAUCUCGCAGCAAGUCCAAGGCCAAGUUGAUGUACUGCAUCAGGAAACACCAAAAAAGUAUGAGUUAUUCAUUUAAUAAACACAAAGUGACGUGUACAUAAAAAACACGAAAUGAAUAGUUCACUUACAUCGUCGGUGAGUCAAGCUCCCGAAGUGGUGAUAUCGUGGAACCACUUGUAAGCGUCCGAGACCGUCGUUUGACCUAUCGUGCGGCUAACUCUGAAAAAAAGGGAAAUGUUAAAAUAUGCAUAGACGAGUUAGCGUAUAGUGCUUUGUUAAAAUCAUACAAUACUUACCCGGGGAUAAUUCUCCUCCACUCCAUCUCGAACGCUUUCCACUAGGCGUUGUCCACCUCUUUGAAUAAGUUCGGAUGCGUCCCAUCGAUGAACGUCCUCCUCUUGGCCUCAGUCGUAAAGGGGAAAACAACAUACUGUGAUGACACUCUCAACCUCUUGCCGACCACCUGCUCCGUUUCAUCAACAGCAUGUCUCUUACCCUCAAUCACGAUGGGCGUCCUCUCGACCUCCGGGGCCACCUUCUCCGUCCCUCCCAUUGGGGCCACCCCCUCUCCCUCCAUAGGCAACCACAAUGAUUAUAAUGUCUUAUCACGCCAAAAAUGUGGGUGACCCCCUUUCCAUCACCACUCUGCCACCCUCUCGAUCAUCAUCUCCACCAUCCCCUCUGUCCCCCCAUCGCCUACCGGCUAAAUCUCCUCUAGGUGCCACUACCGUAUCCUGAAGAUCGACAACGCAAGACCGUAGCAUUCCAACAUCAUGGGAUAGAUCGUCAACCCUCUCUGUCAACUCUCGUCCCAUAUCAUCGAUCUUCCCUAUCAGAUAAUCGACCUUCCCAGUCAGAUCGUCGACCUUCCUUGUCAACUCUCUUCCCAGAUCAUCGACCCUCUCCGUCAACUCUCGUCGUAGCGCGCCGACCUCCUCCACUAUAAAUCCAGUCAAACAGGCAUACAAAUCAUCACUGUGUGUCAGAGAUACACGGGGGAGGUGUCUGGACGAGGGAGAAGGAGAUACCCUCGGCGGUGGCGAUGCCAAUGGCGGCGGCGAUGCCCUUAAUGGAGGUGAUGCCAAUGGCGACGACGAUGCUCUUGGGGGAGGUGAUGCCAAUGGUGGUGGUGAUACCCUCGGCGGAGGUGAUCAUCGAUCAACUGGACUGCCCUCCUACAUAAAUAACAUUAAAAAUUAUUCAAUAAAUUUAUAGGUCGACGAUAUUCAAUAAAUUAUAUUUAAUUCAUAUACCCAAUCUCGGUCUAGGUUUGGAUCAGACAUCUCCUCGUCUUGGGUCUGCGGAAUGCCUAAAUCUCGCACAAGACCCCGAGCCUCCUCUUCCAUCGAUGACGUCAACUCAAGUAUGACUUCAAGCUGACAUAUUGACAUUUCAACUAAUUAACGAUCAUGUAAACAUAUUUUAAACUACGCAUAAUAUAAAUCACAAAUGCAUAAUACUUACCUGAGGAUCAUCGAAGAAAGUCGAUAAUUGUUUCCCAGUGGGGCAUCCGUCUGCUCGCGAUGAUCUCCAAUGAUGCAUCUGAGGGCAUCGUGUCUCUCCUCGCUUCGCAAAGCGGGCCCCUAGUACAGGGACUAUCUCAUACACCCAAAUCUGCAACACAUACACUUAUUAUGCGUAAAUAUAAUAUACUAAAACUUUAACUUUAAUUAUAUUAAACAUUUAUCUGUACCGCUAAGGGCAAUCCAUAUGUAUCGUAUUUACACAUUGACCCCUUGGGCCUCGAGUGUGAUUUGGUGAAAACAUGUAAGGUGUCUUUGCAGUAUCUCCGACCCCAUGGAUAGUUGUUGAACGCAUCGAUAUCGUCAACAACUUGCAAUUGAAAAAUGUCGAUGGCAAUCUUCUUGUGAUGACACCUCAUCAUACUCUCGAGGAUGUAGACCAACCCAAGUGUCAAUCUAUCUAGCAUCUGGUCGCACCCCCUGAACGCGACCAUCAACUAGGGUAGAUGCACCCAUCCAUGUCCUUGGAAGUACGUCUUGUACAGCCUAUUUCUUCUCUCAAUGGCUACAUCGUCGCCAAUAAUCCUUAGUCCAGUAAUCAAGCUAAACUCAUACAUCGAGAAACUGACAACCUUGCCCUCGAGGUCGAAGUGGAAGGAAUCGCCGUCGACUGGCCUCAGAAGCCAACACAGAAGUGCAUCGAUGAUCUGUCCUGAGUACUGCACCUCUCUCAUAUGGUACAGUGGCCACGAGAAGAACUGUCAUAGCAUAUCUCCGUGAUGAUAUCGAGCAGCUCCAACACAGCAGUAAAACUCUCAAAGCUACUAUUCCAAGUAGCUUUCCCCGCCAUCCGUCUCAACUCCCCAUCUAAAUGAUACUCCAUCCUGUAAAAAUUCAAAUGUUAGAACAUUGAACAAGAGAUAAUAAAAUAACGCAUAAUCUCAAAAAAACAAUGGGAACCGAAUUCUUGACGCUAAUAACAAAAUAAAUUCAAUACAAAUGUAAAAAAUAAUUAAUUAAAUUAAAAUACAAAUAAAUGAGAUUUUCAGCAAAAGAAAAUUAUUAAUAUUUAAAGAAUACAAAAAAGUUAAAAAUUAAAGAUUAAAUAUAUUUUCAAAAAAAAUAAAGAAUAUAAAUAUUAUUUAAAUAAAUUUAAAAAAAAUUGAAGAAUAUAAAAAUUAAAUAAAUAAAUAACAUAAUUAUUAUUUAAUCAAAUGAAAAUUAAUCUUGUAUAUUACAUUUGGAAAAUAUAUUUACAAAAAAAUUUAAAAUUAAAUAAAUAACAUGGACAAUAAAUUGUUACUUUCAGAUAAUAUUCAAUUAUUAAAUUAUAUAAAAAAAGACAAUUAAAAAAAUAAAAAAAUAAAUAACAUAAUUAUUAAUAAAUUAAUUAUAAAAUAUAUUUAAAAAAACUAAAUAUAUAUAUAUUUUAAAAAAUUAAACUGUUAACAGUCUGAUUAUUAACAGUCGGCCCAAGACUAUUAACAAUCUACUAUUAACAGUUAACAGUCGGCCCAAUUAAUAAAAAUAAAUCUAAAAAUUAAAAAUUAAAUAAUUAUUCAAAAUUUCAAUGAUAAGAAUUAAUGAAAUUCGAUUAAUGAAAAGAAUAUUAUUUAUAAAAAAUUAUUAAUAAAAAUAAAAACGAAAUUUAAAAUUCGAUAAUUAUUCAAAAUUACAAUGACAAGAAUUAAUGAAUUUCGAUUAACAAAAAGAAUAUUAUUUAUAAAAAAAACUAUUAAUAAAACUAAAUAUGAAAUUUAAAUUUAAAAUUAAAAGAAUUAUUAAAUAUUAAAAUUAUAAAAAUUAAUUAAAUUCAAGAAUGAAAAAUUAUUAUUUAUCAAAAAUGAGGAAAUAAAAAUAAAUAUUCAAAUUAAAAUUUAAAUUAAAUAUCACAUUUAAAUUUUACAAAUAAAUAAACUAUUAUUUAUUAAAAACUAAUAAUUAAAAUUAUUUAAAAUGAAAUUCUUAAAUAUAAGUAACUAAAAAAUAAAGGCAGUGGGCCGACCGUAACAAUCGGACCGCUUAACAGUCAAUGGGCUGACUAAACAGUCAGCCCAAAUAAUGGGCCAACUGUUAAUCAGCUCAAAUUAAAAAAAAAAAUAUUAUUGGGCCGAGUCAUGGGCUGAUUGUUAGUCAGUCCAUGACAAUUGGGCCAACUGGCUGUUAACAGUCGGGUGAUUAGGCACCCGACUGUUAACAGCUGAGUUUUCCCCAAAAUGCCGGCUGCAAACGCAGUCGGCAUUUUUUCCGGCUUUUCUCCUCGAAAAAUCUCUAUUUUCGGCGAGAAAAGCUUGCAAAUCUCGAAAUCCACAUAUUAUUCUCCAAUUUAGACUCAUAUUCAUACUUCUACACCUACAUAAUCAAUAUUACAUUUCAAAAACCUCCACAAAUUCAACAUUCACACACAAUAUGAAAAUUAAAACAUUAAUCUGGUUAAUUAACAACUCGAAACUCACCUUAACAAGAAGAAGGUCGCUGGAGAUGAACUGAAAAUGUUUACCGAAUAGCUUUUCCCUGGUUUUAGCUGACUGUAAGCAAAUGGGAAAGUGACCGUCUGAUGGUAUUUUGGGAUUUUGACCUUUAAAAUCAAUUUUCGUUUUUUUUCCUCUAAAAACUGGUCAAAGGCUACUUUGGAACUACACAUGAGUUAUUGGGUCAUUUUCAAUGAUUUCCUCCCCUUUCCUCGUGUUUUCAAAUUUCUACUUCCGAUUUGUACCUUUUUUUUUCUAAUUGACAAAUUAAUUAUAAGUACGUUUAUAGAUAGUAAAUAGAAUAAUUUAAUUUAUAAUUUCUGAUUGGUUAAAAUUUGUAUAUUUUAUUCGAAAGAAUCAUUCAAUUAACUCUAAUAUAUUUUUCCAACUGAAAUUGUCUAAUUUUAGUUCGAAAAAUUUUAAUAUAGUUUCAGUUUAUUAUUUUCAUAUUACCAAUAGAAUUUUAUCAUUAAAAUUUUUUAAUUUAUUUUUUAGGAUUUUGGUUAUUUUGUAAAUUAAAGUUUUAAAAUAAUCUUUAAUUAAUAGUUAGGAUUGAUUGAAAUUAAACGUAUGCUGAAUUUUUAUUUUUAGUUUUGUUCUUUUUUACAACAAGCAAAAAAUAUUGCAAAUCCUUGUUGCAAAACACACUUGCUCGCAACAUUUAAUGAUUGUUGCAAAAGGUUAUAUAGUAAGAAUUUCAACAAUAUGUACUGAACAUUGUUAUAGAACAAAAUUUUAACAAGUUCAAAAAAAAAAAAAAAAAAGAAUUAAAACUUUUACAACAUUCAAAGAACGUUACAAAAAGCUAUAUAUUAAGAGUUUCAACAACGGUUAUUGAAUGUUGUUAUAGAACUAUAUUUUUACAACAUUCAUUAAAUGUUGUGAAAAAUUAAACUUCUUACAACAUUCAAGAAACGUUGAAAAUGGUAAUAUUGACAAAAUGCAAUUAAAAAAAAUAUUGCCAAAGCUUAAUUAAGUUAAUCAAUGGCAUUAUUCACUUAUUAAAAUGUUGCGAUAGACCCAUUUAGCAACAUUCAAUUCACGAGUGUUGCCUUUUGAGUAUCUUAGGGAAGGAUUAGGGAUACAAUAGUAAUAAUUUCUAGAGUUACAGGAGUACAAUUGUCAUUCACGAAUAAACUUACCAUGUACAACAAAAUGGUCUUUUUUUUUUUCCUUCAAUGUGCUCCUAAAAAGGUUUUUAUUGAUAGCAACAAGGUAAGUCGGACGUUCUCUUUUUUAAAUUUUAAGAGGCAGUAAGGAUAUUUUGAUCUUCAUUUUUCGUCCCAUUUAUUUAUUUAUUUAUUUACUUAUUUAUGUAUUAUUAUCUGUUUAAAUUUAAAUUAUAUUCAAAAAAAAUUUUUAAAAAAAUAUUAUGAGUCAUGGAUGGGUCUGUGACAGAGAUCAUGUUUCCCAAGCCCAUCCCUAAUAGGGAUUAUAGAAUUCCUGACCUUCGAUCCACAUCAUGCCCUGUCCCACAUUGUCCUACCUUGAAUAGUAAAUGGGGCGGGAUGCAUAACCUAUAGUCCCUAGUUUCGAAUUUUUAGUACUAUCUCUGAAUCAUUUUUGAUUAAUAUACUUUAUUUUAUUCUUAUGUUCUUCAUUUAAAUCAUAUUAAAAAAUAAAUAAAUAAAUAAAAUGACGAAUGAUGGUUUUUAUGUCUCAACCUACCCUACAUUCUGAAAAUUCGAAACGAAACAAGAAUGAUAUGAUAGCUCCUAUCCAUUGUUAUCCUUAAUUUCAAAUUUCCCGUUGGGCGGAGUAACUUGAAACUGGCGUUUUGUUAAAGAUUUCCUCAAAUAAUUUAGCAGAAAAUAAAAACAAUGAAAAAUAAAUCCACUUUAAAAUAGGGUCAUCUCUAAAAGAUAAAUGUAUUCUCCAUUGAUUCCCAUUUUUCACUUGAAACUCAUCUCUGUAGGAAGGCUAUGAUCCAAUCCAACCUUAAAAUUUCUCAAAUUAUAUUAAAAAAAAAAAUCACCGUACCUUAACUCUACAAAUAAAGUAGAGUUAACUCUACAAAUAAAGUGGAGUGUUGCCCAAAUAUCCAUGGCAGCAGCUACGCAGAGGCAACACUGAUGGUUCGCAGAUGGUGCAACCACAAAGGGCCUCGACAUUAUAGGGACACCAAAAAAUUUUAUUUGUAUAAUAAUUUUAAAAUUUUAAUUUUUUUUAUUAAAAGGACCAUGUUUUAAAAUAUCACACAGGACACCCAAAAUAUUAAGGUCAACCCUACAUCUAAGUACUGCUAUGCAACUUCUCCAUUUCCUAGGUAUUUGAUCAAUAAAAAUAGGGAAUGUGGCUCAAGGGAGUGACAAAAUUAUUAAUAAGAUGAGGCAAAUUAAAGAAACAAACAAAUGUAGGAAGUUGAAAUCUACUUAAGAAACAAAAUGUACUUUCCUAUUAGCCGGAAGGGACAAUAUGACAGAUACCAAAACAAGGCAAUAGCUUAAGAGAUUCAUAGAUUACAUAAUUAUAAGCCAGAAAAAAAUAAACAUUGAUGAUUUAUUGUAGUUGAUAAUGGGGGUUGACUAACGAACCUUAUGUAGAAACUAUAUCAUUCGCAGUCAAACCAUGAUCCCUGAAUUUGAAACGGGCAUAUAACGAUUUGCGAAAGAGAUAAUGGUGUUGGAUUCCCAGUGGAUAACGCACAAGAAGAAUCUGAUUUCCUGCGCACUGGGAUUGAACAUAGCUGCUUUAAAUGUCCCAUUACGAGAGAACAAAAACUCCUAGAAGCAUCUACAGAUUUGAAAUUUGAAGGAGUUAAAUUAGGGUAUGCAAAUUCUUUAAAGGAAAAACCAUAUGCGAGAACCAAUAAUAAGGCUAAAACACACAGAUCUAAUCCAGAUUUUGCCCUAGUCGGCAUGGGUGACUAGCUGUGACAAUUGACUUUGCAGAUUUGACGGCGAGGGGAAAUACAUGAAAUUGACCCAAAUAAAAGAGGCUCUUUUCUAAAAUGGCCCUUGUCUUUUCCAAACAUUUGGAGCUACCUAAAAUACCCUUAGACAAACAUUAAAAACAACCUAUUUCAUAAUAAAAAUCUUCUAUCUAAGUCCUUAAAAAAUUAACAAGUAAUUUUUCUAAAAAUUUGAAAGAAUUAUUAAUCUUUAUGAAUAAUUAUAAAAUGAAAAAACCCAAAUAUAAGAGAGGACCAUAUAAUAUAAAAAAGGUUGUUAAAAAUAAAAAAGAAAUUAAGAUUGGAAAAGAAAUUGAUAAGAUAGGAUAUCAAGAACAAUUAUAUGCAUCACAAGAAGUAUUAAAGUGUUUCAAAGAAAACUUAUUAGAAAAUUUUGCUAAAAGAAUUGUAAGAUCAAUAAUUAUAAAAGAUAUACAAGGUAUCAUAGAUAAAUUAGAAAAAAGGAAGAAAAAUAUCUUAAAAUACGAUAUACCUUUUAGAACAGACAUAGAUAUGAUAAUAGAUGUUGAUAUUAUAAAUUCUCAGACAUUACUAGACUUUGAAGAAUUACUUAAAAAUUUAUGAGAAGGCCAAUAAAAAAUAGAUUACCACAAAGAAUUUUUAGAAUAUUAGAUUUUUGUUCGCUCAUAGUAGCAUCAUCCCGUUGGUAUCAGAGCCAUAGAGAUCAUGAGAAAAUUAUAAAAAUAAAUUACCUAAAAAUAUUGAAAAUAAAUAAAAUUUAUGAUUUUUGAAAUUAUUGAAACUUAUAAAAAUAGACUAAGGUAUCAAGUAAAAUAUAGUUCUAAUAUAAAAGGCUAUAUAGAAGAAGAUAAUAUAGUUGGAACAUAUAGUAAAGACAUAAAAGAAGUAUUAGAAAUUUUUAGAGUAAUUAAAAAUUUACCUUUAGAACUAAAAGAAAAAAUAAUUAAAAAGAUAUUAUUUGAAGAAUAUAAGCAUAUAUAUAUAUUAGAAGAAAUCCAGAGUGAAAUAGAUUUCAUAGUAAUCUAAAAAAAAUAUAUUUUAUUAUGGAAAUCAUAAAAAUAAAUAAUUAUUAUUAAUGUAUUGAAGAAAAAGGAUGUUAUAUAUUUUUCAACCCUAUCCCUAAUAAAUUAAAAAUAAUAACAUUAUAUGUAACUAGGAAUUUACCUAGAGAAAUAAAGGAACAAAUAUUAUAUAAAUUAAUUGUAGGAUUUAUCAAAGAUAGACGUACAUAUGAAAUAAUUAUCGAAGUAUUUGAAAAUGAAUUAUACCAUAGAGAAAUAUUUGAAUCAUCAUAAAGUAUAAUGGAAGAAACUAAAAAUAUUUUGGAAAGAAAGUUAAGAAGAAUAAGAUUAAUAAAUAAUAAAAUUUGAGAUGAAUUAUUAAUACCUGAAGAUAUAACUAAAACUCAAGAAAAACAAAUAUUAAAAUUAAAACAAGAAAGGUAUAAAGAAAAAGCAAGGUAUUAUGAAAAAUUAAAAGAAUUAACAAAUAUUAAAGUUAUAAAACAAAAGUAUGAUAAAAUGAUAAGAGAUUGUAAAAAUGCUGAGUAUAUAGCAUUUUAUUAUUGUCAAUCAAAAAAUCGAUAAAAGAAAAUGUCAAUCAGUGAACAUAUGGAAGAAUUAAAACAUUUAAUAAGAACAUUAAUAAAUGAUGUACAAGAAAUAAAGAAUGAAAUAAAAGAAGCAAGAAAUGAUAUAAAUAUAUUAAAACUUGAAGUUAGAAAAUUAAAAGAAAAUGAAGAAAAGAAUAAUAGGAUAGAUAAAAAAAUUUAUAGAAAAAGAAAUAACCAGAAUAUGAAAAAAACAUAUUGAAAGAGAAAAUAUAAUAAUAGAAACAGGAAGCAUGGAUGAUGAGUUUAGAAAAAAUAUAUUACCUAAAAUAUUAGAAGAAAAUGAAUCUAGAGAAAAAAUGUUAAGUAAACAAAAAAUUAAAGAAAAUCAAGAUAAAGAAAAUGAAUGAAGAAUUAGAUCUACUUAUAGAUAAUUUUGAUCAUUUAAGUUUAGAAAGUAUAGAUGAUGAAUACCAAAAUCUGAAUGAAUACUGGAGGAGGGCCUAAUCCCGUAAGAACCUCUAAACAAGAAUUAAUAGAUCCAAAUGAAAGUUAUGCUCUGAUGUAUAAUAAAUCAUAUAGACAAUUUUAUGAUAAGAUAAGAGAUAAACAACUGUCUAAAGGAAAUAAAUAUAGUAAUAGAUUUGAAUUAAAUAAUAAUUAUGAUAAACCUGUUAACCAUGGAGGAACAAAAUUAGACUUAGAUUGUAAAAUAGAUACUAAGAAAGUUUUAAUAACUUGGGCAGACUCAAUGAUAUUAUUCUUUUUAUAUAAUAAAGAUGAUACAUGGAAAAAUACUAAAAGAAGAAUAGAUUUUUUAAUUGCAUCUUUUGAAAGAAAUGUUAGAAAUUGGUGGGAAUGAAUUAGUAGUGAUACAAAAUUAUUAAUAAAAAGAAAUGUACAAACAGAAAUAAUAAAGUCAGAUAAACUAGGAAUAGAAAGAUUAGUAGAAUAUAUUGCAAAUGAAUUCUUAGGAGAAAAUUGGUUAAGAAAUUAUGAAGAAGAAACAAUACGAGAAAAAGAUAAUGCAAGAGUUAAGUUAAUUAAUUUAACAAUUUGUGAUAUGUGUAAAAUUAAAUAAUAUACUUGUGAAUUCAAGGAUUACUAUUAUAUUCAAUUUUAUAGUAAUGAGAAUCAAGAAAUAUAUCAAGAUAUGUAUUACAAUAAAUUACUAGGAUCAUGGGGAAUAUAUUUUAAAAUAGAAUUUGAAAAAUAUAUUAAAGAAAAUAUAGGAAUACCUAGAACACUAGGAUCAAGAAUAAUAUUCUUAUUUGAAAGACUUGCAUAUAUAUGUCAACAAAGACAAUUAUUGAAAAAAUCAGGAAAAUUAACUAGAAUAUGUUGUGAAGAUAUGGAAAAACCUACAAGAUGGGGAUGUAAUUCUGAAAAAAGAAAUAAAAGAAAGUAUAAAAACAGAAAGUUUAAAAAAUAUAGAAACUUUAAGAAAAAAUACAUAAAACCUGGAAGGAAAUAUUAUUAAAAAAAAUAAUAUACAGAGAAAUAAACCUUAUAAGAAAAAUAAAAAAAACAAUGUAAGUGUUGGAAUUGUGGAGAAAUGGGUCAUAUAAGUCCUGAUUGCGCACAAAAAAAGUGAGAAUAUUACAAAAGGAUUAUUUUGAAAUAGAAAGUGAAUUAAGUAAAAUAUAUGAUAUUAACAUUAUAAUAAUCAGGAAAUAUUUAUAAGUGAAGCAGAUUCAGAAGAUAAUGGAUCAGAAUCUGAAUAGAGAAAUUGAAGAAAUAGAAAAUAAUAACAUAGAAAUCCAAGAAUAUGAGGGAAUGGAAAGUUAUGGAUUAAAAAUAACUUUUGACAAUAAUAAAUUUAAGAAAAUACAAAAGUUAUCCUUAGAUUUGAAAAUAGGAAAAUGGGAAAUUCUAGAUAGAAUAUGGAGAAGAGAAAUAAUAGCAAUAAAUGAAUACCAUAAGAUUGAAAAAACUAUAGAUGUCAAAACAACUCAAAGAACACAUAAAAUAAACAUUUUAACAAAAAGUACAGUAUCAGAAUUAUUAUCAAAAAUAAGUAAAAAAUAUAGUGAAAAGAUCCAAUAUGUUUAUUUAGCAGGAAUAUAAAUAAUGUUUAAAUCUUUAUUUAGGGAAGGAAUAGAUUCACCAUUAAUUGUAAGUUUACAUGAUGGAAGAAUUAUAAAUUUUGAAGAUGGUCAUUUAAGAACUAUAGAAGGAAAUUUAGCAUAUCAAAAGUUAAUAUUUACUUGUUCCCCAAAAUAUUGUGUCUCAUUGAAAGAUAAAAACUUUAAUGAAGUCUUAGGAUUACAUUUCAAAUUACAUAGAAAUGAUAUAAUGGAAUCAAGAGAUCAAAUUAUGAUUAUGGAAUAUAGAGCAUUAUAUACAUUUACUAAUUCUAAUUAUGGGAAUAUUUAUUCCAAUAAACCAUACAUAGAAAUUCAUAAGGAAUGCAAUGAUAUUGGUAGAAUAGUGAAACCAAACAAACAAAUAAAUCUUAUUCCAAAAGAAUAUGAAUUUAAUAUAACUAAAAAUAAGCCUGAAAUAACAGAGUUAAGAGAAGAAGAAGAUUAUAAAAUAAUAUUUCACAAUGGAAGGUUGAUAAAGAAAUCAAAAAGCCUUAAGACUACCGAAUAAAAAAGAAUAUUUGGGAGAAACUAGUGGUAUAAAAGAAAUAAAAUCUCAUGGAAAUAUUGGAAAUAUGAAAAUAGAAGGAAAAUAUUUCAACGGUAGAAGGUAUAUAAAAGGACCAAAUAUAUUGAUAAAUACAGGAGCUGGUGAAUGUUAUAUGGCUGCAAGUAAAAAUGAAGGAUUAAUGACUUACAAGAUAGAACCAUAUGAAUAUAGGAAUUUUGAUGAACAACUAUAUAUUACAGAAUUAAAGGUAAAGGUACCAAUAAAAAUAGGCGGGAUUGAUUUAUUAGUACCAUGUUAUUUGGUUGAAAGUAUGGAUAUUGAACCUCAUAUAUUAUUAGGAAUGAGUUUCUUAAAUGGAUUAGAAGAUUAUAGUAUAAAAAGAGAAGGCUUAGAUAUAACUCAUAAAGGACAAACUACAUUAUGUAAAAUAGGAAGUAGAUGAGUAAUCAAAUAAGUUUUCCAUUGGCAGUAUAUAUACAAGUUACUAUAGUAGAAACAAACAUAACAACUUGUGCCUUAAUUGAUAUAGGAAGUGAUAUAACAAUUUUCAAAAAUUUCUUAAUAAAAUCAUGGAAUAAAAAUAGUAAAAUAAAAAUAACAGGAGUGACUGGAGAAAGUACUCAAAUAAUUGAUAGUGCUAAAAAAAUUAAUAUAAUACUUGGUAUUAAACAAGUUAUAAUAAAUAAAGUAUACAAUUAUAAUAACCUAGAAUGUGAUAUAUUAUUAGGAAAUGACUUUAUCCAACAAUUUCAAUACUAUAAACAAAAUAAUUACAUGAUAAUGUUACAAAUACCUUGUGACAUCUAUUAAAAAUAUCAAGAGAAUUUAGAUCCUAGAGAGUUCAGCCAGCCCAGCGUGGUGAUAAAUGGGAAAAACGACCAAUAGUACAAGAUGAACUAAAAAAUAAAAAACUAUCAUAUAAAAAGAUCCUAAAAACAGAAAUAGAAAUAAGUAUGGAAAAAAUUAUAGAACAAUUAGAAAAGAUUUAUGGAGAAAACCCAUUAUUAUUUUGGAAACAUAUUAUCCUAAAACUAAAAUAGAAUUAACAGAAAAUGUUAUAAUAAGAGUUAGUCCAAUGAUGUAUACCUUACAAGAUAUGCAAGAAUUUAAAAUUCAAAUAAAAGAACUAUUAGAACAAAAAUUAAUUAGACCCAGUAAUUGACCUCAUAGUAGUCCAGCUUUUAUGGUUAUAAAACAUUCUGAGCAGAUUAGAGAAAAAGCUAGAAUGGUAAUAAACUAUAAGGAAUUAAAUAAAUAUACUAAAUUUGAUGGUUACUUUUUACCAAAUAAAAAAGUCCUAAUAAAUCUUGCAAAAGGAAAACAAUAUUAUUCCAAUUUGAUUGUAAAUCAGGAUUUUGGCAAAUAAAAAUGGAAGAAGAUAGUAUAUAAUAUACAGCUUUUAGUACACAUCAAGGAAAAUAUGAAUGAUUAGUUAUGAAAUUUGGUUUAAAAAAUGCACCACAAAUAUUUCAAAGGAAAAUGGAUAAUAUAUUCAAAAAGUUUAGUGAUUUUCUUAUUGUUUAUAUAGAUGAUAUACUAAUAUGCUCUAAUAAUAAAAAAGAACAUAGGAAUCAUUUAUUACAAUUCAUAAAUGAAUGCAAAAAGGAAGGAAUUGUACUUUCUAAAAAGAAAUCUAUAAUCAAGAAUAAGAAAUAGAUUUUAUGGGAUUAUCAAUAGAUAGAAAAAGAAUAAAAUGACAUACUCAUAUAUCUAAAAAGAUAGAAAGCUUUCCAAAUGAAUUAAAAUCCAAAGAAUAAAUAAAAAAAUUUUUAGGAUGUUUAAACUAUGCUAAAGGAUUUAUUGAAAAUCUCUCAAAAAAGAGACAUAAGAUACAAAUUCUACUUAGGAAAACAAAUACUAAAGGUAACAAAGAACAUACUGAAAUUGUUAAAUCAUUAAAAGAAGAAUGUAAAAAUUUAUCAAAAUUAAGGUUACCAGAUGAAAAAGAUAAUCUAAUUGUUAAUACUGAUGCCUCAGAUAAAUAUUGGGCAGUUAUAUUAAAAACAGAUUUAAAUGAAAUAUGCAGAUAUUCAAGUGGAACUUUUAACCAAGCAGAAAUAAAUUAUACUACUCAUGAAAAAGAAUUGUUAACAAUUAUUAGAGGAAUAAAAAAGUUUUCAUUAUUCCUUUUAUCUAAAAAAUUUAUUGUUGAAACUGAUAAUUCUCAUGUUGUAGGACUUAUUAGAAAUAAGUUACCUAUGGAAUCUCAAUAUAAAAGGUUACACAGAUGGCAAGCAUAUUUAUCAUUCUACAAUUUUGAUAUUAUUCAUAUUAAAGGAAUAAAUAACUAUCUUGCAGAUUUUUUGAGCAGGAAUAUCGAAUUUGGAGAUGGAUAAUAUCAAAAAUUUAUUAAUAGACGUCAACAGACGAAUGAAAUUCCUCAUGGAAGAAUCAGAAGAUAUGAAAAUUGGAAUUGAGCAAUUAGAGCAAAUGGCAGAAUCUAUCCAACAAAAUGUCAAAUUGUUGGUGGAAAUCUCUAAUUCUCAUUCCAAAUAUACCAAAGAAUUGAAUGACAGAAUUGUUGAUAUUACUUCACAAUUCGAGUCAUUAAAUACCAAACAAGAAAUACCAAUUGAUACAAUCUAAAAAAUACAAACAGGUACGCAGCAAGGAAGCAGCAAUAGACCCAGCAAUAUCAAACGAGAUAUAGCAAGUCCCCGGAAGGUAACUAUAAAAAAUGGUGAUGAGCAUAUAAGAGUUAUCAGAAUCAAAACUGAUGAAGAUGAUGAUACCCCUUUAUCAUCAAAAGAAGAAGAAUAUAGAUCAUUUGCCAAACUUGUUCAUGAAUUGGAAGAAAAUGAAUCAUAUUUUAUUGCAUCAGGAGAUCAUGUUUAUCCCAGAUUAAUAAUUAUCAAAGAUGCAGACCCUUUCAUGGUCAAAAUGGCGACAGAUUAUGAAUUUCUUGAUUUGAUCUAUCCAGUAAAAGAUUUAAAAGAAAUUGAAAAAUUUGAUGAUAUAUUCAGGGCAGAGGUUUCAAAAUUUGUCCAAGGGAGAUCGAUUUAUAUCAAAUUUUAUUCAAUAAGUCCCGAGGUUGAUGGAAGGAUAUAUUAUCCUGCUGAACAUAUUAUCACAAUUGGAUAUGUUGGCCGAGAUUUUCGUAUUGAAGUUGGCCGAAAUAAUAAACUAUUGCCUAAAAUCAAUAAAUCAUGGAUAAAAUCCCAAAGAGUUUUGGGGAUGAAAGUUCUUUAUAACAUUGCAAAAAACUUAUAUGAUAAAAAAUUCAGAUGCUUGUGUCAAUAUGAAGGAUGGACACUCCUUACGAAUAAUGGAAAAGAAAAAUCUACUAUUUUGAAAGAAUAUAUCUAGAAAUUUGAUACUCAUCAAAUGAAUGGAAGUUCUACAACAAUCCAAGAAUCAUGUAGAUUGAGGGAGUGCCCCACACGCAGACAAGAUUAAAAAGAUUGACAAAAGAUGAAUGGAAGGGGACCUACCACUACCAAAGCAUCUAGCCAGCUGCAUAUGGAGCCAAAGAUGGAGAGACAAUAAUAGAGGAAAAGAUGUCCCUUUGAUGAAAAAGCAAAAAAUGCAUGUGAAAAUGUAGACCCCAGGAGGAAAAGAAUAGAGAGGCAUGCGAGCCUUUUCAAAUUCUGAUGUAUGCAAUGAUGUAAUAGACCAAUAAUAGCAAGUUUGAGUCAUGUAUAAAUAGAGGUCUUUGGGGAAAGAAUGGAUCAUCUCGAAUUAGAAACCAUUCUCUUUCCUUAAACUUUCUUUAAAACCAAUUUUUCUGGAAACCCCUUGUAUACAAUAGAAAUCUUGUAUAAAUCAUUAUAGAAAUAAAAUCUCAAUCUUUUGAUAUCAGAAAAAUAUGAGUUUUUAAACUUCAUAUCCCAUAGAUUCUUGACAGAUUGAAGAAGAUAAUCUCUUUCUUACUUUAACAAAGGGGGAAUUUUCUUUACUUAAAAUCCUUAUUCUUAAUUCUAAGAAAAGAUACAGUGAGGGUAGGAAGCUGAAAUAGCAGAAUUUCCAUUAAGGCAAAAGACCGUUUGAGGGAGCAGUUUGCAGAUUCAGAGCCUGAAAGUCACUCAGUUCUAAGAAUACAAAUUUAAGAUCAUAAGUAAGGUAAAAUUAUUGUCUUUGUUAAAUUUAGAAAGAAUUCUUCUAAUAUCUUGAAAGAAUCGUAGGGAUUAUUACUUUUCAUGUUUGCAAAAAAUUUAUCUAUCAUGUUAUUAUUCAUAAAGCUUGUAAGGAAUUAUCUAAAUGAUACCAGGCUAUACAAUUAAAGGAUUAGAUAAUCUGUUAGAAAGACUGUUAGAAAAAAUAAAAAAUAUUUUUUCUCAACUAGAGACUAUGGAUAUAUCAUAUAAGGAAUAUGAUAAUCUUAAAGAAUUAUAUGACAAUUAUAUUACAGAUUAUACUAAUUUAUUAGAUCAAAAGAUGGAACUAUAUAUUAAAAUUCGAAACGAGAGAAAUAGAAGAAUUUUGGAACUAUUCCAAUAAAUUAGGAUAUUUUGUGCAAAAUAUGGCAAGCCAUUUCAUUAAGGGUAUUAUAGACAUUUUGGCAAAAAUGAAUAACGAUAGGCCAUUUAGAAAAAUUCCUCGACGGCGAGAGUAGAGGAAGAAGAGAUAUUAUAUUUGUCUUAAGAGAUUAGGGCUUCCACUUCCCCUUUCCUCUUGUUUUCAAAUUUCUACUUUUGAUUUGUACUUUUUUUUUAAUCUAAUUGACAAAUUAAUUAUAAGUAUGUUUAUAGAUAGUGUGUAGAAUAAUUUAAUUUAUAAUUUGUAAUUAGUUAAAAUUUGUAUGUUUUAUUCGAAAGAAUCAUUCUAUUAACUUUUAGGGUCAGUUUCAUUGUAAAGAUGAAAUUUGGAUGGAAAGAAAAUGAAUUUCAGGAAAUUGAAUUGUCUAGAAAUUAUUUUAUUGGGAAUUAUCAAUUAUUGUGUUUGAUUGAUAUAAUUUUUUAUGUGAAAAAUGUUAAAAUAAAAGUAUUUUUUGAUGUUCGUUUGACAUUAUUUUACAUAAAAAUUGUCAAUUAAAGGGAUAAAAUUUAUUGGUAUUGGUGAUAGAAUUUGUUCCUCUUGCCCAAAAAAAAAAAAAAAAAAAAAAGGGGCAAAAAAAAAAAUUAUUUUUUGGGGUNNNNNNNNNNNNNNNNNNNNNNNNNNNNNNUCAUCUAUCUUUUGGUGUUCAUUUGCUUUUGUUUUAUAUGGAAAUUAUCAAUUAAAGAAAAAUAUUUUUUUACAAUUAAUGAUAGAAUUUGUUUUCAAUGCCAAAAAAAUAAAAAAUAAAAAAUAAAAAUUGGCAACUUACCUAGAAAACCAAUUCCCCCCAUUCCUUGAAAACUAAGAAAAGUCCACUUUUCAAAAAAAACCAAGCAAAUGAAUUACAUGGAAAAUAUUUGCUAUCAAACACUAUCAAAAGGUGGAAAAUAGACAAAAUUUUCCAUUUUCCAUGGAAAAGAUGCCCAAUCAAACAAGGCCUUAAUAUAUUUUUCCAACAGAAAUUGUGCAGUUUUAGUUCGAAAAAUUUUAAUAUAGUUUCAGUAUAUUAUUUUCAUAUUACCGAUAGAAUUUUAUCAUUAAAAAUUCUUAAUUUAUUUUUUAGGAUUUUGGUUUUUUUUUAAAUUAAAAAUUAAAAAUAAUCUUUAAUUAAUAGGUAGGAUUGAUUGAAAUUAAACGUAUGCUGAAUUUUUAUUUUUAUUUUUGUUCUUUUUUACAACAAGCAAUAAAUAUAGCAAAUCCUUGUUGCAAAACACACUUUCUCUCAACAUUUAAUGAUUGUUGCAAAAUGUUAUAUAGUAAGAAUUUCAACAAUAUGUACUGAGCAUUGCUAUAGAAUAAAAUUUUAAACAGUUCAAUGAACAUUGCUAAAGGAAAAAAAAAAAGAGAAGAAUUAAAACUUUUGCAACAUAAAAAUAAAUAAAUUAAAACUUUUGCAACAUUCAAAGAACGUUACAAAAAGCUAUAUAUCAAGAGUUUCAAAAACGUUUAUUGAACGUUGCUAUAGAACUUUAUUUUUACAACAUUCAUUAAACAUUGCGAAAAAUAAAACUUCUUACAACAUUCAAGAAACGUUGAAAAUGGUAAUAUUGACAACAUGCAAUUAAAAAAAAAUAUAUUGCCAAUGCUUAAAAUUAAAUUAAACAAUGGCAACAUUUUUUACUUUUUAAAAUGUUGCAAUAAACCCAUUUAGCAGCAUACAAUUCACGAAUGUUGCCUUUUGAGUAUUGCAAAAGGCUAUUUUAAUUGUAGUGAAAAUUCGUGAUAUGUAUAUAAAAAUUCAUAUGUCAUUAAAUUAAUUUCGGUACACGUGAUAAAUGAUCAUACUUAAAAAAAUUAUUACCUUCACUAAACUUUGAAAAAUUAAGCUUUCGGACUGAUAACGUAUUAUGAAAAGAGAUAGAAAGAGCAGGGAGAAUAAAAGUCAAUAGACUUGUAUGUAUUAUAAUAAGAACUAGAGUCAUGUAUUCAUAAAGAAGGAUUAUGGAUACAAUGAUAAUAAAUUCUAGAUUUACAGAGGUACAAUUGUCAUUCACAAAUAAAACUUACCAUUUACAACAAAAUGGUUUUUUUUUCCUUCAAUUUGCUCCUAAAAAGGUUUUUAUUGAUAGCAACAAGGUAAGUCGGACGUUCUCUUUUUGAAUUUUAAGAGGCGCGUAGGACAUUUUGAUCUUCAUUUUUCGUCCCAUUUAUUUAUGUAUUUACUUAUUUAUAUAUUAGUAUGUGUUUAAAUUUAAAUUUUAUUCAAAAAAAAUAAAAAAAAAAUAUGAAUCAUGGAUGGGUUUGUGAUAGCGAUCAUGUUUCCUAACCCCAUCCCUAAUAAGGAUUAUAGAAUUCCUGACCUUCAAUUCACGUGGCGCUUUCCGUCCCACGUUGUCCUACCUUGAAUAGUAAACGAGGCGGGAUGCAGAACCUAUAGUCCCUAGUUUCGAAUUUUUAGUACUAGCUCUGAAUCAUUUUUCAUUAUUAUAUUUUAUUUUAUUGUUAUGUUCUUCAUUUAAAUCAUAUUUAAAAAAAUUUAAUUAAAUAAAUAAAAUGAUGAAUGAUGGUUUUUUAUGUCUCAACCUACCCUACAUUCUGAAAAAUUGGAACGAAACAAGAAUGAUAUGAUGGCUACUAUCCAUUGUCAUCCUUAAUUUCACAUUUCUUGUUGGGCGCAGUAACUUGAGGCUGGAGUUUUGUUAAAGAUUCCUCAAAUAAUUUAGCAAAAAAUAAAAACAAUGAAAAAUAAAUCCACUUUAAAAUAGGGUCAUCUCUAAAAGAUAAAUGUAUUAUCGAUUGAUUCCCAUUUUUCAGUUGAAACUCAUCUCUGCAGGAAGGCUAUGAUCCAAUCCAACCUUAAAAUUUCUCAAAUUCUUUUAAAAAAAACUUUUUUCACCGCAUUUUUAACUCUACAAUUAAAGUGGAAUAUAUUUCAAAUGACAGAAUGAAACUUAAUUGAAGGAACUCGUUUUAACAAUAUUUGCAGUGAACCAUAAAUUUGAUCAUGGGCCACAAUUGCAUGACUAUUUGUUUGAACUCAUGAAGUUCGUUCUAUAAAUCAUGAUAAAGAAUUCAUCUAGCGACAAAGGCAUGCUUUGGAUCAACGAAGCUUCUUUCUUAGCUAAGAGUCUAUAGCAUUUGUUUUUCAAUAAAAAGUGUGUACAAUUUGAUCAACUCGUCAAUAAAUAUUCCAUACAAGUCUUCAAUUCGACGUAUACGCCUUUUAAAAUUGUAUUUAGUCAUAAUUUUAUGUUCCAAGCAAAUAAUUUUAUGAUUUAUUCUUCUCAAUAUUAGGAUUUGGGGUCAACAUUGUUAAGAAGGACAGCUCAAACUUUUAUAAGUUGGUCUAUGUUUUCAUCUUUUUUCGAUAUGAAAUUUUAUCCCUUGACAAUCAAGUUAUUAGUAAGUUCUGGAUCCGUAAAAUGAAACCUUAGCAUGUCAUUAAGAAAUCCAUUCGUUAAUAGGAUUCAAUUAAGCUACUGUUGCCAAUUACGAGUUGAUACAUGGUUAAAUGACAUUCAAACACUUGAUAUACUUGAUAACUUGUUAAACUGUUGAUAUAGGUUGCAGUUUGAGAGUUCUGAAGUAGUAGAACGAUAUAAUGACCACUUUUCGAGUAUUAUUGACAUUAAUAUUUUUCUUAACUUCCAAUGAAUUUAAAUGAAUAAAUCUAGAGAUCAUAGUAAAUAUGAGGCUUAAGGAGAAUUUGCAAUGAUUUCAGCUACGUUUGAAAAGUCAAUAGGGUCAAAUUCAUCAAUGACAACCCAACUUUAUUUAAAUAAAUUCACAUAUUCGACGUUAAUUUUAAUAUUUAAAUAAAGUGAUCAUUUGACAUCUUACUAGUGCUACCAAAGAACGUGUGAACCAUAAUAUUAAACACAUCUGAUUUGUUUAUUGUACAAUGUAAAUGGAUAUAAAGACUUCAAGGGGCAUCGCAUAACAUAUUCAAAGUUUCCAAAUAAAUAAAGUCAUCAUGUCCUCAACUCGUCAAAAAGUUAAUACCUUUAAGGUAUCUGCCAAAGAAAGGCAUGAAAAUUGACACCCCCACUAUCUAUAUACACCAUUUGACACUUACCUUAACGAUUAAGAAUAUGUCUAAUCAUCAUUUACUAAAACUCAUAAAUAUGUUUGUGAGUUUCAAAUUUUAUUUUCAAUCAUACAUUUCAUUGAAUUCACAACUUUUUAUCCUCUUUUCUAUCAAGCCUGACCAAAGCCACUUAGGUAACAGCCCAAGGCCUUGGAUAUUCGAUGGAGAAUAAAUCUCCCUGUCCCGGGUUGGGGACAUGGAGGAAGGGUUGGGGACAGGGAGGAAGACAUGCGGCGCCCCUGUCCCUAACCCUGUCCCCAACUCGGGACAGGGAGCAGGGCUCUUCGAGGGACCUCAAAAAUAAACAAUUUGUUCUCUGGUUCUUGCAGAAAGUGGAAAUAUAUCUUGUUAUUGCACAAUGCAUAUUAGUGCAUGACAAGAAUGACGUGUAUGAUUUGCCAAAGAAAUGAAGGUACUUUCCUUGGUUUCCUCCUUCUGCUUUAUUUCCAGUCGUCAUCCAUUUACCAAUAUGAGUUGAUUUCCUUUCCUAGAAAAUAUGCUCAUGCCAAUUUCCUAAAUUUGUGGAUUUAAUUGAAACCCAAAAAAGUUUGACCAUAUUUUCUUACCUUCAUUUCAAUCCAUGAGAAUCUUUGUCAAAUCUUUAAUUUGUGGAAUCACACACAUUGAAAGAACAUUUUAGUCCAACCUAUCUUUUCCGUUCAAUCUCAUCUUUGCAUUGACAUACAUUAUGUGUUGGUUGGACAAUACUGGAGAUUAUAAAAUAAAAUAUUAGACAGCAUUAAAGAAUAAACAACUAUCACAAAUUCACGGCAUAUUUAAAAGAUGCUGCCAAAGAAAUCCAUUUUAAGGAGCUUUUAAUCACUUCCAAACAAGCUUUUAGCUCUGAACAUUUUUCAUUAGCUCGAUUUAUAGUACUAAUUAAACAAUAAAAAGACGUUAAAAUUUUUUCCAUAGUAAUCUACAUUUUUGUCCAGCACUAAGCAUGGCUCCUAAAUAUGAUAGUAAACAUGUGGGCCUUUCCUGUUUAAUAGGAAUCCUCAUCUGAGUAUGUUUCCUCAAGGAUCAAUAGACAAUAGCUAGUUUUUUUUUCACAUUUUACUCAAACUCGUGUAUUUCAUGUUGAACUGCCUCAUAUAGAAAUUCCGAGAGAUUAAGUUAUGAGAAAAAAGUUAUGUUUAAGGGCGAUGUAUUUACUAAUAUCAUACCAGAGGGCCUCAUCAUAAUUAUUUGCUAGCCUUGAGAACCUGACCCCAAUAGCCCCUUUUCUACGAACCACCUUGGUGAGCCUUUCUUCGUCAACGAAUCUAGUUCACAGAUUCGCCUCAUUUUCUCCAUCAACAAGCCUAGUUUGCAGCUUUGCCUCACCAAGUGACUCCAACGAGGUACAUCAACGAGCCUGGAAGUUGUUACUAUGUAGAUGAAUAUGUGGAUCCCUAGAUUCUGACAUUUGCUCAGCAUCUUAGCACUUUGAGGAUGACAGUAUUCAAGCAGCCCAGUUUCACACCUAACAACUUGUUAAGCAAGAGGAAACCUCUUUCAAUGUGGAUGAGGAAUUUAAUUCAGCAACAUAGGUGGUGUACUCUAAGCUGCCUGCAAGGAGCCACGAUCUGAAUUUCUAGAGAGCAUGUUGAAACCAAUACUGAUCUCGGCAAGUUUUAAUAAAUAUUUUGGGUUUCCUUCCGACUCCCAUGACCAGUCCCUCCAUUGUGGCACAAUUCUGGUGCCUGUCCCGCACCAAGAGUGCCUCAACAGCCGAAGCUGGAGGUGAGGGUGCGUUGGAGCUGCCUCGACAAUAGUUGCUAGAGGCUGGAGGUUGCGGUGUACCCAGAAGCCUCAAAAGUCAUAGUUGGAGGUUGAAUUUUGGUUUAGACAAUUUAUCUAACAUCUCAUGGACGAAGUAGCACUGAGAUUUUAUGAGAACAAACAAAGGCUGCCUCUAAUUCCGUGCUCAACAUAAUAUCCCAAUUAUGCUCGUUUUAGAAUAUCUGCGUAGUGCGUCCUACGUAGGCGAAAGACAAGGAAGAGACAGUAUUCAUAACGAUGGAGAGGUGCCCCCUGGUUCAAUGCGAGGCUUAAUUGAAUAUCUCCAGUAUUUGAGAAGAAUCUAAAAGACUUUCAUACAGCAGGAGGCGGCCCAAGGCUCUUACCACCAAUGCAGGAAGAUUUGCAGCCAUCGGAAGCGACUACCACUGCGCCUGCCUCUACGGCAUUCAUCGGAUGCUACGGGAGCCUUGGUGGCGGUGAGAGCACUGGGGCCAGAUCUUGACCAAUGGGGAUCGAGAUCGAGUGGCACAUAGGUCGCAAUGCUGCUGCGACUACGAGAUGUCGUAGCUGGACUAUUUUAACGACAAUGGCUUGAGGCUUACGCCGUGGAGAUGCAGUCCACGAACUGCUGCUUAGGCUUGAAGACUUUGAAAACGGGAAAAUGAAAGUGAAAGUUCUAUAACUUUUAAGUUUUUAUUUUUCAUUUAGGGGGUGUUUGAGAGUCAUUUGUAUGUAAAAAUGUAUUUUAGAAUAGUAAUUUGAUGGGAAAUGUAUAGUUGAAAAAUAAGGAAAAAAUUUUGAUUUACGUGUUAUAUUAUUUUAAUAAAGAAUGUGUAAUUGAAAAGAAGAGAGAAAAAAUACAUUUUAGAAAAAAAUGGGUACCAAAUGGGGGCUUAAUUUCCCUUAUUCUGGCCAAGGGCUCAAUUUGUAAAUUGAAAAGUAAAGAGCCAUUGGACACAUUAUUAAUUUAGUGGGUUAGCGACGAAAUUAUGCCAUUCUAUAUUUUAUUAAAUAGCGUAUAACAACGUAUUUUUUCAUUAUAUUUCAAAUAAAUAAAUAAAUAAGUACGAAAAAUAUAUUUCCCUAAUUUCAAAGUAGAGAAACAAAAUUUUUUGACGUAAAAUAUUAUCAAGGACGAAAUGUAUUAAUUAGGGCUUGUUUGAGCCACAUUAUUUUCAAAAAAAUACAUUAUUUAAUAGUGAUUUGACAUCAUUUCAACCAUAAAUUUUUCAAUAAAAUAAUAUUACACGUAAAUUUAAAACUUUUCAUUAUUUUUUAACCAUACAUUUUUCAUCGAUUUGACAUGAAUAAUGCAUUUUUCCUAGAAUGUGGCUCAAAUAUGGGCUUAAUUAAAAAGUCGAAUAUAAGAGUUUGACGAAAAAAAUUGCAAUAAUAAGCAAAAAUUAAGAACCUUAACUAUAAUUAAAAUGUAGUGUAGCUAAUAAAAAUUGCAAUACCAAUAUUACCGUCCUAAAAUAAAACUUGGCAUCCCUUAGUAGAGACAGAAAAAAAUGAACAAACCACUCGAAAGGGUUCUUUCAUCCUAUCCGAAACUUUAAGAUAUGUUUUUUUAUAUGCUAGCAGAAAUAUAAUACAAAAGAGGCAAAUAAUAGAAAUUUACUACUUUAAAACAUAAUUGUUCUUUCCAAGUACCUAUAUUUAAUUAUCCGCAAAGGGCCAACUGAUUCAAAGCUCCAAAUUUGCAUAUGGCUUAAAUUUGCUGAAUUUGUUCUAUCUCCUACAAUUCUAAGUCUGCUUCAUCAACAAUGUUUGUUGUUGUUGUUGUCAUAAAUAUGGUAUGAACAGGAAUCAUUGGCAGCACAAGUUGAACACUCAGCUUAAAACUCCUCCACGUGCCAGAGAUAUAAACAGUGCAUAAGAAGAGCAGCAUAAUUAUGGAGUAGGUAUACCAAAAGAUAUCUCGUGGGAAGAAUUAGGGGUGUAAGCGAUCCUAUUUUACCGAUUUUUGACAGAUUUUCAAACCAAACCGGUUUGAAAGAAACCCAAACUUAAACCAAACCAUUUUAAACGGUUUGAAAAAAACUCAAACCUAAACCUAACGGUUUGGUCUGAUUUUAAACAGCCGAUUUCGUCAUAUAUAUUUUUUCCGUCUACUUUUAUAUCAUUAAUUCAUUGAAUUAAAUAUAUAUUUAUAUCUUACUAGUAAUAAAUCUAAGACAAACUAAACCCCUGUUUGAACCAAAUUUCUGGAACAAAAAAAUGAAAAUUUGGAUCAUUAUCCCACAAGUCCAGCCUCCUUUGUUGACCUGUUAUUUCAUGUGUGGGACCCAGCCUCCUCUCCAACGAUCAAUUUUCUUGUUACGAUGAUAUGGAAAAUAUGGCUCAAACGAGACUAAAUAUAUCUACUAUAAAUUUAAAUACCAACUAGAUCAAAGAAAAAUUACAAUAAACUAAAACGUAGUUUUUUUUUUUUUGUUCAUCUUUUUUAGGCUAAUAACGAUAUAAUAAUGUUACAGUACAAGUCUAUUAAAUUAGAUAUAAGGGCCAAAAAAUAUAAUGAUGUUCAAUAAGACCUCUUGAUCAUCAUAUCUGAAUAAAGGAUACUGAUUAGACAAAGAGAAUAACCAACCACAAUAAUAAAGCAAUUGUUUAUAAUAUCUAAACAUAACAAUUACACAAGUUUACGUUUGUUUGAUGUUACGAAACGCAUUUAAUUUCAGAUUCUUACCUUAAUUUGUUCCAAAAAAAAUUAUUGAUCUGAAACUUUAUUCGUAGCAAAUAUUAUCACCGAAUGUUUAGGAUCUCUUUGUCUCGGAUUUGGUAUAAUAGAUUACUAUUCAACUUUGAAGAGGCGUGAAAAAUCUAAAAAAGAAGUGUGUGGUGCCGAUGGCUCAAGACUGUGUUGGAUGUCGGCUGGGAGUUCAUUUAAAUUUUGAAGAGGAAAAUGACUUUUGAUAAAUUAUGUUAGUCUUGAGAUUAUUAUAUAUAUAUAUAUUAGGAUUAUUGGAUGAUAAUAAUAAUAAUAUAUCUGUAUUAGAAAAUUAGAAAUUGACUAAAAUACCCACAAAUGACAAAACUAUUAAAUUUUACAUAUUUGGAUGAAUUUCCAAAAAAAUUCAUUUCUUCAUUUUUUUUAUUUUUAUAUAUUUUUUCGCCGGUCCGAUUUGGUUUUAAACCGCAAUUAAAAUUCUCAAACCUAAACCAAACCAUUUUGACCGGUUUGGUUUGGGUCAAAACCAUUUCGUUGAUCGGGUUCACGUGGCACCAAACCGACGGUUUAUAAAAUGCGAUUUCGAUUCAAUUUUUCGAUUUGUCGAUUUUUGCUUACAGCCUAAGAAGAAUAGUGAGGCCAAGAAACAAACCAAUAGGGAAAGAGUAAUUCUUGACUUGAAUGCGUAUGUAUCCCCUAUCAACUUGAGGUGUCAAUGAGAUUUCAUGGAAACAUCCACUAGUGUGAAAAUGAAAACAGUUUCAGAAAAAAAUGGAUGUUUCCAUGAAACUUCCAAUUUUCUUAUAUAUAGGGAUAUAUCAUGCUGCUCAAUGCAAGCAUCAUUAAUGAAAACAGUUUCAGAAAAAAAUGGAUGUUUCCAUGAAACUUCCAAUUUUCUUAUAUAUAGGGAUAUAUCAUGCUGCUCAAAGCAAGUAUCAUCUUCAUAUUCAAUUCAUCACUUCUCCUUAAUUUCUCUCUCUAACCAAAAUCCAAGCAUUCUGCAAUCUAUCCAACCAAAAACCAAGAAUUCUUCAAUUCAUCACUUCUCCUUAAUUUCUCUCUCUAACCAAAACCCCAAGAAUUCUGGAAUUCAUCACUCUCUCAAACCAAAAACCAAGAAUUCUGCAAUUCAUUACCUCUCCUUAAUUUCUCUUUCUUAACAAUCUUUCAGGUAAGAAUAAUGUCAUACUUUGAUCUAAGACACGCUACCCCAUUAGUUGUAAACAUACUGAAAUCAUCUAUAGCCAUGCCUUGGGAAUGGGAUCCAUUUGGUAUAGUAAUUGAAAACUUCACAUGGGUCAAGUUUUGGCUUCUCACUAGCUUUUUUCUUUCUCUUCUCCUUCAUCUCCAUUGAAAUCCCAUUGGCAUCUCAAGUUGAUAUGGGAUGCAUACGCAUUCAAGUCAAGAACUACUCAGUUUCCCUAUUGGUUUGUUUCUUGGCCUCACUAUUCUUCCCACAAGAUGUCUUUUGGUAUAUCUACCCCAUAAUUAUGCUGCUCUCUUUAUGCACUACUUGUAUCUCUAGAAUAUGGAGGAGUUUUAAGCAAAAUGUUCAACUUCUGCUGCCAACAAUUCCUGUUCUUAACAUAUAUAUGACCACAACAAUAAAUAUUGAUGAGGAACCCGACUUAGAAUCGCAUGAGAUUGAACAAAUUCAGCAAGUUUAGGCCAAAUGCAAAUUUGAAGCUUUGAAUCAGUAAUUAACUAUAGUUAUAUGGAAAGAACUAUAAUGUUUUGAAGUUGUAAAUUUUUGUUAUUUGCCUCUUUUGUAUUACAUUUCUGUUAGCCUAUAGCGAAUAUAAUUAGAGCAAAAAAACGUGUUUUAGAUUUUCAGAUUUUUUUUAAUUAUUUUUUUGCCUCUAUCAAGGGAUGUCAAUUUAUAUUGGUACUAUAAUUUUGAUUAGUUGCACUACAUUUUAAUUGUAGUUCUCGUUAUAGCAAUCAUUUUCUUAAUUUUUUUCAUCAAAUUUUUAUCUUCAACUUUUCAUUAAUUAAUACAUUUUGUCAUUAAUGAUGAUUUACUUCAAAUAUUUUGUUCUAUGCUUUGAGAUGACGAAAAAUAUUUUUAGUACUUAUAUAUUUAUUUAAAAUAUGAUAAAAAAAAAAAGUCAUCGUACGCUAUUUAUUAUAAUAUAGAAUGACAUAUAUACCGGUUUGGAUCAAUAACGUUCACUUCAAUUUUCUACUUUUCAAAGUCUUCUAGCAUGAGCUGGAGAUUUUGCAGUCGACUGCAUCAAGCCUCAGGCCAUAGUCGUUAAAACAGUUCAAUUACGACAGGGCUACAUGCCACUCCAUAAAGAUCUGAACACUGGGCCAAGAUCUGGCACCGGUGCUCCCACCGCCACCGAGGCUCUUGUAGCAGCGGCGUUGCGACCUACACGACACACAAUCUUGAUCCCCCUUGGUCUCGGCGGACCAAGUACGACUCUUCGUGUUAGACUGAACACUGGGCCAAGAUCUAGCACUGGUGCUCCCACCGCCACCGAGGCUCCCGGAGCAGCUGCGUUGGACCUACAUGCCACUCGAUCUCGAUCCUCAUUGGUCUCGACUGACCAACCUGGGCCAAGAUCUGGCGCGGUGCUCCCACCGCCACCGAGGCUCCCGUAGCAGCGACGUUGCGGCCUACAUGCCACUCGAUCUUUAUCCCCCCUGGUCUCGGCAGACCAUGAAAUAAAUUGUAAAUUGGAGUAAUUUAUUGAAGUCAUAUAUUGUCCUUGAGAUGAUUGCUCUUUUUUGGUUGGCUUCAAUUUCUACAGGUUUCCAAUAUUUUUCCCAUUGAGAACGCCAGUUUGUGUGACACCAAAUACUCAUUUGGAGGUCCAUUUUUGGUGUUGUUGUGGUUCUACAAGGUAACUCGCUUAACUGGUGGGUUAGCAUAUUUUGUACGGGAAAAGCUAGGAAACCCAUAUUUGUGGGGUUUCUGUCACCGCCUCCCUGUUUUCCCCAGCUUUUCCAUUCUGUAUAGCAUCUAUUGAUCCUUGAUUGUGUACUGAAAAUGUUAAAAAGUGAUUGAAAAGUGACAAAAAGUUCAAAUUAAAUUUGCCCCUGUUUGAUCCCCAUUUUUAUCCAUAAUGCAUUUUUUCCAUCACAUCAACGUGGGACCAACACGCCAUUUUUUAUUGCAAAUUUGAAUUCAAAAGGCAUAAAAUUUCAACUUUACCCUUUGUAUCAAAACAAUUCAAAAAGUUACCAAAAAUCUGUUGAAAAGUCAAAGGACAGGUAAUGGAAAAGAAAAAGCCAUUUUCUCUGUGCAAGUUACAUAGGCUAUCAGAACAAUAAUUGGCAACGGUCCCAAAAUUAAUUUUUGACCGAAAUUAAUGGCCCCCAAACAGCCCCAGAGACCAAUAAUAAAAUAGAGUUGGUGCUAUUAACUGGUCAGAUAAUCAUCUCCACUUUGGAAUCCUAAAAUAUUAUCUGUUGCAAUGUAUUUGUGAUGUUUAAUUUAAAUAAUAUGAUAAUUAUCUAAAUAAAUUUUUAUGUUGGAUAGCCUCAAGUAAUGGAUAUACUGACAAUUUGUAUACUUGCUGCGGAAAAUGAUUAUUAUUAUUCUCUCACAAGUUUGAUACGAAAGGUGAGUAAUGUCUUCUAUGCACAACUCCAUUGGUCACUCACACUGGGUCGGGGUUAAGGGUUUUCUUGGCAAUGCUGUGGCAAAAGGAUCCAUUGCCAGAUGCGAGCUAGAGCAGAUGACCCAAAAUCUGUUGUAUACUGGUUAAAUUAAGAGUAUAAUUUUGAAUGCAGUUCUGGACAACCACUGAAUAAAGUGAGUAUGCAACUUCCCAUUUACCGGCUUCAUUGUUCAAACUAUAAAGCUUUACUGUCUUUUUUUCUGUUCCAAUUUUCGCUGUUCGUCCAAUUUGUGGAUAGUCUUUUUACUCAUUAUCAUGUUUGCCCUCUCACCAAUGCUGCCCUACUGCAUCACGGUGUAAUGCACUAUCCUUCGUUUCAAACCAUCCUUUUAACUCUACUCGUUGGGAAGAAAUUGAAUAUUGUUGAAGAUUACUUUUGUUUAUUUAUAGUCAAUGUGGCAAUCUCUCUCCGGGAGCCUGGAGGCUCCAUUUUUGUCACGAAGUUUGGAUAUGUUAUAUUAUAAAAUUAGAGAGUAAUUGAGUUUAUAUUAAAUCUUCUCAUAUAUAUAUAUAUAUAUAUAUAUAUAUAUGAGUUCUAUACAAGAUAUCAGACCUAUGAAUCUAUUUUAUUUGUGAUUAUUCACAGAUGGCAGAAGUAUUAGACAUUGGUUACUUGUCGAUAUAUAAAUACAUACCUUAAUAAAUAAGACGGUGCAACGUAAAAGUCGGGACUCAAUUCCUUUCUUUUAUUUCCUCUAAAAAUGUUCCUCUGUGGCACAUCACUACCAAAUCCAUUACAGAAGUGGACUUGCAAGUAUGCCUCCGUUAGCACAUUACUCAUCAAAAUCCGAGUAACAAUCUACUCCAUCAGAGUCAAAAUUAUGGGUCUCAUUCCCAAUCCUCGACUUCAACACAAAGCAUAGAAUAAAGAUAUACUAGGGCUCCCUUUGAGAGGAAUUUUGAGAAUUGAUUUUUUGACCGUUAGAAGAAAAAUGAGGUCCACCUGUGAAAAAAAAAAGUCAAAAAUUACGGUUCGAAUAGUGAAAUAACAAUCAAAAAAUCAAUUUUUUGGAGUAAAAAAUCCUUCCUAAACAGGCUCUAGAUGCCGUUAUAAUGGAAUUUAAUAUAAUAUACCAUUGCAAUGGUAGUUGGGAAACUACAUCACCUUAUCAAAAAAAAAUGAAACAGCAUGUGACCAUUACAAAUUUAAAGGAAACAACGGGUGACUAUUAAAUCACCUUAAAAACAAACUGAAGUUUAAAAGUACCUAAUAACAAAUCUACUAAUUUGAUAAUUCGAAAGAAUAACGAAUCUACGAAUUUCAUAAUUCUAAAGGAAAAAGAGAGAGAGAUACAAAAAAAGAAUAGAUAGAGUCAAGACUCAAGUUUGUAAGUUUGUUGCAGUAAUGGAUACAUAUUUAUAUAGUUUAAAAGGAGAGUUACAAUCUAAAUAAAAUAGACCCUUACAGAGUAAAUAAGAUUUAUCUAAGUAUCUUGAUAAGACUAAAUAGGCAUCAAUAAUUAUCUCAUAGUUUUACAAUAUUCUCUUCACUAAAAACCUAGUUUGACAAAAACUCAGUCGGGUCAAAACUACCAACACAAACAAAAAAAGUGUACAAAAAAUUACAACAAAAUUUGUAGUAAUAAAAUAUUGCCUCAUUAAUACCAUGUCAUGAAAAUCCAAUGAGACAAAACUUGAUUGAAAAAAAAAAAAGAAAAAAAGAGAAAAAAAAAGAGAGAGUAUAUCUACUCCUUUGAUUUCAAUAAAUAAAAAUUCUUGUAUUGAGUCAUCUAUGUCUUGUACGUCAUUAUUUUAAAUAUUUCAAUUCUGGUAAAAUAUGUUUCGUUUUGUCUUGUUAUAGCAUAAAAGUAAUAUUGUCUUCAUAGAAGAUUUUUAUAAAUCUUUGUUUGAUUUUAGACAACAUGAUGGCUUUUGAAAUGGCAAUAAUAAGCAAAAAUUAGACCUUAAUUUUUAUCAAUCUUAGAAACACGAGUCUUGAUUUUUAGACCUUCUUAAUUUGAAAUGGCUUUUAAGAACCGAACCAAGUAUGUUGCAUAAUACAAGGAUGACUUCUGGCUAAGGAUGGAAGGCCAACCAAAAUUAGAUACUUUGACUAAAAAAUUGCAAUAAUAAGCAAAAAUUAAGAACCUUAACUACAAUUAAAAUGUAGUGUAACCAAUAAAAAUUGUAAUACCAAUAUAACCGUCCUAAAAUAAAGCUUGGCAUCCCUUAGUAGAGACAAAAAAUAAAAAUAAAACCACCCGAAAGGGUUCUUUCAUCCUAUCUAAAACUUUAAGACAUGUUUUUUUAGCUCGAAUUACAUGGGCUAUAUGCUAAUACGAAAGAGGCAAAUAAUAGAAAUUUACUACUUUAGAACAUAAUUGUUCUUUCCAAAUACCUAUCUUUAAUUACCGGCAAAGGGCCAACUGAUUCAAAACUCCAGAUUUGCAUUUGGCCUAAAUUUGCUGAAUUUGUUCUAUCUCCUGCAAUUCUAAGUUUGGUUAAUCAUCAAUGUUUGUUGUUGUUGACAUAAAUAUGGUAAGAACAGGAAUUGUUGGUAGCAGAAGCUGAACACUCAGUUUAAAACUCCUCUACAUGCUAGAGAUACAAGCAAUGCAUAAGGAGAGCAACAUAAUUAUGGGGUAGAAAUACCAAAAGAUAUCUUGUACCAGUGAGGCCAAGAAACAAACCAAUAGGGAAACUGAGUAAUUCUUGACUUGAGUGCGUAUGUAACUCAUAUCAACUUGAGGUGUCAAUGAGAUUUCAAUGGAGAUGAAGGAGAAGAAAAAGAAAAAGCUAGUGAGAUGCCAAAACUUGAUCCAAGUGAAAUUUCACAGCACUCUCCCUUUCAGAAUGAAAGGGAAAAGGGACAAUAACAUUUUCUUAUGAAAAGGGAAAAAGGAGAAACAACAUUCUCCCUUUUCGUAUGAAAAGGGAAAAGGGAGAGUAACAUCUAAAGGUAGAAUCAUAGCACUCUCCCUCGCAGGGAUUCUCCUUUUUCAUAUGGUGCCUAGUGGCACCCCUGUUUCAACUGGGCAACCUCAGUCCGAUCCAAAUAAUAUAGCCCCCCCCCCUUUUUAGUUAUCCAAUUUGUGCUUCAAUACCGUAUCUGGCUUGACUUUAAUUAAGACUCAUGUUUCUAAGAUUUUCUCGAUCAAUCAUUCGCUAAGAAAGUUAAUUGGCGGACCAAAAUAAACUUAUAUUCUCAUCAUUCUUUAAUAUCUAUGUUUAAAACAAUAUUUUAUGGGAAUAUUAUAUUAAUACCUUUGAACAAUAUUUUAUUUUUUCUAAAAAAUCGCAAAUUUUUAUUUUGAAUAUUAUAUUAUUGAUCUCGAAAUAUCGUAAUGUUAUACAGUAAUAUUCUUUAACAAUAUUCUGUAGUUAUUCUUGGAUAAUUAUGAAUUUAUACACUUCAAUGUAAAAUAUUGUAUUGAUCUUGAAUUUUAACUAUACUGCAUUUAAAGAAGCAAAAAUUUAUUUAUAUUAAUAUUAAAGAAGAAUAUUGCUUUGAUACUCUAGAAGAGUCAAUAUUGCAUUAUGUGGGAGAAUAAACUUCCUGGAAAUAUGCUCAAUAUCAUUUGAUUGAAUAGUUGACCCACUCCUUGUUGUUUGAAGAAACCCUCCACUUCAAUACUAUUGAUAAUAACUUAGUACUAAAUUAGUAAGAAACCUACCAAGUUUCUAAAAUAUUUGUCAUGAUUGAUACUAUAUCGACAUUGGUAUAUUUGAAAUAAACAUUGCAUUGAACAAGAAGUUCAAUUAUUGAAUAUAUUAUUGCUUGACAUUAUUAUUUGGUUCAUCACUUGAUCAAUAAUAAUGCAAAAUUAAGAAUUCAAAUGAAUAUUCAGAAGAACUAUAAAUUCUUCAAUCUAAUGAAUUCCUAAAUAAUACUUUUUCCAUGUGUUACGAAUUGGUCUUGAUCAUCACUAGAUAAAGUUAGAACUAAAUAUCAAUAAUCUUGAAAUUAAAUAGGGCAUGUUGACCAUCUAGUUAUAAUUGUGUGUGAUAAAUAUAUUUACUAGAUGAUUGCAUUGUGUUUGCACCUGAACUUUGCAAAUUCUUUUAUUAAAUUUUAAAUUAUUAGCUUAAAUUUUAUAUUAUACCAUCAAGACAAUGUAUCAUGUCAAUGUUAGUAAAUCUACAUCCAAAUUAAUAUUUUGAUAAAUGUUGAUUGGGAUGACAAUAAAUUGUUUAACACAAUUGAUUGUUAAAUACCUCCAAUUAAUUUCUUAACUAUUAUUGUUAAAAACAAAGUACUUUCCAUUUAUGUUUAGAUAAUGACACAUUAUGCACCAAGCCAAUGUCAAAGUUAGAGCCUAACUUUUCAUUUAUGGUUAGAACCUAAUAUUUUUCAUCUAAUGAUUUUCUAAUGUGCAAUAUAUAUACCAUAGUGCAAUGGGAUAGUUAUUAAAGAAUGAUGAGAAUUUAAUUUUAUUUUGAACCCUUACAAAAUAUUCUAAACUCUCAAGGUUGAUAUUUUAUAACACAGUUUGCUCACGUCAAUUUAAUUAAAUAAUUCUCUCAAUAUUAAGGGAAGAAAUUGGUAGCUGAAAAUAUUACACAAUGCAUCAUAUUAUGCUGUCUAUAUCCUUGCACUUGAUAAUCUGAAAAAAUAAUUCAAUUGCAAAAUACAUUUCUGGCAUAUAAGAAAUUACUAAAAUCUCAUAUACCAACUAUAGACAUUCAAUGCCGUAUUGUUAUCUUAGAAAGACUAAACUAUUGCAACGCAUAAAUAAUAUGUUGAAACUUUGUGACAUUUGAUUCUUAAAAAAACAAAAAAGAAAAGAGAAAAAAGAAAAAAAGAAAAAAAAAACAAGAAGAAGAAAAGAGGUUUAUCCUAAUUAGGAAGCGUAUAUUCUUGGACGUCUCUCAUUAAAUUAUGUCAUUAUGAAAAAGAAAUAGAAUUGAAAAGAAAAGAAAAAGUUGUCGACAAUACUUUUGUACAUAAUAUACCACUUCAUAUUAUGAAUAGCAAAUAUAUCGAAAUAAAUUUGUUGAGCAUAUUGAUUGAAGAAAUGAUUAGCAAAAUUAAGAAUGCAAUCUUAUUAAAACUGAACUUAUUAGGGAAACCAAAAGCAUUUGGACCUAAAGUUCGAGGACCUAAAUGUAUAUACCCAUGCAAAAAGUAAAUAAGAAAAAUGAAGCGUAAUAUGUAAUGCACGACUUUUCAACAUAAUAAAUUUCGCCAUAGUGAAUGCAAUCACAAGUCAAUAUAUUGUUAUCAUCACGAUGCAUGAAAUUUGAAAUGUGAUUGGCAUCACUAUUAAUGUUAUCCUUGAAGAAUUUAAUAUGACUGAAACAUAUAAUUCAAGUAAUAUUAUUUUGAGGAGGAAUAAAUGUGUUGUACUUUUUUUUUUUUUUUUAAAUCAAGAUUUCGUCUCAUUGAAUUUCAUGAUGAGAUUUCUAAUGAGACAACUUUUUUAGUAUACUUUAAAGAAAAAUGUACUAUUUUUCCUUUAUUGGGAUUUUUUGCACAUGAUUUUUCUAGUAUGGUUUUAACGUGGCAUAUUCUUUGUGUAAUAGAUGUCUAAAACCCACUAGACAUUUACUCUCAAAAUAAUAUUCUUAUAUGUUACAAAUUGCCGAUGACUCUAGAAGAGAGCAAUAACACAAUCUAAUUUUCAUUGGAUCAUCAUGUUGUCUAAAAUCAAACAAAGAUUGAUAAAAAUCUUCUAUGAAAACAAUAUUACUUGUAUGCUUUAACAAGACAAAAUGAAACAUAUUUUACCAGAAUUGAAAUAUUUAAAACAGUGACGUACAAGACAUAGACGGUCGAUACAAGAAUUUUUAUUUAUUUAAAUCAAAGGAGUAGAUGUACACUUUUCUUUGUCAAUCAAGUUUUGUCCCAUUGGAUUUUCAUGACACAAUAUUAAUGAGGAAGUAUUUAUUAAUACAUAGUUUGUUAUAAUUAUUUGUACACUUCUUUCGUUUGUGUUCGUAGUUUUGUCCCACUGAGUUUUUGUCAAAUUAGGUUUUUAAUGAGGAGAAUAUUGUAUACAACUAUGAGAUAAUUAUUGAUGCCGAUUUAGUCUUAUCAAGAUACUUAGAUAAAUCUUAUUUACUUUGUAAGGGUCUAUUUUAUUCAGAUUGUAAUGCUUCUUUUAAACCUUAUAAAUAUGUGUCCAUUAUUGCAACAAACUUACAAACUUAGUCUUGACCCUAUCUAUUCAUUUUUUGUAUCUCUCUCUUUUUCCUUUAGAAUUAUGAAAUUAGUAGAUUUGUUAUCCUUUCAAAUUAUCAAACUAGUAGAUUUGUUAUUAGGUACUUUUAAACUUCAGUUUGUUUUUAAGGUGAUUUAAUAGUAACAUACUGCUUCUUUCUUUAUAAGGUGAUGUAGUUUCCCAACUACCAUUGCAAUGGUAUAUUAUAUUAAAUUCCAUUAUAACGGCAUCUAGUAUAUCUUUAUACUAUGCUUUGUGUUGAAGUCGAGAAUUGGGAAUGAGACCCAUAAUUCUCUCUGUUGGCGUAUUGUCACACGGAUUUUGAUGAGUAAUGUGCUAACGAAGGCAUACUUGCAAGUCCACUCCUGUAACGGAUUUGGUGGUGAUGUGCCAAAAGAGGUACAUUUUCAGAGGAUGUAAAAGAAAGGAAUUUGAGUCUUUCGUGUUGCACCGUCUUAUUUAGCUUCCAUUUCAGCCCCUUCUCAUUUUCUGCCAAUUGCUGAAGUCGUGUGUGCUACCUUGACCGUUGGAAAUACAUUUACAAUUUCACCCUUCUUCUCAACUUGCCGAUUCCUAAUUCAAAACUAUUAUAAGGGCAGUAUUGUAAUUGGUGUUGGCUAUGAUAGUAUUAUUUUAUUGUAAAUUCCACAUCCAAAUGACAAACUGGACGGUUCAAUGAAGUAAUAGACACGUUGAUCUAUCAAUAUCCAAUUGGACGAACGGUGUAAACUAGGAACAGAGAAAAAGACAGUAUAGCUUUAUAGUUUGAACAAUUGAGCUGGUAAAUGGGAAGUUGCAUACUCACUUUAUUCAGUGGUUGUCCAGAACUGCAUUCAAAAUUAUACUCUUAAUUUAACUAGUAUACAACAGAUUUUGGGUCAUCUGCUCCAGCUUGCAUCUGGCAAUGGAUCUUUUUGCCACAGCAUUGCCAAGAAAACCCUUGAGCCCGACCCAAUGUGAGUGAUCAUUGGAGUUGUGCAGAGAAGACGUCGCUCGCCUUUCGUAUCAAACCUGUGAUAAUUAAAUCAUAUGAAAUAAUAUCGGGUGCGACAUAGAGAGUUAAGUAAUUCCCAACCUAUAUUCUCUGUUUCUUGACCAGUAUUUUUCAGCGUAUCCUAGGACCAAAAGGACAUUCCAAAAUUAGAUGGAUCAAAACCACCAACCAAAAAACAAAUCUUGAUUCACUUUGUGCCCAUAGAGAUUAAUGAUAAUCUUCAGCAGCAAGUAUACAAAUUGCCAGUGUAUCCAUUACUUCAACGGAAAUUCUUCCUAAAAGAAGAGGAAGCUCGAUUGUCACAUACCACUAACAACUCACCAUCUUUAUUUAGACUUUCAAUGCCAGGGCAGAGCAUGAAGCAAAAUGGUAAUAACCAUAUACAUAAUGAAGGAAUGAUCCAUGUAAGAAGCCUAUGUACUUAAUAUGCUUCAAGUGUCAGGGUAAAGUAAAAAUAAAAAACUACUAGCGUCUACACCUCAGAAAAGUGUCAUCCUAGUACAACUAACAAUUGAAUAUUCACCAUCCCGAAAGACGUUGAACCGACCAUGCUAAUGAAUUUGCCACUCGCUUAAAUGUCCAUUUACCAGUAUAAUAUAAACAACACUGAAAGUUUAAAUGAGGUACAGGAAUUACCCUGAUGAGCCUGUAUUUUGGCUCGUAUUUCUUUGCACUCUCAACAGAAUCAUAGAUCAAGCCAAAACCAGUGGAAUUGCCUCCACCAAAGUGCGUCCUGAACUUAAAAACAAAUAUGGCAUUUGGAUCUUUCACUUCAUACAUCCUUGCCAAUUUCUNNNNNNNNNNNNNNNNNNNNNNNNNNNNNNNNNNNNNNNNNNNNNNNNNNNNNNNNNNNNNNNNNNNNNNNNNNNNNNNNNNNNNNNNNNNNNNNNNNNNNNNNNNNNNNNNNNNNNNNNNNNNNNNNNNNNNNNNNNNNNNNNNNNNNNNNNNNNNNNNNNNNNNNNNNNNNNNNNNNNNNNNNNNNNNNNNNNNNNNNNNNNNNNNNNNNNNNNNNNNNNNNNNNNNNNNNNNNNNNNNNNNNNNNNNNNNNNNNNNNNNNNNNNNNNNNNNNNNNNNNNNNNNNNNNNNNNNNNNNNNNNNNNNNNNNNNNNNNNNNNNNNNNNNNNNNNNNNNNNNNNNNNNNNNNNNNNNNNNNNNNNNNNNNNNNNNNNNNNNNNNNNNNNNNNNNNNNNNNNNNNNNNNNNNNNNNNNNNNNNNNNNNNNNNNNNNNNNNNNNNNNNNNNNNNNNNNNNNNNNNNNNNNNNNNNNNNNNNNNNNNNNNNNNNNNNNNNNNNNNNNNNNNNNNNNNNNNNNNNNNNNNNNNNNNNNNNNNNNNNNNNNNNNNNNNNNNNNNNNNNNNNNNNNNNNNNNNNNNNNNNNNNNNNNNNNNNNNNNNNNNNNNNNNNNNNNNNNNNNNNNNNNNNNNNNNNNNNNNNNNNNNNNNNNNNNNNNNNNNNNNNNNNNNNNNNNNNNNNNNNNNNNNNNNNNNNNNNNNNNNNNNNNNNNNNNNNNNNNNNNNNNNNNNNNNNNNNNNNNNNNNNNNNNNNNNNNNNNNNNNNNNNNNNNNNNNNNNNNNNNNNNNNNNNNNNNNNNNNNNNNNNNNNNNNNNNNNNNNNNNNNNNNNNNNNNNNNNNNNNNNNNNNNNNNNNNNNNNNNNNNNNNNNNNNNNNNNNNNNNNNNNNNNNNNNNNNNNNNNNNNNNNNNNNNNNNNNNNNNNNNNNNNNNNNNNNNNNNNNNNNNNNNNNNNNNNNNNNNNNNNNNNNNNNNNNNNNNNNNNNNNNNNNNNNNNNNNNNNNNNNNNNNNNNNNNNNNNNNNNNNNNNNNNNNNNNNNNNNNNNNNNNNNNNNNNNNNNNNNNNNNNNNNNNNNNNNNNNNNNNNNNNNNNNNNNNNNNNNNNNNNNNNNNNNNNNNNNNNNNNNNNNNNNNNNNNNNNNNNNNNNNNNNNNNNNNNNNNNNNNNNNNNNNNNNNNNNNNNNNNNNNNNNNNNNNNNNNNNNNNNNNNNNNNNNNNNNNNNNNNNNNNNNNNNNNNNNNNNNNNNNNNNNNNNNNNNNNNNNNNNNNNNNNNNNNNNNNNNNNNNNNNNNNNNNNNNNNNNNNNNNNNNNNNNNNNNNNNNNNNNNNNNNNNNNNNNNNNNNNNNNNNNNNNNNNNNNNNNNNNNNNNNNNNNNNNNNNNNNNNNNNNNNNNNNNNNNNNNNNNNNNNNNNNNNNNNNNNNNNNNNNNNNNNNNNNNNNNNNNNNNNNNNNNNNNNNNNNNNNNNNNNNNNNNNNNNNNNNNNNNNNNNNNNNNNNNNNNNNNNNNNNNNNNNNNNNNNNNNNNNNNNNNNNNNNNNNNNNNNNNNNNNNNNNNNNNNNNNNNNNNNNNNNNNNNNNNNNNNNNNNNNNNNNNNNNNNNNNNNNNNNNNNNNNNNNNNNNNNNNNNNNNNNNNNNNNNNNNNNNNNNNNNNNNNNNNNNNNNNNNNNNNNNNNNNNNNNNNNNNNNNNNNNNNNNNNNNNNNNNNNNNNNNNNNNNNNNNNNNNNNNNNNNNNNNNNNNNNNNNNNNNNNNNNNNNNNNNNNNNNNNNNNNNNNNNNNNNNNNNNNNNNNNNNNNNNNNNNNNNNNNNNNNNNNNNNNNNNNNNNNNNNNNNNNNNNNNNNNNNNNNNNNNNNNNNNNNNNNNNNNNNNNAUAUUGAUACAAGAUAUCACUUCAUAAGAGAAAGUAUUGCAAAGAAAGAAGUGCAGCUGAAAUAUGUAACCUCCCAGGAGCAGAUCGCUGACAUUCUCACUAAGCCACUCAAGCAUGAUGUGUUCCGCAAGUUAAGAACUCUACUUGGAGUGUCAAAAUCAAGUUUAAGGGGGGAUGUUGAGUAGUAAACUUGAUUUUUGGACUAAAUAAUAUGGGCUUAAGGAUUUUGCUUAUAGGCCCAAAUCAAUUAAAAGACCCAACAUGCAUAGCAUUUCUAGAAGCAUUAUCUAGAAAAAUCUAUAUAAAUAUCUACUAGAAAUAUCUAUAUAAAUAUCUAAGUAAGAUAUGUAGUUUUAUAAAGAAUAUCUAGAGAAUUCUAGGAAAAUAUCUUGAUAUGUGGUCUAGGUGUCUCUAGAAAAUAUGUGGACUAGAAUCUUCUUGUAAACACUAUAUAAAGGGGUAGUGCCCUCCAUUUUGUAACAAGCCAAAAAGUGUGUAAAGUCUUGAAUUUGAGAAAUACAAGUUUCCUCUUUUUUCACUUCCUUCUUCCUAUUAGUGUUGUCCUCUUAAAAGCCUUAGUCAAUCCAAGUUAGUAAACCCAUCUUUCCUCCAACAAGUUUUACUUCUAUAACCCACUGAUUUUACAGUUAACCUUUUCGGAAUCAGACAUGGACCCAGACGAGUACAAAAUAUAAGGACUUCUCGAUUCUCUGACAUAUAUACUUCAUUCCAUAUCUUACGUAAAACAACGAAGGUAGGAAAUAAAAAAAAAAGAAAAAAAGGGAAAUGAUGCAGAAAAAGCAUAAAACUAGCACUUAAAGGAAUAAUGCGAAUAAGUUGAAUUUUCCAUACAAAAUAGGCUAACCCACCAGUUAAGCGAGUUGCCUUGUAAAACCACAACAACGCCAAAAAUGGACCUCCAAAUGAGUACAUGGAGUCACACAAACUAGCGUCCUCAAUGGGAAAAAUAUUGGAAACCUGUAGAAAUUGAAGCCAACCAAAAGAAAGCAAUCAUCUCAAGGACAAUAUAUGACUUCAAUACAUCACUCCAAUGUACAAUUUCUUUCAUGGUCUGUAGAGAUCAAGGGAGAUCGAGAUUGAGUGGCAUGUAGGUCGCAUCGCCGCUGCUACAGGACCCUCAGUGGCAGUGGGAGCACCGGGGCCAAAUCUUGGCCCAGGUUGGUACGCCAAGACCAAGGGGCACCGAGGCCAGAUCUUGGCCCAGGUGGGUCCUCCGAGACCAAUGGGGGUCGGGAUCGAGUGGCGCGUAGGUCGCAACACCGCUGCUACCGAGGCCUUGGUGGUGGUGGGAGUACCGAGGCCAGAUUUUGGCCCAGUGUUCAGUCUAAAAUCGAGAUCAGGGGAGAUCGAGAUGGAGUGGCAUGUAGCUCCAUCAUAGCUGGAAUGUUUUAACGACUAUGGCUUGAGGCUUGAUGCAGUCGACUGCACGAUUUCUAGCUCAGGCUGGAAGAUUUUGAAAAGGAGAAAAUGGAAUUGAACGUUAUCGAAUCCAAACCGGUAUAUAUUUCAUUCUGUAUUUUAAUAAAUAGCGUACAACGAGAUAUUUUUUUUAUCAUAUUUUAAAUAAUAAAUAAUUAAUUACGAAAAGUAUUCUCUCCUCGUCUCAAAGCAUAGAACAAAAUAUUUGAAGUAAAUCAUCAUUAAUGAAGAGAUGUACUAAUUAAUGAAAAAUUGAAGAUAAGAAUUUAACUCCAAAAAAAUAAAAAAAAAUGAUUGCUAUAACGUGAAGUACAAUUAAAAUGUCAUGUAACGAAUAAAAAUUGGAGUACCAAUAUAAAUUGACAUCCUUUGAUAGAGACAAAAAAUAAAAAAUCUGAAACAUGUUUUUUUUGCUCGGAUUAUAUUAUAUUGGCUAUAUGCUAACAGAAAUGUAAUACAAAAGAGGUAAAUAACAGAAACUACUUCAAAACAUUAUUGUUCAUUUAAUUAUUGAUUCAAAGCUCCAAAUUUGCAUUUAGCCUAAACUUUCCGAAUUUGCUCCAUCUCUUGCGAUUCUAAGUCUGGUUCCUUGUCAAUAUUUAUUGUUGUAGUCAUAUAUAUGUUAAGAACAUGAAUUGUUGGCAGCAGAAGUUGAACACUCUGCUUAAAACUUCUUCACGUACUAGAGAUACAAGCAGUGCAUAAAGAGAGCAGCAUAAUUAUGGGGUAGAUAUACCAAAAGACAUCUUGAGGGAAGAAUAACGAGGCCAAGAAACAAACCAAUAGGGUAACUGAGUAAUUCUUGACUUGAAUGCGUAUGUAUCCCAUAUCAACUUGAGGUGUCAAUUGGAUUUCAAUGGAGAUGAAGGAGAAGAGAAAGAAAAAGCUAGCAAAACUUGAUCCAAGUGAAGUUCUCAAUUACUAUACCAAAUGGAUUCCAUUCCCAAGGCAUGGCUGUAUAUGGUUUCAAUAUGUUUACAACGAAUAGGAGUAAUUGGAAACUUCAGUUGGAUCCAUUUGGUAUAGUAAUUGGAAACUUUAGUUGGAUCAAGUUUUGGCUUCUCGCUAGCUUCUUCUUUCUCUCCUCCUUCAUUUCCAUUGACACCUCAAGUUGAUAUGGGAUACAUACGCAUUCAAGUCGAGAAUUACUCAGUUUCCCAAUUGGUUUGUUUCUUGGCCUCAGUAUUCUUCCCACAAGAUGUCUUUUGGUAUAUCUACCCAUAAUUAAGCUGCUCUCCUUAUGCACUGCUUGUAUCUCUAGCACGUGGAGGAGUUUUAAGUAGAGUGUUCAACUUCUACUGCCAACAAUUCUUAUACUUAACAUAUAUAUGACUACAACAAUAAAUAUUGACGAGGAACCAGACUUAGAAUCGCAGGAGAUAAAGCAAAUUGAGCAAGUUUAGGCCAAAUGCAAAUCUGGAGCUUUGAAUCAGUAAUUAAAUGAACAAUAAUGUUUUGAAGUAGUUUCUGUUAUUUGCCUCUUUUGUAUUACAUUUCUGUUAGCAUAUAGCCAAUGUAAUUCGAUCAAAAAAAAUGUGUUGCAGAUUUUUAGAUUUUUUAUUUUUAUUUUUUUGUCUCUACAAGAGAGAAACUUGGGUGGGGCGGUCGCACCAUCCACGUGGUACGAUUGCCCAACCCCGAGGCGCCAGCUCUGUAGAUGGCCCACAUACCCCCGGCCACCGCACCGCCACGUGGUGCAACCGCCCUACCUAAAUUUUUUUCCUCUAUCAAAGGAUGUCAAUUUAGAUUGGUACUACAAAUUUUAUUCGUUUCACUACAUUUUAAUUGUACUUCGCAUUAUAGCAAUCAUUUUUAAAUUUUUUUUGUCAAAUUCUUAUCUUCAAUUUUAAUACAUCGUGUCAUUAAUGACGAUUUACCUCAAAUAUUUUUUUGGGCGACUUUUGCGACAAUUUUCCCAUCGAAUCCCUUGGAGUUACGGGGAGAUGUUGGGUGUAAUUGAAGAGAAUAUUGUCGACUUUCCAACGUUAUCAAAAUUUGACGAUAAUCCAUGGUCAAAAGUGGCCGAAAUGUUGCAACAAAAGCAGCCCAAAAAAUUGAAAAUGUGGUUUUAAACUUCAGUGACCGUUUCUGUAAAUUUUUAAACUUCAAUGACCAUUUCUGAAAGUUUUUAACUUCAAUGACCAUCUCUAAAAGCGCCCUGAAACUUAAGUGACCGUUACUGAAAGUUUUAAACUUUAGUGACCGUUUUGUAAUUUUUGCAUAAGUUCAGUGACCGUUUUUGAAAUUAAUCCAAAAAAGUUUGCAUGUAGAGUUUCAUGUUUCUUAAAAUGUACAAACGAAUCUCACGAAAAACAAUUUAAAACAUUCUAAUUAAAGAAAAAUAUUUUAUAUUCUUAAUUAACCCACCAACUCCUACACCCAUCCCCUACAUUCCACCACCACUACAAAAUUAAUCAAAGAUAUAAUUAAAAGUAUAAUAAAAGCAAAAUAAUAAUAAUAAUAAUAAUAAUUAACAUAGAAAAAUAAAAAUAAAAAAAUUUAUGGCCCCAUUCGACCCCAUUAAUUUUAAUUGUAAUGGGGGAAAUAGAGUUUUUUUGAAAAAUGAAUGGUUGUAAAAGAAUAAAAAGUUUUCGAUUUACUUCCAAUAUUAUUUUAUUGAAAAUUGUGUGAUUUAAAAUAAGAAAGAAAAAUUUAAUUUAAUUUGAUGAGAUGUAAUGGGGGGCAAACGAGGGCAAUAUAAAAACGAAUGGCGCUUAUUCCUCAUCAAAUAAUUUUUAAACUUUUAAUUCUUUUUUUUAAUUAUUUGAUGGUGGUGUUGAUGGAGGAGGAUAUGCAUAGGGGUUGAGAUAGGGAUAGGUGGUUAAUUGGAAAAAUAAUUUUUUUACUAGAAUGUUUUAAAUUGUUUUGCAUAAAAUUCAUUUGUAAUUUUAAAAAAAAUUAUAAAAUCUAGAUACAACAUUAUAUAUAUAUGUCUAUCUAAAGACGAUGAUAAAUUAGUCAUUUUAUAAUGUUAUAAUAGAAAAAAUGGAUGGUAAGGAUCUUUUAAGCAAAGAAAUGUUGAUCUAAGUGUUCAAAUGUCAAAAUUGAAAUGAUAAGAACUAUUCACGCAAUUAAAGCAAACGAUAGGCACGUUUUUGCUCCAAAUUACACAUAUUUAACUGAAAGAUUUAAUGAAAUAUGAUGGAAAGCACCGAUUCUGCAAGAAACGUUUGAAAUAAGAGUGUAAAUGGCAAGUUUGAAACAAUAUGGACCAUUUUCACAAUGAGUACAAACGAUUGGAAUGCCUUUUGCUAAUUACCCUAAAGUAUAUUUACUCUCUAGAUAUCAAGGGAAUUUAGCCGUUGUCUAACACCAAUUAAAAUUUUAAUAUAUUUUUCUCUUUUCUUUUCAAUCAUGUAUUCAUCAAUAAAAUAAUAUUACAAGUAAAUCAAAAAAUUUCCUUCUUUUUUAACCACAAAUUCUUCCAAAAAAUACUAUUCCAUAAUACAGAUUACCAAAAUUUCUCAUUAUAAUGGAUGUAAAACAAAGGCUUAAUAUAAACUAAUUUACACUUUACUUUUAUAAUAAAUAAUGUUAUUCAUAGUGAAAAUUAUUGAUAGUCAUCCUUCAUAACAUACACAUGACAAUGUGUUAUUUGAAUUUUGAUGCAUAGGACGAUAAAAAAUUAUCAUAUUAAUGUAUCAAAUAAUGUCAUGUGUACGUCACGUAAGAUAGCUAUCGAUAGUCCUCACUAUGAUUAUCAUUACUCUUUUAUAAAUAUAACAUGUCCAAACGUGGCGACAAAAAUGGAGCCUCCGAGCUCCUAUAGAGAGAUUGCCGCAUUGACUAUAAAUAAACAAAAGCAAUGAAACUAUUGUGAAACAAUAAAAAUUUUCAAAAAUAAUCAAUUCUUCUCGACGAGUAGAGUUAAAAGGCUAGUUUGAAACGAAAGAUAGUGCAUUGCACCGUGAUGCAGCAGGGCAGCAUUGGUGAAAGGGCAAACAGGGCAACAUCUGUGAAAGGUAGUAAAAUAAAGGGAACCACCAUAAGAGAGGAGAAUUUGAUUUCAGAAUUUAAAAAUCCCAGCCUCUUAAUAAGUAUAACGAAAGGAGGGCAAGAGUAAAAAUGCUUAAACGAGAAACUUAGCUUGAACUAAACUGCUCUAUAUAGUAGAAAAUGAUGGAGUUAAAUGUUUCAUUGACCACCAAACUUUACACUAGUCACGAUUUAUUCACCGAACUUCAUUAAUUGUCUCAUUGGCCACUGAACUUUGCUCCGUUCAACUCCAUCACUCACCCGUUCAAAACCGUUAAUAGACGUGCUGAUGUGGCGAAUGGAAAAAUGACGUGGCCGGUUAACUCCUUCCAAGUAGUAAGUGAUUUGCCAACUAAGCUUCCACGUUAGUAAUGGAGCAUCCAAACACGGCAUUACCAAUUUCAUUUCACACGACUUUACAGAAUUAUAACCCAAUUAGUGUGAAAUCUCUCUCAAAUUACUUCCUCCCAUUCGCGAAGAACCCUAAGUAUCUGAACCAAGAUUCUCCAAAAAUCUCUCAAAUCCUAUCAUCCUGAAAUCCAUUUCUAUAAAAUCUCACAUGAAGUCUCUGUAUUCUGAAAAUCCAUUCAAUUCAUUCGGGUAAUUUCCCAUGAUAUGGUAGGACACGAAUUGAUGAUUUUUGAAUGGAAAAUUGGUUUUGUUCAUAACUCAUUUUAUUUUUGGUUUGCAUCUUCGUCUUUCCGAUAAUGGUCAAGAACACACUACUUUCUAGUCGUUAAUGGAGGAAAAACAUGUUUAUACCAUUCCUCUCCAUAAUCCAAUUAACACUCAUUUUGGGUAUUCUGCCAAUGUGAAUGUUGGGUAUUUUGUGUUUGGCUCUAAUAAAGAUAGCUCAUUGUUGAAACAGGUGACUGGAAAAAAGGCCCUGUUGAUGAAACUACUUUGACCGUUGAAGGAUUUGAAUCCUGAUGGAACUACUUUGCUUGUUGAUGAAAUGAAUAACACUAAAUUAAAAUUUGGUAGUAGGUGUGUUUUAGGUACUGAAUUUCAGAAAAAGCCUCCUAUUUAAACUCUCGAAUGAGAUGAAGGGAUUAAAGAUUGUUAAUUUUGCAGUGUUGCUGAGAAGAGUAAAAAAUUUGGCAGCAAUUCAUCUGUCUGUCACUGCCAAUAACAUAUUCAUGUUUGCAAUCAAUGGAAGGGGGGUAUCCGUUGCCUUUGUCCACCAUUUAUGGUAAUAGGAACUGGGACUGGUUGUGCUUGGAAACAGCUACAAUUUGCUUCAUUAAAAAUUCUGGUAAUUUGUUCUAUUUUACUGUAUUAUUUUUUAUUGCAUUCCCAGUUCUAUCAUUAUUUGUUUAUUUAAUUAAUGUUUAAUGACACAUCUUUAUGCUUUUUGUCCUUCAUUUAUCUCAGUUAAGUAGAGCCAUAUACCACACCAACAAUUUGAAGCAGAUCAAGGAUGGAACAAUUGUGAAGCACCUCUAUACUAAAGUUUUCAACCGAUUUCGUAUUUUGUAAUGUCCAAAGUUUUGUUUUUGGCAUGUAAAUUGAAGUCAGAUUGGGAUGGUACAAUGUUGUUGUUGAGAUAGAACAUAUUCACAUUUAUGAAAUCAGUGGGUUGCUGCUUCCAUAACUAUUUUAAGCACUAGACGUUGAGAUGAAUUAUGUUUAAAGCACUACAUGAAAUCAGUAUGUUGCUGUUGCCAUAACUAUAUUAGCUUUCGACUAGUUGAAGAAUGAGGUAUUAGAACAUCGUGGAACUUGUACGAAAGCAAGUCUUCGAAGUCUUAACUGCAGCAGUAAUGUAAUUAGACUACAAAUAUUAUAGUACUGUAACUAUCUUCAAAUGAUUCUAUAAUAUCUUGAUGAAUGAAACUAACAACAUCAACAAGCAUACCUACACAUGGUAAAAUAUCAAAUCAAAUCAAUUCAAUUUCCCGAAUAAUGGUAAGAUCCCAGGUGAACAAAAUCAAUUCAAGCUUUAUAAGAAGUGCAUACAACGGCAUAACUAAAAACACAUUACGAAUACAAUAACAUUGGUCCAACUUGAUGAAUAUUCUAACAUUUUUUAAAUCAACAACAUAGGCAGUCUAAUUUCACGGAGUUCUUCCCUUCUAUUUCCCGUUCUUUUCUACAUGACCUUUACCCUUGCGGAUAGUAACAUUGAAUGAGAUUUCCACUUCCUCUUGUUCGAUUAUGUGAAUCCUUCAAUACCCAAGACAAAUCUUCAAUUGGAAUGUCGGGCUGAGAGUUACCCGAACAAACACAUCGGUUUUCACCACUGGACUCACCCUCAAAUUGCACAUAUUCUUCCAUGCCAUGGAAACCUGCCAUUGCAGCCACGAACAGUAAGACAGUCAUAUGGUUAUCGUAAUGAAUUGGCAAUACACACACCAACAUUUAUGCUUACUACUCAUAAUUAACAUCUAGGAACUUGAAGGUAUGAGGGCAAUAUUUAAUGGAUGAGCUGUUUGUUUAUACUCUAGCACAAAAUUUCCAAACGAAAAUCAACAACGUGCUUAAUCCAACUUUGUGAAUAGCAUUAAGUUGUAAGCAUGGCAUUAAGAGUUCAUCAAGCUUAGAAACAUCUAAUCUCGUUCGGCAUAGUUAAUUCUGUCAUAAAAUUACAACUCAUUAACAUUUGGACAGUAACAUAUGAAGAAGAAAAUAUUCAACUUUAACAUUCAAAAUGUACUGCAAUUUCACCGUCUCACAUUUAAGGUGCUAAAUGUGAAAAUUGUUAAUAAGAGACUCAACUUUAUCAAAAACGCAAAACCAAAAAUCAUGCAUUUUCUAUUAAAGUUUGACAGACUCAACGUUAAGUGCUUGGUUUCACAUCAAUUAAACAUUGCAGAAACUUUUCCAAUUGAGUUAUCGCACAACUUCAAUUUUUUUCGGGUCGUGUCAUUAUAAUAAAAAAAAGCACAGAAAUAAGAACCAAGAAAUCCAUUAUUAAAUAAAGCCAAAAAUGAGUUAUUUAUCUAAAUUUCCAAAACAGAGGCAGAAAAAAAUUAUUCCACUAAGCCCACUAAAAUGGCGGAAUUACCUUCAUCAGAACCGUCCAUGUGUAUGCCUUCAAGUGUGUAGAACAAUUGCGGAUUUUUAGCUCACAUACUUCGCAAUUUGAUCGGGGCUAGGAUUCUUGAGCUGAAUUUGGGGAUCACGACAUAGAAGAGUGGCCUAUUGUUUGUUCACAUACUUUCGAUUCAAUCUUGCAGGUUGGGUGCUUGAGUUGCAGUUGGGAUUGCAACCUAGAAUAAUGGUCUAUUCUUUGUUCCCAUACUUCACGAAUCCAUUUUGAGGGUUAGGGUUCUUCAGGUGAACGUUGGGGAUCAAUUGAUUUGAGGAAGAAGCUUAGUUGAGAUGAAAUUAGGAUUCUUCGUGAAUGGGAGAGGAGCAAUUGAUUUUGAAGGAGAAUCUGAUUUGGCAUUUAGCCCCUGUUUGAUCUCCAUUAAAUUAAAUUACAUUACAUUACAUUUUUCUCUCUCCUAUUUUCAACCACACAAUCUUCCAUAAAAUAAUAUUACACGUAAAACGAAAACUUUUCUUCUUUUUCAACCGUUCAUUUUUCUAAAAAAAUACUAUUUUUCCCAUUUUCAUUUUCAGGUAAUGGGGGUCAAACAGGGGCUUAAUANNNNNNNNNNNNNNNNNNNNNNNNNNNNNNNNNNNNNNNNNNNNNNNNNNNNNNNNNNNNNNNNNNNNNNNNNNNNNNNNNNNNNNNNNNNNNNNNNNNNNNNNNNNNNNNNNNNNNNNNNNNNNNNNNNNNNNNNNNNNNNNNNNNNNNNNNNNNNNNNNNNNNNNNNNNNNNNGAGUUCAUCAAGCUUAGAAACAUCUAAUCUCGUCCGGCAUAGUUAAUUCUGUCAUAAAAUUACAACUCAUUAACAUUUGGACAGUAACAUAUGAAGAAGAAAAUAUUCAACUUUAACAUUCAAAAUGUACUGCUAUUUCACCGUCUCACAUUUAAGGUGCUAAAUGUGAAAAUUGUUAAUAAGAGACUCAACUUUAUCAAAAACGCAAAACCAAAAAUCAUGCAUUUUCUAUUAAAGUUUGACAGACUCAACGUUAAGUGCUUGGUUUCACAUCAAUUAAACAUUGCAGAAACUUUUCCAAUUGAGUUAUCGCACAACUUCAAUUUUUUUCGGGUCGUGUCAUUACGUAAUAAAAAAAAAAGCACAGAAAUAUGAACCUAGAAAUCCAUUAUUAAAUAAAGCCAAAAAUGAGUUAUUUAUCUAAAUUUCCAAAACUGAGGCAGAAAAAAAUUAUUCCACUAAGCCCACUAAAAUGGCGGAAUUACCUUCAUCAGAACCGUCCAUGUGUAUGCCUUCAAGUGUGUAGAACAAUUGCGGAUUUUUAGCUCACAUACUUCGCAAUUUGAUCGGGGUUAGGAUUCUUGAGCUGAAUUUGGGGAUCACGACAUAGAAGAGUGGUCGAUUGUUUGUUCAAAUACUUUCGAUUCAAUUUUGCAGGUUGGGUGCUUGAGUUGCAGUUGGGAUUGCAACCUAGAAUAAUGGUCUAUUCUUUGUUCCCAUACUUCACGAAUCCAUUUUGAGGGUUAGGGCUCUUCAGGUGAACGUUGGGGAUCAAUUGAUUUGAGGAAGAAGCUUAGAUGAGAUGAAAUUAGGGUUCUUCGUGAAUGGGAGAGGAGCAAUUGAUUUUGAAGGAGAAUCUGAUUUGGCAUUUAGCCCCUGUUUGAUCUCCAUUAAAUUAAAUUACAUUACAUUACAUUUUUCUCUCUCCUAUUUUCAACCACACAAUCUUCCAUAAAAUAAUAUUACACGUAAAACGAAAACUUUUCUUCUUUUUCAACCGUUCAUUUUUCUAAAAAAUACUAUUUUUCCCAUUUUCAUUUUCAGGUAAUGGGGGUCAAACAGGGGCUUAAUAAAAAGAUUUUGUUAAAUCGUGUUUGACGAAAAUUGCAAGUCGUGUUGGUAAGGUUUAAGGCUUUUUUGCUGUCGUGGGAGCUGAUUUGGUGAAAGAGUUAUUAUUUGUAGUGAUUUAACUGGCCAACUCAUUUUGCCGUCUUCCACAUAGGCACGUCUAUUAACGGUUUUCAUCGGGUGAGUGAUGAAGUUGGAUGGAUCAAAGUUCAGUGAUCAAUGGGACAAUUAAUAAAGUUCGGUGACCAACGAAACAUUUAACUCAAAAAGAUGUUACAGAUUUAAAAACUACGAUAACGAGUAAAGAGUCUAUAAACCAGAGUAAAACACUUUGAUCUAUCAAAUAUCCAAUUGGAUGAACAGUGAAAACUGGAACCGAGAAAAAGAUAGUAAAGCUUUAUAAUUUGAAUAAUGGAGCCGAUAAAUGGGAAGUUGCAGACUCACUUCAUUCAGUGGUUGUCCAGAACUGCAUUGAGAAGUAUACUCUUAAUUCAGUUGGUGUACCACGUUUUCUUCCGAAAUUUUCAAGAUUUUAUACUUUCUUAUUUUGUAGGUUUUUAGUUAAUUUCCUUAUUUCAAAAUCAUACUUUUAAUUAUCUGUGUUUAUUUUUAUUGUUAAAAUUAAAUUAAUUAAGGUUGUGUAAUCUAAAGAAUACAUUCCUCGAGGGAUCGACAGCUUGGACUCAAAAGAUCCACUUUAUUACUUGAACGCGAUCCGUGUACUUGCAGUGUACAAUUUUAGGGAAACAGUAACAAGUAAUCAAAAUUACAGGGAUGUUACAAGUAAAACUUGACAAUAAUACCGUAAUCAAGGAAUAGAAAGUCUUUCAAGCUAACGUUCAAGCUGAGCCACCAUAGCUUGGCAAUCCUAAAACAGACAUAAAUUUAGAUAAGAGUAGUUCUUAUUAUAUAAUUCAUCAGCAGCAAUCUUAAAACGGACAUAAAUUUAGUUAAUAGUAGGUCUUAUUAUAUUAAUUCUUCAGCUAAUAUAUAAUCAGUCCUUCCUAUAGCUUACUAGUUGAGUGUGAAAGGGGAUAGCAAAACAAAAAUAAAUUACUUUACAUUAUUAUUAUACAAAAUGGCUACAUUUUUGGCAGAAGGGAGAAAAAUACUAGGCAACCCUUUCAUUUCUGAUUAAACAGAUAUACCAUAAAAGAAUAAUUGACAUUCCUUCCCCUUUCAUCAUCCAACUGAACUUUCUUUAAGAAAAAAAAUAUCUUAAGUUAAAAAUCCAUGAGUAACAAAGAAUUUUUUCUGUUGUUUUUUCUCCUCUUUGCCCACUGUUUUUCCCGUCUUGGAUUUUCAAGUAAAUUUUGUGCUCUUGUUAUCAUUUUAUAUUGUCAAUUCUUGCUUUUUCGUAAUAUGUAAUUUGGAAAAAAAAAAUAGCCUUGUAAAAUAGGUAGUCCUGGUAAAGUUAGCAGUGAACAAAUAUAAUAUGAAUGUGAAAAACCAAGUGACAUCAAGCCAAAAAGCAGCUCGAUGAACUAUGUAAAUUUAUUAUUAUUAUGAUUAUGGUUAGUAGAUCUGUAGUAUGCUACAAAUACCUAGAUAUAUAAUUACUAAAGUCCAAGGUAAACCCAAUUUAUUUUCACUUGCAAUUCAACUUACAUAGUGAAUAAUUAUUCAUUAUCAACAACUUCUACAUCAUUAUAGAAAAAAUGAGAUAUCUAGGAACUAGGUAUUUGAUCAAUAAAAAUAGGGAACAUGGCUCAAGGGACUAACAAAAUUAUUAAUAAGAUGAGGCAAAUUAAAGAAACAAACAAAUGUAGGAAGUUGAAAUCUACUUAAGAAACAAAAUGUACUUCCCUAUCUGUCGGAAGGGACAAUAUGACAGAUACCAAAACAAGGCAAUAGCUUAAGAGAUUCAAAGAUUACAUAAUUAUAAGCCAGAAAAAAAAAAUAUUGAUGAUUUAUUGGAGUUGAUAAUGGGGGUUGACUAACAAACCUUAUGUAGAAACUAUACCAUUCGCAGUCAAACCAUGAUCCCUGAAUUUGAAACGGGCAUAUAACGAUUUGCAAAAGAGAUAAUGGUGUUGGAUUCCCAGUGGAUAAUGCACAAGUAGAAUCUGAUUCCCUGCGCACCGGGAUUGAACAUAGCUGCUUUAAAUGUCCCAUUACGAGAGAACAAAAACUCCCAGAAGCAUCUACAGAUUUGAAAUUUGAAGGAGUCAAAUUAGGGUAUGCGAAUUCUUUAAUGGAAAUACCAUAUGCGAGAACCAAUAAUAAGGCUAAAACACACAGAUCUAACCCCGAUUUUGCCCUAGUCGGCAUGGGCAACUAGCUGUGACGAUUGACAUUGCAGAUUUGACGGCGAGAGUAGAGGAAGAAGAGAUAUUACCUUUGUCUUAAGAGAUUAAGGCUUCCACUACCCCUUUCCUCUUGUUUUCAAAUUUCUACUUUUGAUUUGUACUUUUUUUUAUCUAAUUGACAAAUUAAUUAUAAGUAUGUUUAUAGAUAGCGUGUAGAAUAAUUUAAUUUAUAAUUUGUAAUUAGUUAAAAUUUGUAUGUUUUAUUCGAAAGAAUCAUUCUAUUAACUUUUAGGGUCAGUUUGAUUGUAAAGAUGAAAUUUGGAUAGAAAGAAAAUGAAUUUCAAGAAAUUGAAUUGUCUAGAAAUUAUUUUACUNNNNNNNNNNNNNNNNNNNNNNNNNNNNNNNNNNNNNNNNNNNNNNNNNNNNNNNNNNNNNNNNNNNNNNNNNNNNNNNNNNNNNNNNNNNNNNNNNNNNNNNNNNNNNNNNNNNNNNNNNNNNNNNNNNNNNNNNNNNNNNNNNNNNNNNNNNNNNNNNNNNNNNNNNNNNNNNNNNNNNNNNNNNNNNNNNNNNNNNNNNNNNNNNNNNNNNNNNNNNNNNNNNNNNNNNNNNNNNNNNNNNNNNNNNNNNNNNNNNNNNNNNNNNNNNNNNNNNNNNNNNNNNNNNNNNNNNNNNNNNNNNNNNNNNNNNNNNNNNNNNNNNNNNNNNNNNNNNNNNNNNNNNNNNNNNNNNNNNNNNNNNNNNNNNNNNNNNNNNNNNNNNNNNNNNNNNNNNNNNNNNNNNNNNNNNNNNNNNNNNNNNAAAAAAAAAACCAAGCAAAUGAAUUACAUGGAAAAUAUUUGCUAUCAAACAAAAGGUGGAAAAUAGACAAAAUUUUCCAUUUUCUAGGGAAAAGAUGCCCAAUCAAACAGGGCCUUAAUAUAUUUUUCCGACAGAAAUUGUGUAGUUUUAGGUCGAAAAAUUUUAAUAUAGUUUUAGUAUAUUAUUUUCAUAUUACCAAUAGAAUUUUAUCAUUAAAAUUUCUUAAUUUAGUUUUUAGGAUUUUGGUUUUUUUGUAUAUUAAAAAUUAAAAAUAAUCUUUAAUUAAUAGGUAGGAUUGAUUGAAAUUAAACGUAUACUGAAUUUUUAUUUUUAUUUUUGUUCUUUUUUUACAACAAGCAAUAAAUAUAGCAAAUCCUUGUUGCAAAACACACUUUCUCGCAACAUUUAAUAAUUGUUGCAAAAUGUUAUAUAGUAUGAAUUUUAACAAUAUGUACUGAGCAUUGCUAUAGAACAAAAUUUUUACAGUUCAAUAAACAUUGCAAAAAAAAAAAACGAAGAAUUAAAACUUUUGCAACAUUCAAAGAACAUUACAAAAAGCUAUAUAUCAAGAGUUUCAAAAACGUUUAUUGAACGUUGCUAUAGAACUUUAUUUUUACAACAUGCAUUAAACAUUGUGAAAAAUAAAACUUCUUACAACAUUCAAGAAACGUUGAAAAUGGUAAUAUUGACAACAUGCAAUUAAAAAAAAAAUAUUGCCAAUGCUUAAUUAAAUUAAUCAAUGGCAACAUUUUUCACUUUUUAAAAUGUUGCAAUAAACCCAUUUAGCAACAUACAAUUCACGAAUGUUGCCUUUCGAGUAUUGCAAAAGGCUAUUUUAAUUGUAGUGAAAAUUCUUGAUAUGUAUAUAAAAAUUCAUAUGUCAUUAAAUUAAUUUCGGUAUAUGUGAUAAAUGAUCAUGCUUAAAAAAAUUAUUACCUUCACUAAACUUUGAAAAAUUGAACUUUCGGACUGAUAACGUAUUAUGAAAAGAGAUAGAAAGAGCAGGGAGAAUAAAAGUCAAUAGACUUGUAUGUAUUAUAAUAAGAACUAGAGUCAUGUAUUCAUAAAGAAGGAUUAUGGAUACAAUGAUAAUAAUUUCUAGAUUUACAGGGGUACAAUUGUCAUUCACAAAUAAAACUUACUAUUUACAACAAAAUGGUCUUUUUUUAUUUUUAUUUUUCUUCAAUUUGCUCCUAAAAAGGUUUUUAUUGAUAGCAACAAGGUAAGUCGGACGUUCUCUUUUUUGAAUUUUAAGAGGCGCGUAGGACAUUUUGAUCUUCAUUUUUCGUCCCAUUUAUUUAUGUAUUUACUUAUUUAUAUAUUAUUAUGUGUUUGAAUUUAAAUUUUAUUCAAAAAAAAAUUUAAAAAAAAUAUUAUGAAUCAUGGAUGGGUUUGUGAUAGCGAUCAUGUUUCCUAACCAAAUGCCUAAUAAGGAUUAUAGAAUUCCCGACCUUCAAUCCACGUGGUGCGUUUCGUCCCACAUUGUCCUACCUUGAAUAGUAAACGAGGUGGGAUGCAGAACCUAUAGUCCCUAGUUUCGAAUUUUUAGUACUAGCUCUGAAUCAUUUUUUCAUUAUUAUAUUUUAUUUUAUUGUUAUGUUCUUCAUUUAAAUCAUAUUUAAAAAAAUUUAAUUAAAUAAAUAAAAUGAUGGAUGAUGGUUUUUUAUGUCUCAACCUACCCUACAUUCUAAAAAAUUGGAACGAAACAAGAAAGAUAUGAUGGCUACUAUCCAUUGUCAUCCUUAAUUUCAAAUUUUUGUUGGGUGAAGUAACUUGUGGCCAGAGGCGGUCUUGAGGGCGCGCGAGUUGAGUGACCGCACAGAGCCUCAAAUUUGUAGGGGCAUCAAAAAAAAUUUUGUUAUAAUUGUAUAUUUAUUUAUAAUUAAAUAUUUAAAAUAUAAAAUUUUUAUUAUUAUGCAAAAGAUAUUAAAAUUAAGAAUAAUGUGACUAACUAGUUAUAAUUUCCUUAAAUAUAAUAUUCUUAAAUAGUGUUUCUACCUUAAAUAAUGUGAGAGAAAAGAAAAAAGUCAAAAAGAGAUUAGGCCGACUAGAGAACUGAGAGAAGAGAGAAAAAUUGAGCAAUUGCCUUUUCCAAUUGUUUUUUAAAGAGAAGAAUUAAAGAAAACAACCAUCUUUUCCAAUUGCCUCAAAGAUAAUUGAGGCAGAGAAGAUAGAAACCAACCGUUUUUUUUUUUUUUUUUUUUAAAAAAUUUGAGAAGAAAAAACACCGUUUUUUUUUUUUUUUUUUUGAAGAAAUCAUCUUUUUUUCCAAUUAUCUUUAAUCUGGCUCCAAAAAAUUCUCUCUUUUCUUUAAGCAACGACUAACGAUUCAUAUUUUUCACUGAACUCUCACUAAAAAUUUGAAUUACAUGAUAUCUUUUCUUUAUUAUCUUUUCAUCAAUCUUAUUCUAUGAUUUCACUGAUUUGAAUUCUUUUUGCAAGAACUUGUUAAAAUUUGAAUUCGCUUUGCCUGAACGUGGGGACUGAGGAUUGAGAAAGCACGACAUAAUUUUCCUCCGGAGAAGUCGAACACUUACAAGUGAGUUUUUGUUUCUUUAUCAUAUUUUUCUUCAAUAAUUUCUUUGAAUAUUUAAGAAAAUAUAAAUUCUUUUUUAAUAUUUUUUUUCAACGUUCUGAAGAUGGAUUCAUCGUUUAUAAUUUAUAAUUACUAAUUUAAUAAGUGAAAUCAAUUAAUUGUGAAGAGAUUUACUGUUAAGUGAAAUCAAUUAAUUGUGAAAAUGGGUUCACUGAUCAUAAUUUAUAAUUACUAAUUUGAUAAGUGAAAUCUACUAAUGAAAUUGAUUCAUUGAAUGUUUAUUACUCUCUAACUCUCUUUUCAUUAAUUGGUGAUACACGGGUUUUCGAAGAAUCAAGAUUGAUUUAAUUCCUGUUGCUGUUGCAUCUGCUGAAAGAAAAUUUUCGAAAUUGAAGUUAUUAAAAUCUUAUUUAUGAUCAACCAUGUUACAAGAACGAUUGAAUGGAUUAGUUUGAUAUCUAUUGAGCAAGACUUUCUAAAAAAUAUAGAUCACGAAAGUUUAAUUAGUGAAUUUGCUUUUAAAAAUGCGAGAAAAAUUAUUUUUACAUAAUUUGUAUCAUUUCAAGCUUUACACUUGACUUGAUUUAUAUAUUUGUUUCAAGGUUUGCUUAUAUGGAAUUGCACGAAGAGGUUAGUGGUUUGGAUGGUUCUUUGUUGAUGACAUAUGAAUUUUGAUGAAGUUCGAGAGAUGCUUUUGAGUUUUAUUUAUGUUUUUCUUGUUUGUGUAUGUUAAAAAACAAAUAUUUAAAUAUCAUAUUUUUGCAAUGAAAUAAUAGUAUUGAAAUAUUUUUUUUUACUAUAUGUUUUAAUCACUUGAAGAGGGUACCAUUUUAAAAUUUCGCACAGGGCAUCCAAAAUCUUAGGGCCGGCUCUGCUUGAGGCUGGCGUUUUGUUAAAGAUUUCCUCAAAUAAUUUAGUAGAAAAUAAAAGCAAUGAAAAAUAAAUCCACUUGAAAAUAGGGUCAUCUCUAAAAGAUAAAUGUAUUAUCCAUUGAUUCCCAUUUUUCAGUUGAAACUCAUCUCUGUAGCAAGGCUAUGAUCCAAUCCAACCUUAAAAUUNNNNNNNNNNNNNNNNNNNNNNNNNNNNNNNNNNNNNNNNNNNNNNNNNNNNNNNNNNNNNNNNNNNNNNNNNNNNNNNNNNNNNNNNNNNNNNNNNNNNNNNNNNNNNNNNNNNNNNNNNNNNNNNNNNNNNNNNNNNNNNNNNNNNNNNNNNNNNNNNNNNNNNNNNNNNNNNNNNNNNNNNNNNNNNNNNNNNNNNNNNNNNNNNNNNNNNNNNNNNNNNNNNNNNNNNNNNNNNNNNNNNNNNNNNNNNNNNNNNNNNNNNNNNNNNNNNNNNNNNNNNNNNNNNNNNNNNNNNNNNNNNNNNNNNNNNNNNNNNNNNNNNNNNNNNNNNNNNNNNNNNNNNNNNNNNNNNNNNNNNNNNNNNNNNNNNNNNNNNNNNNNNNNNNNNNNNNNNNNNNNNNNNNNNNNNNNNNNNNNNNNNNNNNNNNNNNNNNNNNNNNNNNNNNNNNNNNNNNNNNNNNNNNNNNNNNNNNNNNNNNNNNNNNNNNNNNNNNNNNNNNNNNNNNNNNNNNNNNNNNNNNNNNNNNNNNNNNNNNNNNNNNNNNNNNNNNNNNNNNNNNNNNNNNNNNNNNNNNNNNNNNNNNNNNNNNNNNNNNNNNNNNNNNNNNNNNNNNNNNNNNNNNNNNNNNNNNNNNNNNNNNNNNNNNNNNNNNNNNNNNNNNNNNNNNNNNNNNNNNNNNNNNNNNNNNNNNNNNNNNNNNNNNNNNNNNNNNNNNNNNNNNNNNNNNNNNNNNNNNNNNNNNNNNNNNNNNNNNNNNNNNNNNNNNNNNNNNNNNNNNNNNNNNNNNNNNNNNNNNNNNNNNNNNNNNNNNNNNNNNNNNNNNNNNNNNNNNNNNNNNNNNNNNNNNNNNNNNNNNNNNNNNNNNNNNNNNNNNNNNNNNNNNNNNNNNNNNNNNNNNNNNNNNNNNNNNNNNNNNNNNNNNNNNNNNNNNNNNNNNNNNNNNNNNNNNNNNNNNNNNNNNNNNNNNNNNNNNNNNNNNNNNNNNNNNNNNNNNNNNNNNNNNNNNNNNNNNNNNNNNNNNNNNNNNNNNNNNNNNNNNNNNNNNNNNNNNNNNNNNNNNNNNNNNNNNNNNNNNNNNNNNNNNNNNNNNNNNNNNNNNNNNNNNNNNNNNNNNNNNNNNNNNNNNNNNNNNNNNNNNNNNNNNNNNNNNNNNNNNNNNNNNNNNNNNNNNNNNNNNNNNNNNNNNNNNNNNNNNNNNNNNNNNNNNNNNNNNNNNNNNNNNNNNNNNNNNNNNNNNNNNNNNNNNNNNNNNNNNNNNNNNNNNNNNNNNNNNNNNNNNNNNNNNNNNNNNNNNNNNNNNNNNNNNNNNNNNNNNNNNNNNNNNNNNNNNNNNNNNNNNNNNNNNNNNNNNNNNNNNNNNNNNNNNNNNNNNNNNNNNNNNNNNNNNNNNNNNNNNNNNNNNNNNNNNNNNNNNNNNNNNNNNNNNNNNNNNNNNNNNNNNNNNNNNNNNNNNNNNNNNNNNNNNNNNNNNNNNNNNNNNNNNNNNNNNNNNNNNNNNNNNNNNNNNNNNNNNNNNNNNNNNNNNNNNNNNNNNNNNNNNNNNNNNNNNNNNNNNNNNNNNNNNNNNNNNNNNNNNNNNNNNNNNNNNNNNNNNNNNNNNNNNNNNNNNNNNNNNNNNNNNNNNNNNNNNNNNNNNNNNNNNNNNNNNNNNNNNNNNNNNNNNNNNNNNNNNNNNNNNNNNNNNNNNNNNNNNNNNNNNNNNNNNNNNNNNNNNNNNNNNNNNNNNNNNNNNNNNNNNNNNNNNNNNNNNNNNNNNNNNNNNNNNNNNNNNNNNNNNNNNNNNNNNNNNNNNNNNNNNNNNNNNNNNNNNNNNNNNNNNNNNNNNNNNNNNNNNNNNNNNNNNNNNNNNNNNNNNNNNNNNNNNNNNNNNNNNNNNNNNNNNNNNNNNNNNNNNNNNNNNNNNNNNNNNNNNNNNNNNNNNNNNNNNNNNNNNNNNNNNNNNNNNNNNNNNNNNNNNNNNNNNNNNNNNNNNNNNNNNNNNNNNNNNNNNNNNNNNNNNNNNNNNNNNNNNNNNNNNNNNNNNNNNNNNNNNNNNNNNNNNNNNNNNNNNNNNNNNNNNNNNNNNNNNNNNNNNNNNNNNNNNNNNNNNNNNNNNNNNNNNNNNNNNNNNNNNNNNNNNNNNNNNNNNNNNNNNNNNNNNNNNNNNNNNNNNNNNNNNNNNNNNNNNNNNNNNNNNNNNNNNNNNNNNNNNNNNNNNNNNNNNNNNNNNNNNNNNNNNNNNNNNNNNNNNNNNNNNNNNNNNNNNNNNNNNNNNNNNNNNNNNNNNNNNNNNNNNNNNNNNNNNNNNNNNNNNNNNNNNNNNNNNNNNNNNNNNNNNNNNNNNNNNNNNNNNNNNNNNNNNNNNNNNNNNNNNNNNNNNNNNNNNNNNNNNNNNNNNNNNNNNNNNNNNNNNNNNNNNNNNNNNNNNNNNNNNNNNNNNNNNNNNNNNNNNNNNNNNNNNNNNNNNNNNNNNNNNNNNNNNNNNNNNNNNNNNNNNNNNNNNNNNNNNNNNNNNNNNNNNNNNNNNNNNNNNNNNNNNNNNNNNNNNNNNNNNNNNNNNNNNNNNNNNNNNNNNNNNNNNNNNNNNNNNNNNNNNNNNNNNNNNNNNNNNNNNNNNNNNNNNNNNNNNNNNNNNNNNNNNNNNNNNNNNNNNNNNNNNNNNNNNNNNNNNNNNNNNNNNNNNNNNNNNNNNNNNNNNNNNNNNNNNNNNNNNNNNNNNNNNNNNNNNNNNNNNNNNNNNNNNNNNNNNNNNNNNNNNNNNNNNNNNNNNNNNNNNNNNNNNNNNNNNNNNNNNNNNNNNNNNNNNNNNNNNNNNNNNNNNNNNNNNNNNNNNNNNNNNNNNNNNNNNNNNNNNNNNNNNNNNNNNNNNNNNNNNNNNNNNNNNNNNNNNNNNNNNNNNNNNNNNNNNNNNNNNNNNNNNNNNNNNNNNNNNNNNNNNNNNNNNNNNNNNNNNNNNNNNNNNNNNNNNNNNNNNNNNNNNNNNNNNNNNNNNNNNNNNNNNNNNNNNNNNNNNNNNNNNNNNNNNNNNNNNNNNNNNNNNNNNNNNNNNNNNNNNNNNNNNNNNNNNNNNNNNNNNNNNNNNNNNNNNNNNNNNNNNNNNNNNNNNNNNNNNNNNNNNNNNNNNNNNNNNNNNNNNNNNNNNNNNNNNNNNNNNNNNNNNNNNNNNNNNNNNNNNNNNNNNNNNNNNNNNNNNNNNNNNNNNNNNNNNNNNNNNNNNNNNNNNNNNNNNNNNNNNNNNNNNNNNNNNNNNNNNNNNNNNNNNNNNNNNNNNNNNNNNNNNNNNNNNNNNNNNNNNNNNNNNNNNNNNNNNNNNNNNNNNNNNNNNNNNNNNNNNNNNNNNNNNNNNNNNNNNNNNNNNNNNNNNNNNNNNNNNNNNNNNNNNNNNNNNNNNNNNNNNNNNNNNNNNNNNNNNNNNNNNNNNNNNNNNNNNNNNNNNNNNNNNNNNNNNNNNNNNNNNNNNNNNNNNNNNNNNNNNNNNNNNNNNNNNNNNNNNNNNNNNNNNNNNNNNNNNNNNNNNNNNNNNNNNNNNNNNNNNNNNNNNNNNNNNNNNNNNNNNNNNNNNNNNNNNNNNNNNNNNNNNNNNNNNNNNNNNNNNNNNNNNNNNNNNNNNNNNNNNNNNNNNNNNNNNNNNNNNNNNNNNNNNNNNNNNNNNNNNNNNNNNNNNNNNNNNNNNNNNNNNNNNNNNNNNNNNNNNNNNNNNNNNNNNNNNNNNNNNNNNNNNNNNNNNNNNNNNNNNNNNNNNNNNNNNNNNNNNNNNNNNNNNNNNNNNNNNNNNNNNNNNNNNNNNNNNNNNNNNNNNNNNNNNNNNNNNNNNNNNNNNNNNNNNNNNNNNNNNNNNNNNNNNNNNNNNNNNNNNNNNNNNNNNNNNNNNNNNNNNNNNNNNNNNNNNNNNNNNNNNNNNNNNNNNNNNNNNNNNNNNNNNNNNNNNNNNNNNNNNNNNNNNNNNNNNNNNNNNNNNNNNNNNNNNNNNNNNNNNNNNNNNNNNNNNNNNNNNNNNNNNNNNNNNNNNNNNNNNNNNNNNNNNNNNNNNNNNNNNNNNNNNNNNNNNNNNNNNNNNNNNNNNNNNNNNNNNNNNNNNNNNNNNNNNNNNNNNNNNNNNNNNNNNNNNNNNNNNNNNNNNNNNNNNNNNNNNNNNNNNNNNNNNNNNNNNNNNNNNNNNNNNNNNNNNNNNNNNNNNNNNNNNNNNNNNNNNNNNNNNNNNNNNNNNNNNNNNNNNNNNNNNNNNNNNNNNNNNNNNNNNNNNNNNNNNNNNNNNNNNNNNNNNNNNNNNNNNNNNNNNNNNNNNNNNNNNNNNNNNNNNNNNNNNNNNNNNNNNNNNNNNNNNNNNNNNNNNNNNNNNNNNNNNNNNNNNNNNNNNNNNNNNNNNNNNNNNNNNNNNNNNNNNNNNNNNNNNNNNNNNNNNNNNNNNNNNNNNNNNNNNNNNNNNNNNNNNNNNNNNNNNNNNNNNNNNNNNNNNNNNNNNNNNNNNNNNNNNNNNNNNNNNNNNNNNNNNNNNNNNNNNNNNNNNNNNNNNNNNNNNNNNNNNNNNNNNNNNNNNNNNNNNNNNNNNNNNNNNNNNNNNNNNNNNNNNNNNNNNNNNNNNNNNNNNNNNNNNNNNNNNNNNNNNNNNNNNNNNNNNNNNNNNNNNNNNNNNNNNNNNNNNNNNNNNNNNNNNNNNNNNNNNNNNNNNNNNNNNNNNNNNNNNNNNNNNNNNNNNNNNNNNNNNNNNNNNNNNNNNNNNNNNNNNNNNNNNNNNNNNNNNNNNNNNNNNNNNNNNNNNNNNNNNNNNNNNNNNNNNNNNNNNNNNNNNNNNNNNNNNNNNNNNNNNNNNNNNNNNNNNNNNNNNNNNNNNNNNNNNNNNNNNNNNNNNNNNNNNNNNNNNNNNNNNNNNNNNNNNNNNNNNNNNNNNNNNNNNNNNNNNNNNNNNNNNNNNNNNNNNNNNNNNNNNNNNNNNNNNNNNNNNNNNNNNNNNNNNNNNNNNNNNUUUUUUGUGUAUUAUAAUUUUAAAAUUUAAUUUUUUUUAUUAAAGGGACCAUGUUUUAAAAAUAUCACACAGUACACCCAAAAUAUUAAGGUCAACCCUACAUCUAAGUACUACUGUGCAACUUCUCCAUUUCCUAGGUAUCAAAAAAUCUUCACCUCUAGUCCUCUACAACCACGUAUUAUGUUAAUUGCUGAAGAUUAUAUUUACGGUCUGUUUAAGCCACAUUAUUUCAAAAAAACAAAUUUUUAAAUAAUGAUUUGACAUUAUUUCAAUCACACAUUUUUCAAUAAAAUAAUAUUACACGUAAAUAAAAAAAAUUCUUUAUUUCUUAACCACACAUUUCCCAUCAAUACAUUAUUCAAGAAUGCAUUAUUACCAAAAUAAUGUGGCUCAAACACCCCCUCAGUAGCAAAUAUAAUAGAAUAAAAUUCUAUGACAUACUUAGAUGAAAAUUAAUUCAAUACAGCCUGGCGCUCAAGUCAUGCGAUAAAGUAUAUUGGGUGUGGAAGAGAUAUAGAUACGGUUUACAAAAACUUUCCUUCAAAGGAAAGGGCAGAGUAUUUAUAGGUGGAAGAAGCUCUAUCUGAAUGCUUAACACGUGACUUUAUUUUAAUACCUCAUUUGUCAUGCUUAAUUAUGUCAAUUUAUAGCCAUCAUAGGUAUGGCUUUCCAUAGUCAGAGUAUAAGCUAAAAACGAAGUAUCGUUGUUGUAGAGUUGUUACAUCAAUUAUUUUGUACGGUGUACUUUGGGCAACUUUGUCAAAGCGAGGCUUGUAGUAGAUGUUCAUCACCUAGAUAUAUACUGCAGUGGAGAGGUGAUGCAUCGCCUCGAAUAACAAUAACAUUCUAAACAAUGCAUCUAAAAGUAUCUCAUGAUCGUAUCAAAAAAGGCAUGAAGAGGAGACGAUGGGAAUUUGAGUGUUUCCCUUGUAUAGCCUCUUCUUAUUUGGCUGUCAUGUGGCCCACAUUGUAGAAAAAUAUGUAACAAUAUCACUUUUAACAAAAUCUAUUCUCAAACAAUGGAGCUUAAAUAGGGUUACCAGUUUUAUGUUACUGAAAUUUUUUUCAAAAGCUUUGUUGAAAAUUAAUUUUUUUUCUUUUUAUUAUUUUUUUAUUUUUAGGAGAGUUAGCGGCUAGAGAAUAAAUGUAUGUAAAACAAAGUUGUCAGAAUCAAAUGCUAAGAGAGCAAAUCUCUUUGCAAGAAAGAAGGAAAGGAUAAGGCUGCCAAAAUUAUGGUGAUGAUGGAAAUGGAAGCAAGAAUAUUCAUAAUAUAAGUGAAUUUCUUGGUCAUCCAUGCGGGAUUAAAGCUAUUUUGAACACACGGCCUUCGUGAAGUUAUCAAUCCCUCAAUUCUAUUGUUUACUGGUGCAAAUUCAUUUUUUCCCGUGUUAAAAAUUUUCCUUUUUGUUAAAGUUGAAUCUCAUCGUCUAAUAACAUUAGCUUAUGGGGAUAGGACAAAUUUAUUUACGGAAUUUCUGAAGAUCCUUGAGUAACUUGGAUUCAUUUUUCAAUUUAUGAGAUGUGCGUAAUUUUGCUCAUCAAACCACAUCAUCUAAAAGCUUAAGCUAGCAAUUAGGACACAAAUUUAUUUAUUUAUUUAAAUCUUCUUCGACAUUUUGGACAUGAAAUGUGAUUCCUACAACAAAUGUGCACACCUCCAAUUUAUUAAAUGAUAGACUACGAAACUGUAUUUUGAGUGGCAAUUGGUACGCAAGAGUGGUUAACUAAUGGAUUUGUAAUUUCGACAUCUAAGUUCUGCAAGGCCAAUACAAACCGAUAGAUAGAACAUUUAUUUUUGUCUGCAUUAAGCAUCACAGGCUCAAUAACCGAGAAUUGCAUCCACUUUACACCUGUUACAAUGUGGAAGCGGAAUUGUCCAGAAAUUAAAUAAAAAAAAUUUAAUUAAAUAAACAAGAUCGUUUAUGUAACAUCCCUAAAAUAUUUUUAGGGAAAAAAAUUAUUAUCUAUUCUAUAUAUUAUAUUUGAUUAUUUUGAAAAUGACGGACUUGGAUGAAGUAUAUUUUAAAUUAUUAUAUUCUUGAGGCAAAUAGUUGGAUUUUGAUAGAGUGAUGAUAAGUAUAUCAAAUUACACUCGUUGGAGAGCCCGUAUUUAAUUAUGUAUUUUAGGCUCGAGAAAAAGUUAAUUCUAAUAAGUUUGGCUCAAGAUAUUGAAGGUUGUAGAAGUUGUUAUUUAAUUGGAAUUAGAAUUUACCAACUUUUAAAAGGGGUAGCCACGUGUGCUCUUCUAUAGAGAUAAGGUGGUGGAUAUGAGAUUGUAGUUAAUUGUUAUUUUAUCACAUUUUGAUGACGAUUAAUGUAAAUUGAUAAUUAUAAUCCGAUUUUGAUAUAAUUCAACUCCGGAUAUUGUUACUAAAUUAAAUUAAAAUAUUAGUCCUUACGUUUAUUUUACCUGCACUACAUGAGUGGAUAAGGUGAUUGGGAUACUUCUAAUUAAGCAAAAUCCAAAUUAAAACUAAUCUAGAACUUAUCAUAUGAAUUAGAUAAAUUUUCCAUCUCCUGCUUGGCCAUGCGUUUAAAGAUUUAUUGGUUUUAAAAAUUAUUUUCACCAACUAGAGAUUUUACAGAGAUGAGAUAAAAUUUUAUGAAGUCAUUUUUAUCCUAUAUUUUGAUAAAGGAUAAAGGUUUAAAUGUAAUCUUAUAUGUGAGAUAUUCAAGUACUAUCAUACAUGUGUCAUAUCAUGGUUUGGGUUAUCAAAUUUUAAAGUUUAUCCAAGUGGUACACGUUUUCCCCACCGUCAAAAUUGUACCAUGACUCAACUACCAUUUUUUUACUAUAAAUAAUGUGCAUUUGUACCUUGAUUUUCCACCAAGAAAUUUUUACAUAUCAGACAAUAGAGAGAGAGAGAGAGAGAGAGAGAGAGAAUAAUUUCGAAGAUUCAGUCACCAAAAUUUUGAUGCAAUCGAGAAAGUAGAAUAUGGGGGUGUUUGAUAGACAUUUUUAUGUAAAAAUACAUUUUAGAAUAGCAAAUUGAUGUGAAAUGUGUGGUUGAAAAAUGAAGAAAAGUUUUUGAUUUACGUGUAAUAUUAUUUUAAUAAAGAAUGUGUAGUUGAAAAGAAGAGAGAGAAAAAUACAUUUUAAAUAAAAUAUGAAUGAAUUACCUGCAGACAUUCGUUUUUUAAAAGAAAUAUGAAAUCCUACAGGAUUAUAAGAAGGCCUAAGAUGGGUGUCACUUGGUCACGAAAUUACUCCAUAAGAUCAAAGUGGUAUGAAAUGCAUAAUUUUUAUUGUUAUAUAUUUGUAUAUGAAAAUUGCACGUAUCUUAUUGGGUGUUUUUGAAUACUCACUCUUACAAAUUUUUAAAGGUUAGUUCAAUUUAAUUGAAGUUGUGACGAAUUGGUGACGCAGACAGCCAAGUGACUCGAAGAAAGGAAAAAGAAAUUAAAUAUUUAGUUUCCUUUUUUUUCUGUAAUUCUAAAUUAUUUGCUAGUUUUAUUUGCUCAAAGACUCUUUUGGUUAUUUUAAAUUGAUAUUUAUCGUUGAAAAUAAAGAAUUUCCUUUUAUUUAAAUCGUUCCACAAUUAUUAUAAAAGAAAACAGCGUUUUUCUUAACAUCCCGGCGUUUUUGGAAAUUUGGGACGUUGCAGUUUAGAUGUCCACGUAUAUGUUAAAUCAAGGAUAAAGAAUUUGAAUUUUUACCUAAAUUGAUGACUAAUUAUUUAAUUAAUUCAAAUCACGAAAUUCCACCUUUUUGGAUCAUAGACUUCUAGCUUUUAAUUGCAAGAACUUGAUACAUCAAAUCUCCAAGUCUUCUAUUGUAUUCUCCAAAAUCAAAACUACACCAAUGAGUGGACGUUUUUUUUAAUUAUAUCAAGAAACUAAUUUUUAAACUGACAAUUGAAUAAAAGCAAGAAAAAUAAUAUUUUCUCUCUUUUUUCCUCUCUUCAAUUUGAACACUAUGGAUUUAUGUAAAAUGAUUAGAAAUUCUAGGUUCUAUAUAAUCUCUAAUUAUAGAGACAGAAUAGUUCUAAUUCUUGUACAAUAAUAAUUUCACAUUCAAAUAAGAGUUCUAAUUAAAAUCUAAGUAGGAGUUUUACCUAAAGUCCAAAUUCAAUUAGUACACAUUUAAUUACAUGUGUAGUCCUAAAACUUUAUAAUUAAGUUUACAAAUUUCAUAAUAAUUAUAACUAAGUACAAAAUUUUAUUGUAAUUACAGUUAAUCUCAAAAUUAUUACAUUUACUAUAAUUCAAUUCCAAUAAUUUAUGGAGCUGACAUAGGGACCUGAUAUAACAUAUAUUAUCCAAACUCCAAUAAUUAGAUAUGUCUAGUAGACUUUAGACCACACAAUCUAAUUAUUAGUCUUUGCUUUUUCCACCAAAGACACAGAAACCAAUAAAUUUGUAAUGAUUUCCUCUAACCUGUUGUAUAUGUAUUUUAUCCUCGUCCGAGAUUUAAUAAUUAGGUACGAGCAUAAAUGACUGUUUUGCCCUUUUAUUUAUUAUCACUAGCUUAAGUAUCAUUUUCUUCAACGAUUAUGUAAACUAAUCACAGAUGUCGAAGUUUAACCGUCGCUAAACACUUAGCUCAAAUUUUAAUCAUUCAACAGUAAAUACUUAAGUAAUCACUCUACCCAUUUUUCAAGGUGACGAUUCUCGACACGAAUUCAUGUUCUCUACCUUGCUUAUUUUCAAAUUCUUAGCUCAUCAAGAUAUUUAACCAAUCAAAUUAAUAUCACCCAUUGAUGAUCAAAGAACCACUAAAAUCACGAAAAAAUAUACAUAACACUAUUAAGGGAUUUAUAUGAAAUACACAGCGAUCAAGUGAAAUUUAAUUCUUUGCACGGUUAUGCUGUAGGAAUUAAAUUUGACACGUGAUCCGUUCAAUAGACUACAAGUGUACUAGUACCACCUUUAACUAUUUUUGUAAUAAGGACAAAUCACAAACGUGAAUAGUGAAUCGAUCAAUAUUACAACCUUCCAGUACAAGGUGUCAACCCUUAUACAUUGAUUAUGAACAAAUUAUUUAUGAUCAAAAUAUAAGUUGUGUCACCCUAUAUUUCUCAACGCAAGUAUCCAAUUUAUAUUAUCACAAGUGAUUAUAGGCACUUUAAUUCACAUGCUUAAUAAUAAAUAAAUGUAAUAAAUAAAAUAAACACAUUUUUAUUUAAUAUAACAAUAUUGUUAUUUUUACAUCAGCAAAACUAUACUUGAUAUAUUUGAUAGGUUGAUAGGAUUCAAACCUUAGCAUGCCAUUUAGAAAUCCAUUCGUUAAUAGGAUUCAAUUAAGUUACCGUUGCCAAUUAUGAGUUGAUGCAUGGUCAAAUGAUAGCCUCUGUAGCUUCACACACUUGAUAUAUUUGAUAACUUGUUAAACUAUUAAUAUGGGUUGCAGUGAGGGUUCCGAAGUAGUAGAAUGGUAGAAUGACCACUUUUCAGGUAUUAUUGGCAUUAAUAUUUUUCUUAAUUUCAAUGAAUUUAAAUGAAUUAAUCUAGAGACCGUAGCAAAUAUGAGGCUUAAGGAGAAUCUGCAAUGAUUUCAAUGAUGUUUGAAAAGUCUGUAUCAUCAUGGACGGUUAAUAUCUGGGAGAUUCAAGUAUAAAAGUUUUGCAUAAUUUCAUUGAAUAUGCCUCUAGCUUUCAUACCUAGAAUAUUAUGCUUGAAUGCUUAAAAGAUUUAUCCAACUUUAGGGUUUCAUUGUAUUGUAUAGAGUAGCCGCUUAAAUACUUCUCUCUUGUACUCAUAUUUGAUAUAGAAAAAAUUAUUUUCUUACAUUUUUGUGAAUUACAAGUACCAGAGAGUGCAAAUGAAGUAAACCCAAUUUUACUUGUGGGUCAUUUGGCAUUCACAUAUUAUAACUAUUUUACUUGUGGACUAAAUUACGUAUACUGAACUAGAGAAAAAAAUCGAUUUGAAUAUACGGAGACCAAGAUCGAUCUAUCCUAAGAUAUCAGGACUUAUUAUUAAUUAUUAAGAUAUUUUUCCCAAAAUCAAUAUUGCUAGAUUGAGUUUUAACUAUAUAGGGAUUUAAUUCCCAAAAUAAAUUACACACAUCUACAUUGAAUUCCCAAAAUAAAUUACAUUGAACAAGUAAUCACACUCCAAUAAUUUCCUGAAACCAUCAGUCUUCAUAAUUUCCUGAAACUAACUCAAAUCUCCACGCAUUAAAGAUUGGGUCAAUAUGUUAAAUAUUGUAAAUAAAUAUGAUUAAAUAGUUAAAAUUAAACAUAUCUGAUUUGUUUACCCUACAACGUAAAUGGAUAUAAAGACUUCAAAGGGGUAUAACAUAUUCAAAGUCUCCAACUAAAUCUAGUCCUCGUAUCCUCAACUUAUCAAAAAGUCAAUACCUUUAAGGUAUGUGCCAAAGAAAGGCACGAGUGUUGACAACCCCACCAUCUAUACAUUUGACACUUGCCUUAAUGAUUAAGAAAAUGCCUGAUCAUCAUUUACUAAAACUCAUAAAUAUGUUUAUAUCAUCUACUAAACUCAUUUUUUCAAAAUUUAUUUUCAAUCAUACAUUACAUUUCGUAGGAUUCACAACUUUUACCAAUUUUCCCAUCAAAUCUUACCAAUUAGGCAACGGCCUAAGGCCUUAGAUAUUUGAGGGACCUCAAAAAUAAACCAUUUGUUCUCUGGUUCUUGUAGACAGUGGGAACAUAUCUUGUUAUUGCAAAUUAUUGCAUGACAGGAAUGACCUUUAUGAUUUGCUAAAGAAAUGAAGGUACUGUCCUUGGUUUCUUCAUUUUGCUUUAUUUCCACUCGUCAUUCAUUUACCAAUAUGGGUUGAUUCCCUUUCCUAGAAAAUAUGCUCAUGCCAAUUUCCUAAAUUUGUGGAUUUAAUUGAAACUCAAAAAAGUUUAACCAUAUUUUCUUACCUUCGUUUCAGUCCAUGAUAAUCUUUGUCAAAUUUUUAAUUUGUGGAAUCACACACAUUUAAAGAACAUUUUAGUCCAACCUAUCCUUUCCAUCCAAUCUCAUCUUUGCAUUGACAUACGUUAUGUGUUAGUUGGACAAUAAAAGAAAAUAUUAGACAGCAUUAAAAAAUAAACAACCAUCACAAAUUCACGACAUAUUUAUAGAAUACUGCCAAAGAAAUCCAUUUUGAGGAACUUUUAAUCAUUUUCAAACAAGCUCUUAGCUCUCAACAUUUUUCAUGAGCUCGAUUUAUAGUACUAAUUAAACAAUAAAAAGAUAUUAAAACUUUUUCCAUAGUAAUCUACAUAUUUGUCCAGCACUAAGCAUGGCUCCUAAAUAUGUGAUAUGACAGUAAACAUGUGGGCCUUUCCUGUUUUAAUAGGAAUCCUCAUCUUUGAGAAUUAUGUUAGUUGUUAUUAUGUCCUCUGAGCAUGUUUCCUCAAGAAUCAAUAGAAAAUAGCUAUUUAUUUUUUUUUUAUUUUUUCAUUUUACUCAAACUCGUGUAUUUCUGCCUAGUAUAGAAAUUAAAGAAGAUUAAGUUAUGAGAAAAAAGUUAUGUUUAAGUUCUUCAAGGAUCAAAAGGUGAAAAUAUCAUACCUGAGGGCCUCAUCAUAAUUAUUUGAUAGCCCCGAGAAACCGACCCCAAUAGUCCCUUUUCUAGGAACCACCUUGGUGAGCCUUUCUUCGUCAACGAAUUUAGUUCACAGAUUCGCCUCACUUUCUCCACCAACAAGCCUAGUUUGCAGCUCUGCCUCACCGAGUGACUCCAACAAGAUACAUCAAGGUUAACAAAAUGUAGCUCACAUGUAGCAUCCAAGUUGGAUGAGGUUCAAUCAUUUUGAGCCACUUUCAACGAGCCUGGAAGGUUGUUACUACGUAGAUGAAUAUGUGGAUCGCUAGAUUCUGACAUUUGCUCAGCAGAUUAGCACCUUGAGGACGACAGGAUUCAACCAACCCAGUUUGACACAGAACAACUUAUUAAGCAACAGGAAAUCUCUUUCAAUGUGGAUGAGGAAUUUUAUUCAGCAACAUAGGUGGUGUGCUCUAAACUGACUGCAAGGAGCCACGUUCUUAAUUUCUAGAAACAAUCUCGAAACCAAUACUAAUCUCGGCAAGUUUAAUAAAUAUUUUGGUUUUCCUUCCGAAUCCCAUGGCCACUCCGUUGUGGCACAACUCUGGUGCCUAUCCCGCACCAAGUGUGCCUCAACAGCCGAAGCUGGAGGUGAGGGUCCGCUGGAGCUGCCUCGACAACAGUUGCCGGAGGUUGGAGGUUGCGGUGUACCCAGAAACGUCAAAAGUCAUAGUUGGAGGUUGAAUUUUGGUUUAGAUAUUUUAUCGAUCGCCUGAUGGACGAAGUAGUGCUGAGA
Molecule: long non-coding RNA, 165443 nt
Filed under: Olea europaea (common olive)
Lineage: Eukaryota; Viridiplantae; Streptophyta; Magnoliopsida; Lamiales; Oleaceae
Description: long non-coding RNA (OEUR_LNC015039)
Source: RNAcentral